RNAcentral lists this long non-coding RNA (90006 nucleotides) under Phoenix dactylifera (date palm). RNAcentral's name for it is "long non-coding RNA (PDAC_LNC002318)". Lineage: Eukaryota; Viridiplantae; Streptophyta; Magnoliopsida; Arecales; Arecaceae. The record is from RNAcentral.
UUGUUAAAGCUUCCUUUUAUCUGGAAGAAAAAAAAGGGAUAAGUUUUUUUUUCUCCUGGAUACGCAGCACCAGUAGUUGCUUAAAGUUGGACCGAUCUAUUUUUUGCUUCUAAGGUUGCAGUAUGAGAUUAUAUUCAAAGUUCUGCUACUUGAUACUGAAACUUGGGGCUAUAAUCCCUCAUGAUGUCUCAUAUUAUAGAUCUAUUCAUGCUUUUUAUGUUGUUGGUGUGAAUCUCAUGGUAACGCCGAUAACAAGCGUUAUUGAAUUUGCUAUCUUGCAUGGGCAAGAAUGUAUAAUAAUCCCUUAUGCUUCUUUUCCAUGGUACAUUGAACUUAUUGCAUACAGCAAAAUCCUCUAUUAGAUUAUUUCAUGCACCAAUGAUGGGAAUCUACCAGCAUCACUAGCAUUGUAUGUGCACCUAUUAUUCGGGAGAACAUCGAUUGUAAAUUUAUUGAGAGCUUCUGUUUAUGGUCGAAAUUCUUUGGAUGUAAUGUGAAAAAUAAAAAGGUUUGCUUUAGUCUUGAGAGUCAUCAAACCAAAACUAAGCAUUAGGGUUAAAAUAAAGUAGUUAAAAUUCAUAGAUACAGAGUGAGAGAAAAAAAGGAAAAGUAUGUUAAAAUGGUGAUAUAUUUAGAAGGAAUGCUUGACUUGAUGUAGAAUAUUUUAGCUACUAUGGGUAGGUCUAAAGAGGUCUCAAAACGAGAUUUAUCAAAUUAGAAGCCAAAUUGCAUACUUAAACUUCUGCUGGCCGUAACUUUUUCUUGCAAUAUUUGAUGAAAAUGUUUUUUUUUCUCUUAAAAUUGAAUAACCUUUUGAGAUCUACGACACCGCAUUUAUCCUUAUAAGGUUCAACUCGUAAAGGAAUUGAGGAUGAUUUUUCUCUUUAGGCUUAGAUGGCCCAACUAAAGUAAAAGAAAAGAAAAGGUUUUGACCAGAAAUACCUUACAAUUCGAGAAAAUUAGAUGAAGCAGCAAAAAAAAACUAAUGCAGAAGUAGAAAUCUGGCUCCUAUAAGUUAUAUACUAAGUCAAGAUCUAGCUUAAAGAGAUUUUAUUUUUUAUUAUUAUUUUCAAUAUCGAUGACUAUUUUCAGAAAAUUAUAAUAUCCUCAAACAUGAAAAGGAAUCCGACCUGGAUUAUAUAGAAAUAGAUUUUAUGUGGCAUUGUGAUCAAUUUUAUCAUGAAAUUAAUGAAAGAAAAGGGAAUCUAGCACCUUACUUCUGAAAAUCAUUUUUUUUUCUUUUGAGAAAUCCAAGUUUAGAAAAUUAAAAAAAAUCUUUUCUUCUCUUUAAUCGGAUUACAUGUUUUACUUAUAUUUGGUUUUACGGGCAUUAAAAGCUUAGCUAUUCUUGCUGCAACAAGCAUCUAUGACUAAAAUAUGAUUUACUACGUGACAUCAAGGGCGGUUUCGUAAAAUAGAAUAGGGAGCAAGAAUAAUUAGCUAUACCAUUUACUUGUGCAAACAGCAUUGUGUCUUUUAUUAAACAAGCAAUCCAGAUAUCUCAAAGCUAUAAAAUAAGAACCAUGAAGUAUUUACCAAAGGAUCUAUGAAUUGUUUUUCGCUCCACAUAUUCCAGGUGAACACCUUUCUAGGAUAAGCCUUAGUUAAUAUAAUUUUUCAUUCACAUAUUUAAUAACUUGAAGCACAUGACAAGUAAUUAUUGGGAAGUAGAUGAUGCCCUAUACUUCUGUUUAGUUAUUCUUCCUCCACAUGUUGGUCAACACUAAGCCGGAAAAAUGUAUUACAUUAGUAACUAAUUGUUAUGUAAUAAUUUAUAGCAAGCUUUAAAAGAGCUCCUUGUAUGAUGAUUACCAUUGUUUUGUUGGUUUAAGUACAUCAUUUAUUUUACUUGUGCUACAUACAUAUGCGCGUGAAGUGAAAGUGGAAGUUAGUGAUCAUGUGGCAAAAACAUAGAUAAUUUGGGAUCAUGUGAAAAGAAAUACUAAAAUAUGAUCAUGUUUUAUAAUUGUAUAAGAGUGCAAGCUCUCUACAAUAUUAUUUGCAAGUAAUUUCUAUAAUGCGACAAAAUUGGAUGCUAGUAAUAAGAAUUUUGAGAUUCUGAAAAAUUAUAUCAUAUCAUGGACUUGUUUGGUUUGCGGAAAAAGAAGCAAAAAAAGUAAGGUCAACUUUGGUUGGAGUUUGUAAAGAAGAAAAAUGGAAAAGAAGCAUUUUCAGUAAAAUAAGAUUUCUAUUUUAUAAAAAAAAUUAUGAAGGACAUGGACAAAUUACUAAAAAUAUGAAUUUUUUUAGCCAUCAAAAUCUAUGGAUAGAGUUUUUCACGCUUUCUGGUAUAAUGGACAUUUCAUACCACUAUUUAAAAAAAAAAUGUUCAACCAAAUGUAAGCCAUUAUAAAGUAUAUCUUUUUUUAUAAAUUAACUAAAUAUGCUAAAAUAAUUUUUGUAAGCAUCAUAUUUUCAUGAAUUAGUUUUUUUUAAAAAUAUUUCAGGGAUGAAAAAUUUUAAUGUGUCUCAACUGAUAUUUAAGAUAUUGUAAGUAACGGUAUCGGAGGAGAUGCAAGGGAGAUAUCGGCUUCGUCCAAACGAUAUAUCCUUAUGUGUCGGUUAUAUCGUAAGUCGUAACUCGUAAGGCAACUAGAUAUCGGCAUCACGUUAUUUCCAUCGAGCGGAUACCGUUAUUGCAGCGAUAAUUAUAUGUCGGUCACGGGCCGGCUAUAAAAGGCGAAGUUAAAACUCCAAUGAUGCGAUUCGCCAUGGAGCUCCUCUCGCUCCCCUUCUUGCUCCUUCUGGCUCUUUCUUUUUUCUCCCGUCCGACGGUCACCAUCGCGAGAGGAGGCGGUGAGUGCUCUCUAUCUAACUAGGAUUCUCGAAUUCCUUUUUUGCCAGAUUUCUUUAUUCCCCGGAUUUCUUUCCUAAGUUUUCUUGUUUUCGAUCCAUUGAUCGCUUUCUUUUUUUUCUUCUUUAAAUUCUAUGAAUUGGAUUCAGUUGUUUUGGUGGUGGGAUCUGACGCGAAUCUUUAGCGGGUCGAACGGAUCCAAGAAAACCCAUUGUUUAGGGUUUAUGCGCGUUCUUGAUUGUGGGCUUUUAUUCCCUAAGAUUUAUACGUUAAUUUUGUCAGUUUUGAUUCCAACUAGAAACUUGGGAUGUUGCUCAAAUUUCGAUUUCUUUCCUAACAGUUUUUGUCUUUGUUAAAACUCACUCAAAACGUCAUUCAAAUGUCAACAAGAAUUGGAUUUAGUAUCUGGCUUUUAGGAUCUUUAACGAAUCUCAAGCGGACGAACGGAUUCAAGAAAAUCCGCUGAUCAGGGUUUUUGUGCUCUAUUCUUGGAAUCGUGAUCGUGGUUAACAAUCUGAGAUCACGCAUCUUUCACUCAUGAAAGAGUGUUGGUUUAGGUAAUCUUGGUAAGAAAUAAAGAAAGAGCAUUGGUUUAUUGAUCAGUGCUAGAUUUGGUACGCUACAUCUUGAUUCCUUUCCUGAUUGAUCGCCUCUAUCCUGUGUUCUUUAAUCCUAUAAGCCGUUGUAAUUCAAAAUUAGUUACCAUAAUAGUCACAGCAGAAGUACAUACGUUCAGCUGAGCGGUAAAAAAAAAUUCAAGAAGUUCCUAUAAGAGAUAGAAGCCAGUGGGAUUGAGCUGUUCCGGCACUUUGCUGGGUAGUUUGGUCGGAAUGUAAAGCUCGGUUCUUUUUUCAAGAAGUUCCUAUUAGAGAUGGAAGCUAGUGGUAUUGUGCUGUUACGGCACUUUGCUGGGUAGAUUGGUCAGAAUGUAAUGCUCGGUUCUUUUGUCAAGGGAGGCAGCUUAUUAUGGAGUUAUGUAUGAAGACUCGUGCCUUAUGGAUGAAUGGGUCGAGAAUUUGGCAAAAACGAGUUAAGUUCACCCCAUACAAGGCAGGGAUUGGUCUUCCCGCUUUGAUGUGGUGACUGACGGGAGCCAGACUCUCUUGGCUCCACAGGGUGAUCGAGUGACUGAGGUUGGUUUUCUAGGGUGCUGUCUUGGGUGUUGUCAUCCAUCUUUUUCUUUCCUCUUGUGGAUUUCCUUAUUCCUAUACUCCAUUUCACGUUCUAAUGAAAACUGUUCUUCUCAAAUAAAAAAAGGACGACGAUAUGAUUUCGUAUGUUCAACGUAUUAUUGCCCAUGACUCCAUUUUCUGAUGAUUGUUAACAUCGACCAACAAGCGCUGGUUUGUGAUUGAAGCAACCUUAAACUGAUUGUUAAUUCUUUGCAGAAGAGUUAUGUUGUGUGAUCAAUAUGUGCUCUGAAAGAGGCGCAUCUUUCUUCGUAAACUUGGAAAACAUUAUCUAACUUUCAUUUUUGGGCACCCAUUGUAUAUUUGUCAGGUCAUAUGGACUGUACUCAUGGAGUAUUUGCCCGGCAUCUGUUUGAAGAGAGCCAGCCUCGGAUAUCGUAUGUUUUGGAUAAGAAUUUCUUUGAUUAUUCUCCUGUUAUCCUUUUUCUUUUUUACUGAUUUCCUUUAUCAGACCACAUCUAAAGGUUGAUGCCUGUUUGUAUUACAGGGAAGCCAUGACUCAUGAGUAUAUGAGUAACUCUGAACUUGAGAAGGCCAUGAAGGAAUUUACUCAAAGAUGUGCUAAUAUUUCCAGGAUAUACAGGUAUGUUUCAUUUGAACUUUGAUGCUGAUGUUGCCAGUUUUUUCUUAAUGGGAGUCACAGGUAACUGAUAAAUCUUGAAUGGGAACCAAAUGUGAACGCUACAAUGUUUUACAAUGCCCCAUAAACAUUGGGGACAUUAAUGGAACUCUGCUAUUCAGAAAUACAUCCAUAAUUAUCAACUGUUUGUGCUAGAGUGCCAAAAUAGGAGAUGCCUACUGCAUAUUAACUUUUUUUAAUCCUCCACUGGUCUGCCAGCUUUUACCUAACUAUGCUGAUCUCUUUUUCUUCUCUCUUUGAGGGAUUGUUGGAAUCUGCUACCAGCAUUGGAAAGAGUGUGAAAGGGAUACCAUUGGUAAUCUUGUUGAAAACAAAAGAGUUACUUUGUCUUUCUUUAUCUGAAUGUGUAAAGCGUGUAAUUUUGGUGAAAAUAGUAAUUUCUCUUGCUUAUUGCAUGUAGUGGGUAGUGGAAAUUUCUGACAAGCCUGGGCAGGAAGAAGCUGAACCUGCAUUUAAGGUUAGUGAUCUUUAAUCAACCUUUCUCUUAUCUAUUUAAUUAUUAGUUUUUUCUCUUUUUUUUUUAAAUUUCAGAUAUUCAUGCAAGAAUAUCUUUUAUAUGUAUAUGUGUGUGCAUAUAUGUGUGUAUUUCAAUUUUGAUGUAUAUUCUGUUAAAGACCAGUUGCCAUCUUUACAGAGUGAAGGAGAUCUUGGUAAACAUGUGAAUUACCAGUACUUGCCGGUGGAAUUGUUUUUUCCCUUCUUCCUCUUUCAAUUGUUUGGGUUAAAUCUGUCAAAAAUUAUGUAUGUGCAUUCACAUAUUCUAAUUGAUAGCUUGGAAAAGAAUAUGGCAUGGAUUGGUGGUUCAAUUUCAGAUGCCACCUUUUGGUUUUUAUACCUGACCUCAAUCACUUAUAUGUUAAUGCAGUUUCUUCACAUAUCCUCUUUCAUGUGAUUUUUACUUUGGAAACUUCAUUUUUUAUAUCUUUAAAAUCUAUUGGGAUAACUGUAUUUUGGGAAUAUUUCCACUUGCUAUUAGACUCUUAUCUAUCCUAGAUGCUGGUCAUGUCACCAAAAUUUUGAUCAUCUUGAUCUUUGUAUUGCUUUUCCCUGAAUAUUAUAUUAAGGGAAAGGUGAACAAGUUUGGCCCAAAUCGCUGUGUAUUACAUUCCAUCACUCAUAUGAAAAAAUAUCCACAGGACACCUUAUUUCUGCUUGAAAAGUUGAGGUGUCAGUUGAAAAAUUAUGCCAAUUAGAAGUUAGUAAACUUUAAGUAUAAUUGAUCGAGAUUUGGUUAGGAUUUAUCAAUAUCCUGGAUUUUUGUAGUAUGGGUCAGCUUUUCAAUCCUAAGCCUGACCAAAGAGUUUGAAUUGUGUAGCCCGAGUUUUGGUCCCGAGGACCAAGCAAAUGGUUUUCGGGAUGAACCUAUUGAUAAUCUUAACCUUCUCAUCUUUUCCUAUUAGUGGUCUACUGGAGGUAUAUGAAGUUGCACUGGAGUCAUCUGCUGUAGUUUGUGCCUAAGGGUAAUUUGCGCUGUUUCUCAUAUUUGGUUCAGGCAACUUCAUGGAAGUUAAGCAUCAAGACUUCGACACCAGUUGUUCUUCUUUUGUUACUAUAGAUUGCAAUGUUGUUUGGUUCAUGUAAGGAUUCUUUGUCAUGCCUUUUUGCACCAAUAAUAUGUCUAAGAUCUUGUUUUUGCUAACUUUGAUGAAUGUUGAUUUAUUUGUCAUAUUUAGGGGCUCCCCCACCCCCCAUGCCCUGCCUAAUUUAUUAACUAAGAGAAAGACAUUGCAUGUAACACAAAACACCACCAUCACAAUUUUGCUGAAGAGAUUGCUCAACAGUAAACUCUGAAUAUGAUGGUUCAUUCUUCAGGUGAUUCUGGAGAUUGCAUUGCUAUAUAUGUAUCUAUCUACAUCGUCAUUAUGUUGUAGGUUUCUAUCUGUUGACUCUGAGGGGAGUUAGUCCAUCAAAAUUAUUGAAUCAGAUAUGUGCUUAAUCGCCACCCCUUUGCAGAAUAGCUAUUUUCAAUGUGUUGUUAAUAUCCCAAUUAUGGAAUAAAUAAUCCUUUUUUUUACUUGUGUGCUGGCUCUAUUUAGUAAUUUUGUUGAUCUUAGUUUGAGAGACAGUUCUGCACAUAAGUCUGCUGUCAACAAAUUAUGUUAUCCCACAACCUUUUAAAUCAUAUUGAGACUAAUUUUUUCUAUGCUUUCUAUAUUCUGAUAUAUAUCUUCUUUUGUCAUGUUUAGUUUGACCAUAUAUGAAUAAUGGAUAUGACAUAAUUCUAUAGUGUGGAGAGAUGAGCAAAUGAAGUAACAUAUUUGUUUGAAUUUGAACCUGGGACUGCUUUGAGACUGCCAAUAUCAUAUUCUGACUGCAUUUCUGUGGAUUCUGUGCAUUUCUUAUGAGUCAUCCCCAUGGAUUAUGCUCUUUUGUACUCUGAUGUCUAAAAUGCACUGAAGAUUACCAAAUGGAUAUCGUAGUUCAUUGGAAACGUGCACGGUGAUGAACCUGUUGGGAGAGAGCUACUUAUAUCUCUUGCAAAUUGGCUGUGUGACAACUAUAGGAAGGAUCCAUUGGUAACUCUUUUCUCUCCCUUCUUUCUCUAGAAAUCCCCCUUGCUCUCACAAGGUUUCUUCUUUUUUUUUUCUUUUUUUUUCAGCACAUAAGUAUAAAUUUUAAUAUUUUUGACUAGUCUUGAUUAUAUAAUUGCUUUUUAAGGGAUAUUGCCAUGGAUAUAUGAAAAAAAUUGGCUCUCUAGAGCCUACCCUGAUAGAAGGGAGAAGGGUUGUGCAUUAUCACUGUUGAAGUUUUUGGUAUAUCGAUAUGCCUAAUAAGCUUCAGCCAAUGUGGUUCGUGGAAUCUAGCAUCUUGUUCUUCAGUAAGAUUGUUUAGUUUUCCUGGUUCUUGUUGUGUUCUUAGUCAGGGACAGCUAUCGACGUGCUGGCAUUGUGUUUAUAUGAAAACUAAUGGAUAGAUGGAACAUAUGUAUGCAGCAGCCAUGCAGCCAUGCCUGCCAACGUGCACACCUAGACACCGAAAUCGUGGUCAAUGAUUGAUUAACAAUCACCAUACUCACAUGCGGCACAUAGUUAUGCUGCAAUGGAUGGUUGAUUUGAUGGUAAUUGCCCAUCAAUAAAAAGAAAAGUUAUCGAAGUUAAAAUUGAGCUUUGAAUUUAAUUUGUAGUAAGAAUAUAUCUUCAAAACUAGCAAGUAACUGUGAGAGAAAAGGUGGAAAAAGAAGCUAAUGUGCACUCCCUCAUUUUAUAUAAUGAAUCACUGUCAGUGAUCAGUUUAACAAUCAUAGUGCUUACACCUGGAAACCUGAUAACCAUCACCAUCAAGCCCUGUCCAAACUAUUUGAGUUGGGUUCAAAGUAGCAUAGAUAGCAACCGUCAAUGUUAAGCCACAAUAUUCAAACAGUAUCAUAGGUAGGGAGUCCUUACAUACCUUCUAAGAUAAUUGAUGUUUAUCUUUUUUCGUAACUCACCAUUAAGCCUUGUCCAAACUAUCUGAGCUGGCUUAAAAAAGCAUACAUAGCAGCCACCAAUUUCAAGCCACAACAUUUAAAGUGUUAUAGGGAGUCCUUACACUCUUUUGAGAUAAUUUAUUUUAUCUUAUUAACUAGCAGACUGUAGACGGAAGUGCAUGGAAAAGAAACUAAUUCAUAUAUCUCCAGCUUAUAUUGAGCUUUUUGGAUCUGCAAAUGGCAAAGUAUUCUUAAAAAAAAUUAUAUGCAGGAAGAAAGCUAAGAGUUAUGUACAAUAUAAAAAAGAUGAAACAUUGUUAGAACAUUUUGACCGGCUCUCCUAGUUCUAUCACACAAAGAUACAUACAUACAUACGUACAUAUGUAUGUAGGUAUGUGGGUACGUGCGUACGUACGUACCUAGGUACAUAGGUACGUAUGUACAUACCUACACACACACACACACACACAUAUAUAUAUAUAUAUAUUAAUUUAGUCAUAUUAUGUUCCAUAGAAGUUAUGGUCAUUGGACUAUUUGUCUAUACCCAAUUUCAAGACUUGUAUAUAAUGUAGAAUGAACUGAUAAUUUAAUGGAGAAAGAGGAGUCAAAUGGAUACCUCAUUUAAUUAGUGUUACCACUAAUUUCUUUUCUGCAUUAUCUUUGGUGAAAAGAGGAACUAGAACUGUUUUUGGAUGAAAAACAAACAGGAUCAGAGGUAUCACAGAUCUCAUCAUGGAUCUUAUAUGUUCCUGGUUUCUAUUAUGUGAUAACUUGUGCGAUCUCCAACUAUUUUGCACAAUACGAAUGGAAGACACUUCAGAACCUUUGAAUAUUUGAAUCCAAUACUUUCGUGGUGACAGAGAGUUGAGCGGAUCCUGUCUUGGCUAUCUGCUACCCCAAUUUCAGGGACUUUACAAGUGCAGAUAUUCAAUGGCAUUUGCGAACUCCAAUAUGUGAAUAUUCACUUAAUGUAUUUUUCACUACCUUGUUUAUCCACUUGAUGCAGCUCCUCUCUUUUUCUUCUUUCUGUUGAAAUUUUUCCUUUUCCAAUGGUAGAUAGCUGGUCAUUCUAAUUGUAUAAAUGAAUGCUCAGAAAUUUUUUGUCCACAUGUGCUAGAAUUUAUUACAUACAAUCUGCAGGAUUAUGCUGAUUAGUUAGAAAAUUUUAGUUUAUACAACAGAAAUUCAUGGAGUCUCUGCUGUACUUUUCAUCUUAUUCUUAUAAGAAGGCUAGUAUCUUAUCAUGCAACAUUUUUUAAAAACUUCGUUUAGUGACCUCUAUAUUCUGAAUUAAUGUUCUGUGUUUAUAGGCAACAUUGAUUGUAAACAAUGUUCACCUACAUGUUCUUCCUACUAUGAAUCCUGAUGGAUUUGCUCUUAGGAGACGUGGGAAUGCAAAUAAUGUGGACCUAAAUCGGGAUUUUCCUGAUCAAGUGAGCACUUUCAUAUUCACAAUAUGUCAAUAUUAAUGAUUUUAUAACAUCUUCUAUGGUUAUUUCUUGCUCCAGUCUGCUGCUAGAUUACUUUAUUUACUUCCUGCAGUUUACGAUUGCUAACCUUUAUUUAUAAUAUUACUGAAUGAAUUUGAAUAGUUUUAUCCUAUGAAUGACAUUGUAAGCCUGCGACAACCUGAAACGAGAGCAAUUAUGAACUGGAUAAAAGAGCGACACUUCACGGCCUCUGCAAGUUUACAUGGGGUAAGAUUUUCUUUUUUGUUCUUUGUUUUUUUUUUUUUUGGUUGAACAUUGCUUAUUGUUCUUGGCUCUUGCCCUAAUAGAAGAAAUCUGAUGAUUAUGGGGAACCUUUUUCCCUCCAUUAAAUCCAUAUUAUUGCUGAUACCUUAUGGAAUUGUAAAUGCUAAUCUGUAUCCAUUAUUUUACAAAGUCUGGUAUUCGUCACAAGCUUGGAAGGAAAAUGGCAUGGAUGAUAAUUAUAUGAUUCUGUAACCUGUCUUACCACCGAACGAAGAACAGGAGCACCAUGGGCAGUGGUAAUAGUGAUGGCUAGAGGACCAGCGACAGUCAACUGUUGGCCCUAAUUUGAUUGUUUUCUAGUUCUGGAGAAUGUUUUGAUGUAAACAUCCAAUAAACAAAAAGUCUUUCUAAAUUUAAAAUUUGUAAAGCUGGUACCCAAGUGCACUUGUUGCAAAUUAUCCUUGGGAUGGCUCUCAAGAUACAAGAAAACAGUAUGUUGCAUGCCCUGAUGACAAGACAUUUCGCUCCAUGGCAAGUUUGUAUAGUCGUUCACAUUACAACAUGUCUUUGAGCAAAGAAUUUGAGGGGGGGAUUACUAAUGGGGCUCUUUGGUAUCCUAUCUAUGGCGGCAUGCAAGAUUGGAACUACAUACAUGGGGGCUGUUUCGAAUUAACCUUGGAAAUUAGUGAUGACAAAUGGCCUAAAGCAAAUGNNNNNNNNNNNNNNNNNNNNNNNNNNNNNNNNNNNNNNNNNNNNNNNNNNNNNNNNNNNNNNNNNNNNNNNNNNNNNNNNNNNNNNNNNNNNNAUCGUGGUUGCUUAAGGAUGCAAUAGUUGUAUUUCACUAUCAAACGUUAUGUAUAUCAAUUGCAUGCUAUCAAUUUGCAUCCCCAAAUAUUUUGAAGUUUGGUUUCUAACCUUGAUUUAAAUUGAUCAAUGAAACCAUGGAAGCGGUGAGAGGCAAUCAAGUUUAUUAAACUGCCUUUGCAGUCGCAGUCAGUAAACCUUCUGAAGGCUUAGAUGGAACUUUUAGGAAACCAAGCUGGCACAUAAAGUUAAAAGUUGCCUAUUAAUUCAUCAGACUUAAUUAAAUAUUGUAAUGUGACAUACGAUAUAUAAAUCUUAAAGGCAUAGCUUUGAGAUGAGGGUGAGGUGGAAAAGAGAUGGAGUAUUUGAUGUAAUUCUUUGGUCUCAUUAUUUAAUUCAUUCAGUGUUGAUAAGUAGAUAAUAUUUUAAAUUUGUUAGUUUUGCUUCUCUCCCUAAAACAUUGUUUGGAAAAGUCAAGAGGGUGAUUACCCGUCUGCCCAUAAGUAGUGGCAGAGCACCGGGCAACCUUUAGGGUCAAAUUGAACAUGGCAAAUCCAUGAAAGGUGUGUAUGUGGUGGUUGAGCUGGAAAGCAAGCAAUGGUUUCAUUGUAGAUCAUAAUUCAAAGUAGCAUCUGGAAGAGAACUAGAGAGGGACCAGGAGCAUGGAUGUGGGAAUAGGCACACUUAACAACCCCCGCUUCUCUUGGGAAUUGUUUCUUCUGUUGGAUGCACAGGAAAGAAUCCCAUGUGGGCUUUGAGUGAUGAAGGUCAUAGUAUUUGUCUGAAUUUUAUCAUGUUUAUGUACCACUGUGCCUUCAUGACGUAACUCAUCUUCUGUGGAAAAAGGCUGAAUGGUAAAAGGGCCAUGAGUCUUGGAUUUCCUUUCUUGGAGAUUUAAGCAGUAAUGAUAUUUGAUGAAUAAACAUCACCUAACCUUGCCUGUUAAUACUUUUUUUUUGAUGUAAUUAUCAUAUUUCAUUUAUCUUUUUUGGAUGACAUGGUGAUUAUGAGCACUUCUUUGAGUGAAGCAAAAGAUUUCUCCCCUGGUGUACAUUAAAACUUUAUAUAUUUUCUUUGAUUUAUGGAAACUUCCUUUGUGCUUACAUGGCAUAUCGUUCCCCCUAAAAUAAUGAGAGUCCAUUUGGAAACUUUUGUGAUGAGUUCUCUAUAACAUAUAUUAUUGGUUUUCCCAAUAAGUUUCUUUCAAACUGACCAGUUAAUAUCCCUUUUUCUCUCUCACUACCUGCUUGUGAUGUAAAUCUAGCAGUUCUGGUUAUUUUUCGAUCAAUAUAUAGCCACAGAACUAAUGUAAGGACUUAUGAAUGAAAAUCAUUUCCAAAUUACUUUUUUUAUAUGAAUAUUGAACUUAUUUGAUUUCAUUUGAGUCUUGAAAAUCAAGUUUUCGCUUGGUUAAAAUGACAAAGGUGUUUCCUGAUAGGGGGUAGGAAUUAUUUUGGUGGUUGUGUAAUCAUAAGAAAGGUGUAACAAAUAAAGUCAUAUGAUUUGUUGUGUUUUUCUUACCUGAAUGACAUAUCACCCUGGAAAGUAUUGAACUCUUGCUGUGUAAUAUGUAAAACAUUCAUAAAAUUCUUUCACUUACUUUAUAAAGUAAAUUGGUUUUGGUUAUGGUUAAUCAUGGUGAGUGUUUGAAGCCAGCUGAUCUAGUUAUACCUCAUCUUUGCUUAUGGAAUAGCACAGCCAAUAUCUGCUUCAUUAAGCAGGUAUUGGCAGGUGCUUUCUAUCGUGUGAAAUUGUUAUAUUAAACUAGUUUUUACAGGGUGCACUUGUUGCAAAUUAUCCUUGGGAUGGCUCUCAAGAUACAAGGUAAUAUAUUUUAUGAGCAUUCUGUAUCUAUUACUUGAUUUAUACUGCCACUGUAAUAUAGGUUGCUUUCUAAGUUUGAUGUUGGACUUUGUUAGCAACAAGAGCAUAUGAAUUUUUUUUCUAGACGUAUAAAAUAUAAAUGAACGUACAUCUGAUACUGCUCUAUGGUUAUUAUCUCCUUGCCGCACCCUUAUGGGCUUCUUCAACUAAUCCAGUUGUUUGACAUGAUUUAUAUUUAUGUUAGUUUGGUGAGAUCCUGUGGUAUAGUAAAUUUCAUAGUUCAUUUUUUUAGCAGAAUGUAAGCAUCCUGCAAUUCUCAGAUGGAUGUUUUUGUCAUUUUUUUCUACCAGUUUUAUUUUGCAAUUGGUAUUUGUAUGAUAUUCAGUUUUUCCUUUCUUCUUCUUCCCUAACGUUUUCCUUUUGAAUCUCUCUUCCACUACGCACUGAGCGACUUAGGCUAGGAAUAAGAAUAGUCUGAUGGAGGGAUGCCACAAGGUUGAUGGUGGCCACAAAAUGUCGUUUACUCUCUUUUGAAAGUUUUCUGCCACCACUUGAAGUCUACAAGCAACUCUUGUUUUGUUAUAAAUUUCUGUUAUGUUGUUGGCAUUAUAUUUUAUGCUAUAACUCUGUAGAUUAUCACAGCUGCGCAUCCUAGUCUGCUCACUUUCAUUUGCACCUUUUUGUUUCUAUUUGGCCACAAAUUGACUUGAAGAAAGCAGUCAUGUCACACAAUUUCUUCCUUGUGUGCCUAUAUGGCAUGCUAGUGCUGUCAAUUUGUUAUUCACUUUGUGAAUCAAUUUUAGCUUGGACAUGCAACUUAUUCUUAGGCUUUCAGUUUCAGUUCUACUAGCAUAUGACCCAUGUAUGUGUGGGGUACAUUUUUCUCUUUUAUUCUUAGUAUGUUUGUCUCAUACAGAUGUGACCAUAACAAUUUAUUUUCUAACUUAGUUGGAUAUAAAUCAUUUCGAUUCAAAUACUCUUUUUCAAACAAAGUGCAUACCGUGGAAGUCGGUUGUUUAAGCUAACAAGUGUCCGAUGUCAUCAGACUUAUAGAUCAAAAGGCAACAUGACAUAGAAAACUAUUCAAUUCAUAUGAUAUAAAACUAUUAGAAACUUUAUUUGAAUAACAAAAUAACCCAUAAUUAGAACCAAGUAAUCCUAAUUGGAACACAGUCGAACUGGACAGGGGCUGUCCUAGCCAUCCAGUGAGAUCACGACACGUGGGAUGGGUGCAGGACAACCCCGAAACACACUUCCGUCUCCCUUCUUGGCCAUCCCGCCUUCAUCUUUGCCGGAUCACGUGCUGAAAUGGCCGACGUGCCCUUGUUUUUUUUGCGACGUUGCUUCGGCCUUCAGCUCGUUGUCGGGAAGUCAGCGUUGUUGCUGGGAGGAAGGAGGGAGGAAGCUCGGUUCAUGGGCUCAUCUUUCUUUUGUGUUUUUUCCAUGAUGAGCGGAGCAUGAGAUCAGAGCCUUGAAUCGCUCAGAAACCCCGCCUUUCGCGUUUUACAUGCUCGAACCACUUGGAAACCGCUCCUCCCAUGUUUUUCCCAUGAUGAGCAGAGCACAGACCUCUCGGGAGGGAGGAGGGAGGAGGGAGGAGUCAUGGGGUGCUUAGAAGUUAUGGGGCGCUUAGGAGCUACAAGGCAUGCCUUUAUUAGUAUUUUUUGCUUUUUUCCUUCUCGAUGCGCACACUGAGUAGAUGCGGUCCACGUGAAUUUGUGCGAAAGUCUCCUUCGCAUGAAUUUAUCCUUUGAUCACCAGCCACAUCGUUCUCAAAUUGUGCAAAACUCCAUCAUUUACUUAUCUGCAUAGAUCUCAAAGCGAAUAGCUGAUGAUUGAGUGGUGCAGAACUGCAGAUGUUGACCGAGAGCUAAGAAAUCGUCCUUUAGUUCACGUGUACUCACCUCUUUUUAUUUUUUUUAAAUUUUAUUAGUGAUUGAGAAAUCGUCCUAGACACGUACCAGGAUGCUUGAUCGGGACAACCACCGGGAUGGGGUGAGACAUGGGCGCCUUGUUCCAUGGGAAAACCGAGACACCCCUUUCCAUGGGAUUUAAAACCUUGGUUGAAUUGUCAUAAGACAAAUCCAAAAAAAAAUACAUUAUAUUUGAACAAAGCAUUCAGAAGGUAAAAUUUCCUGAUGCAAUUACAUAAAAAAUAUGUGAAGUCUUUUGUUUUCAUGAUCUGUUGUAAUGCAAGCAAUAUCCUUGUUCAUAAAUUGUUUAUUUUUUCCUUUUCCCCCUAUGUAGAUGCUAGUGUCUGAAGACAUCUUGAUGUAUCUUAUUUUAAAUCUUUUUUUUUUGCAAAAUAAAUUAUAUAGUUUUCUAUGCAAAUUCACUCCGCUAAAAGAAAAUAACCCCCCCUAAAAUAUAGUUUUUAUUAAUUGCAUAACUUUUCAGGAAAUAACACCUUUAUGUUCCGGUUCAUCUAACUAUAAUGAUUUUAGCCCCUCGCAAUGAAAUAAAACCAUUAUUGAAACUUUCAUGUCAAGGAGGAUUUUUGCUAUUAUCCACUUCUCGCUUGUAUUUCAAUCAAUAACUUCAAAUUUUACAUUGUGAUGAUGGUUACUUUCUUGAGAUCUUUUUGGUGGGGUUGGCCGCAAUAUUUUUGUGGGGCAGGAUGAAGGUAGAUUAACAGAGCUUUCUGAUAUAAUUUUCUAACUUGCUUUUGGUUUGGAGGAUUACAAUCUAAGAAGGCCUUGUGGAAUAGUACACAAACAGGCAUAGUUAUUGGCCGGUUGACGGGGCCCAAUGAAGCAAAAGAAGAAAGCAUGGUAGGAGUUGGCAACAAUAUAUCAUUACUAUGCCCCAUGAUCGGCAGUGCUAGAUGUUGACCAUCAUAUGGUUACUAUGAAAACGGGCUACUUUUUACAGGCCAGGCUACUCUAUUUGUGCUGAUUCAUCUUGUUGUUAUUGUCAUGCCUAAAGUCUUCUGUAUCUUAGGAAAACCAGGACAUUUAAUUUGCAAAUGUUUGAGAGUUUUGCAAAUUUAAAUGGAGUAUGUGUUUAGCAGUGUUAGAAAAGUAAUUUCCAUAUUGAUAAUUCGAUAAAAUAUUAUGAUCUAGCAGUUGCUGAUUUUAAGAGAACAUUUGAUAAGUAUGUCAAAUAAGUAAUAACGAUAUUGUAGCUAGAGCUAUAAAUGUAUGGUAUAAAUUUGCCUAGAUCUUUGUUGGGCUUGUUUGAAUUGUAUCAAGAUAUUGAAAUUGAAACAUAAAUUAAAAUAUAACUCCCAACUUUCAUAAUCGCUGCUGGGCAGUGGGGCCCCAAAACCCACUAAACCAGGUCUGGGUAACGGUGGCUACCGCCUUAUUUUGUGAUUGACUGGUUUUCCUUCCCAUUUCCAUGACAGUUUUAUCUAUCUUCACCUUGAAAAACGUCCACUACAACACCCUCUACUUAACACAGUGGCAACAAACUCUCAGUCUUUUUGUUGGUUACAGGGUUUCAAUCUUGGAUUUGAGAAAGCUCGGGCCUCUUUUACUUUGAAAUGUUUUGUGAUUUUAACUUUUGGUGGAUCAGUAUUCCGUGAGUACCAUAACAACAUAAUAUUUUAUGUCCCAAACGAUGCAUGUAUGCAUGGUCUGUGUGGCUCAUGGCAUUAAUAUUUGCAACUGUAACUGAAAAUAGUAUAGUACAAGGUAAAAUCUGAAGUCUAUCUCUUCCUGGAAUGCCCUUUCUAUUGCUGAAGCAUUCAUACCGAAGCAUUUGUUGCCCUUCGUGGUGGAUCCCAGGCGCAAUUGCAAGCUGUGGAAUUAAAUGCCACUUGUACAUGUGGCAAAUGGAGAGCUCUACUCAAGCAGAGCCUUCAUGUUAGUGUAUAUAUUUAUUAGAUGAGAAACUAUCCAAUGUUGUCUUUUGGAAGCAAUAUGGUACGCAUGCAUAUGAUGUGUUUAAGACUGUAAUUUUGCUUAUUGUAAAUUAUUCUUAUCUCUAUUCUCUUCUUUGAUGAUAAAUGAUGAGAGGAUAUGGAUUCUUUAUCAUGCGAUUAGCUUUUUCAUGAUUCCAUCUUCUAUGUUUAUUGAGCUUUCUUGUUUGAUGUGUAUACAUUUCAGAAAACAGUAUGUUGCAUGCCCUGAUGACAAGACAUUUCGCUCCAUGGCAAGUUUGUAUAGUCGUUCACAUUACAACAUGUCUUUGAGCAAAGAAUUUGAGGGGGGGAUUACUAAUGGGGCUCUUUGGUAUGGUGGAGUUGCAUUGAUUUUGAAUUUCUUUUUUUCUUUAUUUUUAACACUUCAUGUUACAUGCCUCUCCUAUAAUUAUUUUUGAAAAACUUGCUCUUGUUCUUGUGUUACUUCUCUGAACUUGUUCUCAGAAAAUGUUUUUUUAGGUAUCCUAUCUAUGGCGGCAUGCAAGAUUGGAACUACAUACAUGGGGGCUGUUUCGAAUUAACCUUGGAAAUUAGUGAUGACAAAUGGCCUAAAGCAAAUGAGGUUUGAUUGUUAAUGAAAUCUUCUGCUAUUGCAGCGCUUGCUACAUUUUCAUCAUCGAUGACAUACUUUUCUGGACCAUUUUCAUGAUAUCUGUUAAACCUGUGUGACAUUCUUUCUCAUGCUUUAUAUCUUCUUGUGAAUAUUCAAAGUCUUGGCAAUAUUUAUUUUCCUUCAUUAGCUAACUUCAACUUUUUUCACUAUCAUUUACAACAAAAGAACUUGUAUUUGCAUGCAUAUAAAAUAGUCCUACCUUGUUUAUAGAAAAGAACUAGGAUAAAGAAUUGAUAACAUCAAGUUACAGAUAAAAUUGGAUAGUAUUGGCAGUUAUUGAUUCAAUUACAUGAUAUAUUGAUCAUUUUCUCAUCAAUAAAAUAAUAUUAUCAAUGAGACUGGAUUUUACUUCAGUGUCUUUGUAAAUACAUGUUAUCUAUCAUGGAGUUAAAAUCUCAACCUUCAAUGUAGGAAAGGGUAAAUUUGGCAUGUUCACUUUUAUCAAUUCAACUGGUUAAAAAUUUUAAAAAACUUAAGGGAUUCUCAUUAGUGCUGUACACUUUCAAGAAAUUAGAUUUGCUUUGAUUCAUGAUAAUAUUAUUCACUAUUCCUUACUAUAUGGUAAUACUCUGGACAUACCAUGAAAGAGGAGCAAAUGAAGCUUCAAAUUCCUCCCUUUCAGGUAGAGAUCCACCUACCUUUUGUUCUCUCUCUCUCUCUCUCCUCCCCCCUCCUUUCUCCCUUCCCCUUUCCAAUCUCUAGUUCUGAAGCCCAGUUUUUUUCUCUUUCUCCAUCCUUCGAAAUGGAGGACAUUAAAUCCCUUGGUCUAUAAAAUGAUAUGACACCAAUGUUCUGAAACUUGCCCGGCUAUCGGCUGUUUUGGUGUUCAAGACCCGUUAACCCGUGACUAAGGAUUCAAGUCCCAGCGGGAUGUCUCGCGGGACACUAGGGCGGGGUACCAUCCCAUGUGUCGGGACAAGACCGUCCGCCCAUUGUCCUCGUAACUUGAUCGGCACAUCUUGGGACAUUCCUUAUCCCAAUUGUCGGAAUGGGGCGGGAUGGCAGUACAUCCUAUCCCAUGGAAAAAGUGAGAUAGCCCUGUCCCAUGGAAUUUAAAACCUGCAUGUGACAUCAUAAAUAAAUAAUUAAGUAAAUACUAAAAAUAGUAGAAAUAUUUAAAAAUUUAAAUAUAUAAAAAUAAUAUAUAUACACAUAUAUAUGUAAUGAUAACUAUGGUACAUGCUUAACAUUAAUACCAUAAAUGAAGAGAUGCUUAAUUCUUACAGGUUACUCCUCAAAGAAUAAUACAAAAGAUGUAUAUAUUAGCACCUAAUAAUGAUACCCUAUAAGUUUUUCAUUCUUCGAAGAAGAGUAAAAAUAUAAUUUACAAAAUAAUGUCUAGAAUCUUCAAUAUAAUCCAUCACAUCAAUCAAACAAGAAGUCUUUGAAUAGCGGAUGGAAUUGGCAGGUGAAUACCGGGUCAACUAGGAGAGACAAUACUGGGUCGUUUGAGAGAGUCAAUAGUGGGUCGCAUGGGUUUUUAGGAAAUGCAGAUCUAAGGUUGAUACUCGACUUGUGUAGGCUUACGGUUCAUGGAUCAAGCAGGUUGACCCAGUCAACCCAGUCGGGUAUUAGAACAUUGCAUGAUACAGACAUGGCUAACAAAGGCUAUCACCUUCUUGUGUGUAGAAAGAGAGAAGAGGGGGAGGUAGGGAGGUCUGUGGGCUUGCAAGCUUAUAGACAGGAUGAAAAAAGGAAAGCUAGCAAAAGCUCCUAGAUGGGGGAGGAAGAGAAACAUCACGAACUAUACUGGAGGGGCUCCAAAUUGUUUGAUAUUCUAUUAGUCAAUGGGGGACCUUGCACCAGUGCUCACCACCCCCCCCCCUGAUCCUCAGCAAGUUCCAGCUGUUGAAAAUUUAAAUCUGGACCAUCUAACUAUAGAACAUUGACAGCUUAGGAAAAAAUGGAAGGUACCAAAGGAUCACCUUGAGAAAUUUUAUCCCGAUCAAUGUUGAUGCUUUGCUAGUUAAAAUUCCUAAUAUGUACUAUAUUAGAUAGCAGCAAUAUUAAUUGUAUAUCUUUCUCAUUUUUGUUCCAAAGCCUCAUGAACUAGAUAUGGCUGUCUUUGACAAUGUCUGUGGAAGGUUCAAAUAGAAAUUGUUGGGUAAUGUCCUCUUGCAUGUUUUAUGGAUUUUAUAUGUCUUACCUAAGCAUUUACGAAUGCAACAUGUUACUGUGAAUUCAUGCUUGAUUUAUCUAGGUUAUUAUUAAAGAAAAUUAAGGAGCAAGUUUUGUAGUGCUACGUAUUAGGACAUUAUACAACCAAAACUCUUAAAGGAAACCACCUUCAGGGUGCAUUAAACUCCAACUCGUAUCUAUGUAUAAGAGAUAGUUUAUCCAAAAGACAGCAUGCUAAAAUUGUCGCGCUAUGAUGUAUAUGCAAAAUUAUAGGCUACCAAGUUACUUUCUUUAUCAUCUUCUCAUGUUCUCACUAAACCAUUUGUCAUUAGUUUGCCAUGAGAAUGAUGGACUGUUAGUUUGGAGUCAUGAUGACAAUUUCCAUCCACUAGGAUGAUUUUUUGAGACAUUUUCUACUUCAUUGAGGAAAAGGGACCUGACUACAUAAGUUUGCCCAUAGUCUGACUGGUUCUGAAAGGAUUCAAUUUAUUGUUGUUUGACAUGAGCAAAAUUUAACCCAGGUUGUACCUAUCAAUAUUUUCAUUAAUUAACUGAUAGGUGCUGUUACCACUUCUUAUCAUGUAAAUAGUCAAAGGCGAAAAUCUAUUUCAGCAUAUAGUGAUUUGAGUAGGGAAACAAUGGUUCAUAUCCUAGCAUGUCCCUAGAUAUAUAGCAUAUGAACUCGAAUCCUUAUUUGUGUGUUUUAGAUGAUCCAAAUCUGGUUGUUUCUUCACUAUAUACAAUUUGUUUGGUUGCCAAGGCCCAAGGCAGUGAGGAAUGGAGGAAAAGUGUGAGGUGAUGUUUAUGGUAGGUGGGAGUAGAGGAAGAAGAAGCUUCAAGAGAAGAGGGUGCAAGAAAAUGGAGGUUUGAACUUAGGAGGACAGGAGUGGAGCCAACAGAUGUGAAGAAACAAAGAUUUUAUUUCUUCAGAUUGAAAACUUCUGCCUCAACAAGGGUGAGGGCAUCCCUUUAUAUACACAAAAANNNNNNNNNNNNNNNNNNNNNNNNNNNNNNNNNNNNNNNNNNNNNNNNNNNNNNNNNNNNNNNNNNNNNNNNNNNNNNNNNNNNNNNNGCUUUUAUAAAGUAAGCAAUUUGCUUUUACAAAGUAGCUUUUGAAAAGAGGAUUCUUUUUUCCUUCGUCUUCUUCUGGGCUGGAGAAAUAAGAUGCUUUCUUCCUCCUGAAUUUAAGUUGAUGUAGACAUUGCUGUUGAUUAAAGUAGCUUUAUUAAAGCUGAGGUGUCCCAAAGUAGGCUCCGAAAGUAGCCGAAAGUGGAUUCCUUCUGGAUGAGGUUGCCGAAAGUAGAUUCCUUCUGUCGAAAGUAGCUGGUGACUCAGGAAUUGAUUUGACGAGUCACAUGUCUUGGUCGGUCGACUCUAAGAGGAUUAGUUUGAGUGUGCUGGCUCUUUGCCUUUAUCUAGUCUUGAUUUGACUGUUCCUUUGCAGAGUCCAGUGGUAAGGAUUCUUUCUCAGAUUUUUUCUGUCUUGUCUUUUGCAUGGAGAGACUGUGUUUCUUCUUCAUAAGGGUCUUGGAAUUCUCCUGCUAAGCAUCUAUACAUAUUGUGGUCUUCUGAAGUGGACAAUGAUGAUGUCCUUGAUUCAGUAGAUUUUAUGGAGGCAGUUGAAGGUGCCUCGAAUAUGCAGUAGCAUUGCUGCUUCAUAUGGUCAAGACAUUUGACCAUGAUCUCUUUGUCGAUGCAGUUAGGGUGGUUCUGAGAGCUUUUGCUUUAAUUUAAUAAAAUAAUUAUCAUUAAAGUUAGCUGAUUAUUGAGUUAUGGCAUGUUUAUUCAUGCUCUUAUAAGAAAUUAAAUUAGUUUUAAUAAAGAUGAUGAUAUCUUGAUAUUUUUCUCUAGACAUGCCCAGCCACCACUUAUAUAAAUUUUUUUUUCAGCAUAGGAAGAUUUUUUCUGGUUUCAAAUUUUGCGGAUAGGAUCCAUUUCCAUAUCCAAGGAAUUUUGUUCUCGAUGAUGAAAAUUAUUGGACAUAAUUUUGAGGAGAUUUGAUCAUCCAUCAUUUUGUUGAUGGUGGGAUACUUGUCCACCCAUUCUUCAAAAUAUUCGAAUAUUUCUUUGGGCAAUAUGUUGAGGUCUGGCCCAAAGUAAAUCCACCAUUCUUCAAGAGUGCUUUUUCUUGGGGUUCUCAUCAAAGAACAUGUUAGUAAAAGCUUGGACAUAGUUCCAGUAAUUUGCUAGGACUAUUUACCCAUUUACUUGGAAUGGUUUGCCUUGAUUCGGGUCAAGUCUCCAUUCAUUUGGUCUAAUCACCUUGUGAAUAGUGCAUUUGCUAAAGUUGAUGAUGUUGCUCCUCAUAGUAUUAUUAUAAAAAUUAUGAUUAAUUUCAACAGAACUAGUUAGGAGUAAAAUUACCUCCAUAACUAUGUUUUUUCCUUCGCAUGAAGGAUAACCCAAUUCGUCAAAAUAUUUUUGACGCAUAAACCAUGGAUCAUUCAGAUUAUUAACAUCAUUAUGAUCAAGGUACAUAAUCACCUGUUCGGAUUGCUUCUUCGAUUAAGUACUGUCCAGGAUAUUUUUCUAUAGUACUUCCUUCAUCGUAGGGUUGGAUGAUGAAGUUGGCUGGAAAAGCAUUCCUUCCUUUAUAGCAUCAAUUUGCUGUUGUUAGUCAACCUUCUUGUCCCCUUUUAGAUAGGUUGCCAGAUCCACCAUUUGCAGAUAUCUUAUGGAAAGUGCAUUGGCACUGCGUCCCCUGCUCAAAUGAGACAGAGCAUUCUUUGAACUCAUGGAAAGUGCAUUGGCACUGCAUCUCCUGUCAUAUCGAGCAGAAUUUCUGCCUCGAUUAUAAUAUGUUCAUCUGUGAGGAAUCAUCCCUGCAAAAAUUCUCUAGUCAGAAAAUCAGAAAGAGAUUUUUUUUCAAAUUUAGUAUGUUCUAUUUCAAAAUAAAAAACAAACAAUUGUGCUUGCCAUCCAGCAAAUAUUUGCUUGGAUACUAAAUUCUUAACAUCUUUUUGUAUAAUUUGUUUGAUUGCACUGCAGUCUAUUCUCAACAGAAAUUGCUGAUUUAGCAGAUCACUCAUAGAGAAACAUAUUAUAAUCGAGACAAAAAUUUUGCUCGAUAUGGCAGGGAAUGCAGUGCCAAUGCACUUUCUAUAAGAUAUCCGCAAAUGGUGGAUCUUGGCAACCUAUCUAAAAGGGGACAAGAAGGUUGACUAACAACAGCAAAUUGAUGCAGUAAAGAAAGAAAUGCUUUUCCAGCCAACUUCAUCAUCUAACCCUACGAUGAAGGAAGUACUACAGAAAAAUAUCUUGGACAGUACUUAUUCGGAUAAGCAAUCCGAAUAGGUGAUUAUGUACCUUGAUCAUAAUGAUGUUAAUAACCUGAAUGAUCUAUGGUUCAUACGUCAAAAAUAUUUUGACGAAUUGGGUUAUCCUUCAUGCGAAGGGAAGAACAAAGUAGUUAUGGAGGCAAUUUUACUCCUAAUUAGUUUUGUUGGAAUUAAUCAUAAUUUUCAUAAUAAUACUAUGAGGAGCAACAUCAUCAACUUCAGCAAAUGCACUAUUCAUAAGGUGAUUAGACCAAAUGAAUGGAGACUUGACCCGAAUUAGGGCAAACCAUUUCAGGUAAAUGGGCAGACAGUCCUAGCAAAUUACUGGGACUAUGUCCAAGCUUUUACCAACAUGUUCUUUUAUGAGAACUCCAAGAGAAAGCACUCUUAGUUUUUGCAGGUCAAUCUAGACGUGUUACAGAAGCCUCUUCUAAGCUGGUUCUAUAAAUGGUGGUCUUACUUUGGGCUAGACCUCAACAUAUUGCUCAAAGAAAUAUUCAAAUAUUUCGAAGAAUGGGUGGAAAAUUAUCCCACUAUCAACAAAAUGACGGAUGAUCAAACCUCCUCAGAAUUAUGUCUAAUGAUUUUCAUCAUCAAAAACAAAAUCCCUUGGAUAUGGAAAUGGAUCCUAUCCGCAGAAUUUGAAGCCAGGAAAAAUCUUCCUGUGCUGAAAAGAAAGUUUUUAUAUAAGUGGUGGUUGUGCAUGCCUAGAAAAAAAUAUCAAGAUAUCAGCACCACCAUUAAAACUAAUUUAAUUUCUUAUAAGAGCAUGAAUAAACAUGCCAUAACUCAGCAAUCAGCUAACUUUAAUGAUAAUUAUUUUCUUAAAUUAAAACAAAAGUUCUCUCGGAAGCACUCCAACUGUACCGACGAAGAGAUCAUGGUUAAAUGCCUUAACCAUAUGAAAUGGCAAUUCUACUGCAUAUUCGAGGCACCUUCAACUGCCUUCAUGAAAUCUACUGAAUCAAGGACAUCAUCAUUGUCUACUCCAGAAGAUCACAAUAAAUACAGAUGUUUAGCAGGAGAAUUUCAAGACCCCUACGAAGAAGAAGCACAGUGCACCAAUGCAGAAGACAAGAUAGGAGAAAUCUGGCAAAGAAUCCUUGCCACAAGACCCCGUAAAGGAGUAGUCAAAUCAAGACCAGAUAAAGCAAAGAGCCAGCACACUCAGACUAAUCCUCUCAGAGUCGACCGACCAAGACAUGAGACUUGUCAAAUCAAUUUCUGAGUCACUAGCUACUUUCGGCAACCUCAUUCAGAAGAAAUCCACUUUCGGCUACUUUUGGCGCCUACUUUGGGACACCUUAGCUUUAAUAAAGCUACUUUAGUCAACGUCAAUGUCUACAUCAACUUUACUUCGGGAGGAAGAAGCAUCUUAUUUCUCCAGCCCGGAAGAAGACGAAGGAAAAGAGAAUCCUCUUUUCAAAAGCUACUUUGUAAAAGCAAAUUGCUUACUUUAUAAAAACAAAUUGUUUUAGUCAUAUCUAACUUUAUUUCUUUUCUUAGCCGGCCGCUAACCAUCGGACUCCAAAAUCAAUUGGAAUCCACUUAUAGUUUUUGUGUAUAUAAAAGGAUCUCUCUCUCUCUCUUGUUGAGGCAGAAGUUUUCAUUUUGAAGAAAUAAAAUCUUUGUUUCUUCACAUCUGUUGACUCCACUCCUCUAGAGGGUGGCAAGCGUCAUGAACAAAAGGGAAGGAGUUAAAGGAUGGUCUAAAGGCAGUGCAUGGUGUCAUUGGUGGAAGACGAUGGAGGAUAACAGGGCUUGGAUGGUGGUGUGCUUGGAGGGACAAGUCAAUUAGUGAAGCAAGUGCAUAUAUUGGCAUUUGGUGAAAGGUGUUUUGGAGUAAAAGGGUACUAUCUUGGGUUGGGAUUGGGAUUUCGUAGCCCACUAACCCUGACUUGAAGCCUAGGCUUUUGGUAUGAAAAUUAGGCCUACUAACCUAUUGGGUGCUGGGUUUGGGUUUCAAAAUCAAGACUGAUUUUUUUCCUGGUCCCUUUGGGGUGCAGGUUGAGCCGCACCCUUAAUGUGAAAGCGGCGACAAUCAUUUGUGCAUAGUUUUAUGUAUAAAUAUUCUACUGUUUUUCUUUUUAUUCAGUCAUCUUAACAACUAGAUGGUUCCCCUCUCUGUCUGUCUCUUGCAAGCUUCCUGAGGUUCUUUCCUUCUAUAAUGAAGGUGGCAAUUGAAGUGCUGACAAGCAUCGAUGCAAUGGAUAACGAGACAAAAAAUUAGUUCACUCUCUUGUUCCCCUUGCCUCUCUACUUGUCCACCCUUGACCUUGCCCUCCUGUCUUGUCUUAUGACCACGAUAAGGCUCAGAAUAACCUAACAAUUAUCCAACACAAAUGUUGAAGAUUGGUCAAUAAUCAAGUAGUCUUGGUUUAGAUUUGUGUUUUUAUAUAAUUUGGUUUGGGUAUGGAUAUGAGAAAUCGGAGCCGAACUCAUUGCAUUAUUAUCCCUUACUGCAUUUUGGUGUUGGGGGUGGGUGAGAGUUUGGAUGGGGGUGUGUUUAGAGGUAGAGGGUGGUUGGCAUGGCAAAUAGGGCAUUUAGGGGUUUGGAGGGAGGUAUGUUGGACGAAGAGGAUGAAGGUGUCAAGGGGUGGGGUAGGGUGGGGUGGAGUGUACUACUACCACCCAUUGCUGUUCACCACUUGAUAAAAUACCUUCUACUGGUGCAUAAUUUGUUGUUGCAGCCCCAAAAUAUUGACAAAAGGAAGCAUGCAAGAGCGACUUAAGCUUUACAUAGGGGUGGAAAUUGGAUGAGUCGGGCAAGGUUAGAGAACAAACUAUAAUCAACAUGAGAUCCCAAAACCUGUCCAGAAUUUGAUUGAUUGGGCCAAGAUGGAUCAAAUCAAAUUGAUUGCGUUAAGCUGGAUUUUUGAGUUUAAGAAAUCACAUUUUUCACUUCAGCAUUUCAAUGAAUAGCUUCCGGGUCUCAACCACGGACCCUAUUUCACAAAUCUACUGAUGAUCAUCAUGCAUAAAGAGCAUGCAAGGUACUUGGGGAUUAUUUUUUCUUCUUUUUUGUUAAAUUAUUUUGAGGAAAUAUGACCAACAUUGGGGAAUGGUGUUUUCAUUAAUUGCUCCUUGGUCGAUAAAUUUGGAGAGUGAAAGUAGAGAUGUUUAAUUGCUCGAUCAAAAGAAAAGAAAAGAAAAGAAACAGAACCUAGGUGCUUCACACUCUCAUGUAUGGUAUACUGUCUCGGUACCAGGCUUUGUAUUGGUGCCAUCCUAUCAUUAUAGCGGUACUCCUGAUAUGGGGCCGGUUUGGCGUAUCGAGUAUCGGUACCGAAUCGGUGCGGUACGGUACGAUAUGUUCUAUACCGUCCGAUUUGGUAUGGUAUGGCAUACCAUGCUCUCAUGCAUAAUAGGCUGGCCUAGUUCAAUGUAGCUAAUCGAGCCCAAGCCUGUAACAACCCACCAAAACAUCCUUUACAAGGUUUUCUAGACUAGUCACAACUCUAGAGAAAAGUAUAUAAUUGAUUGUGAUGGUUCUUUGUUAUCCUAUGACCAAUAGGAGAUUGGCUAGCCUUUGGGCAAUAUUAUUAAUGUGGAAUUGCCUUUCUUCCUCUUCGGUGUUUUUCUUCCCUUUUGAUUGCUAGAGUAGAGAGGAAUCUUCUUGUUGACAUGAUCUACUCUACAAAGUUGUUUUCUUGGAAGAGAGUAGAAGAGAAAAUAUAGACAACCCAUGUAACUAUUUAAAGAGAGAUUAGAUGAAGCUAGAGGUACAACCAUGGUCAGCCGAACCGGUCCGUACCGGCCGAUUUGGCCCAGCAUAGACUGGUCCGGCCUGGAACCGGUACCCGAACAGCGUGGAUACCGGUUCCAGCUAUUUUCGGACUGGUACCGAUCGGUACGCAUACGUACCGGCUGCGUACUGUCUCGUACCGGUGCAAACCGGUACCCUUUUUUUUUAACUCCAACGCACGCGUUGUGGAUUUUAAACCCCAGCGCACGUGCGCUAUGGUGCAGAGCACGUGGCUCGUCCCUCGGGGCAGAGCGCCCUGCGUGCGGUUCCUCCUGCGCGUUUCCGCGUGCAGUGCGGCAUGAUUCCCCGCACUGAAAAUCGCCUCAUGUGCGGUUCCCUCACCUGCGCGGGGCAUAAAUGCCACAAAGUCAUAAAUGCCCCACGCGGGCAGCAGACGUGUGCGGACGAGAACUGAAAAAAACAAGGAAACCGGUUCGUACCGGACCGGUUCCGGUACGAACCGGUCUCGAACCGGUCCGGUAGGCGACUGGUAUGCCUACCGGUACCGGUUCAGCGUACCUUGGGUACAACUAUGUGAAACCAAAGGACAAACCAAUGAUGAGCCUUCAAUGAAGCAGGUUGCAAGUUUGUUGCAUGGAUCUGGUCAAUCGCACCAAAUUUCUAAUUGGCCCUAUGUGAAUUGUGGCAAAAAAUUAGUGGAGUUGAAGAUUUAACCUCCAUGUUGAUAGGGCUUUAUGACAUAUAGGUAGCCUAUAUAUAUUUUGAAGAUUUGUGCUAGUCAGUAAUAUUUUGAAUGUUCUCAUAGAUGCAUUGUAGCAAGCCAAGGUUAUGUGAAAUUUCACUAGAUUGAACAUAGCUAUUUUUCACUUACUACCACUCCUUGAAUGUUAAGAGUCUAUCAUAGCCAAGAUGUAGUUGUAGGCUUGGUAAGUAUUAGUGAUCUUAAAGUUUUUUUUUUUUUUAAAUUUGUUGUUCAUAGAGUGGUUUAUGCUUAAUUUUUAUUCACAUUAUGGCGCUUAUAAAAAGAAUUUCUAUUAAUGGCAAAAAAUCAUGCAUGCUGCACUUGAUUUGGUACAUAUGCACGGGAAUGGUGUUUAACCUUUGAAGUAAUCUGCAUUGUAGAAGAUCUUCCUCUUAUUUUUGCCCCAAGAAGGUUUUGGAGAUGUAUCAUAUUACUCAAUUAGCACUAGCACCCCCUCCAUCCUAAUUAGUGAAGAGGGAAAAAUUAAAAAAAUGAUUUUGAAGGAGAGAGGGAGAGGGAGAGCGGUGAGGUAUUACCUAGUAAUGGGAAUGAUCCAAAAUGGAGAAGAAAGUACAGGUUGCUAGCUCACUCUCCAUCAUCUCUCAUCAACCAUGAGAAUGAGCGAUAGAGAGAGAUAAAGAUCAAGGGGGUCAGGUGGUCUAGGGCCCCCGCGGCCUUCGCCGCGCCCCCGUGGUUGCUUCUCCCUCCUGCCCCUGCUCGCUCGCUGUUUCUCCUUUUCUUCCCUGGCUCCGGUGCGUACCGGUGUCCACGGCGGAACCGUACUGGUAGGCCACCGGACCGGUCCAGUAAGGGCUAAACCGGCUGGUACAUACCAUACUGAGAAGAUGGAGUAUGGAUUUGGAGAGGAAGAUUGGGGGAUAUGAAGGCCCUUCCUUGGAAAAGAGGAUUUCAUCCACCUAUACCAUAAGUCAGUCAUUCUCUUACAUGCAAAUACUUAGAACUUAGUGGAUUUAUAUAAGGAAGAAGGUCAAAUAAAAGCAAAACUUUUAUCUCCUUGAGAACUCACUACUAACUAAUGUCUCCUUCGCUUCUAGCUUUGGUAAAUGACAAUAGCUAAUUUAUAGCACCCAUCUUAAGAAUUACGAAAACUUGCAAUACCGUAGCUAGUAUGGGGGAAUCUGUGGCACCAACAUAAAGAUGACUCCACCUCCACUUUUAUAAAACAUUUAGAUAAUGUUAUAUAUUUGUUCACACUUGAGUAUAUGGGUUCAUGUUGUGUUGGUUGCCAAAUGCUUUAGCCCAAGCUUGGCUGGAAUUCAAGUCUGCUUGGCCCUAAGCCUGACACAAGCUAGGGAUCAAACUGCCAAAAUGUGAGCCAAGUUCAGGGUUGGGUUCAGAGCUUCCUGCCUAAUUUCCUCCCCUAGCUUUACCUUUCACCCAUAUGUUCAUUUAGAUUUGCCUUCAUUGAAAUUGGACCAAAUAUUUUUUGGCGCCAAUUUUUUGGUAUCCCUGCCUGAAAUUUUAAAAUUCAAGGUUUUGCAUUACCAGUCCUUAUUGGUCCCUAUUGGCGUUCUGUACCGUACUGGUACCGAAUUGGUAUAGUACAAAGGCUUGAACUAGUACCAUAGGAAAACAUGGUAUAGGUGCUGUUCCAACUUAGCGCAACUUUAUUGUGUCAGUAUAGGUGCAUGCCAUGCCGUGUCAUACUGUAUCGGUAUGGUACGAUACAGGACUUGGUAGCGAGAUGGUAGAUCUUUGUUCCAUAUUGAAAUAAAAUUUGAUUAGUAGGUCAUCAAACUCUAUUCCUGUUCUUUGAUUAGAACAAGAGGUAUAAUUCCAUUUUCCAAUCUUUCAUGAAGAUGAUUGAAAACACCAACCAGGUUAGUUUAAGCUUUUAGUAGCAGAGAACUUCCACUUAAGGUGUUGUACAAGCUUCAGAAACUUGCCCCUGCAUUCACUGCCUGAGUGUUUAUUCUUUUUUUGGUUUAGAGAGCGAUUGAGAGAGAGAGAGAGAGAGAUCUACUUCCUUGUUUUUUGAGAAGAUUAUUAUUCAUUCAAUAACUUUAUUCUUUGAUGACAUUGCAUAGACCUUGAUAUGGAGGUUUUAACUGGACUUAGCUAUUGAAACACUCUAAACCAUUCUCUCAAAUAAAGCACAUUUCAUCAUGUACAAUGCGCUAAAUCAAAUCAGAAAAGAAAGAUAUGAGCUACAUGAUAACUUAAGUUCGAUAAGUUUAAAGUUUGAAGAUUUCCCUCAUUAAGCUACAAACAAAAACAUAUGCCAUAAUAUGGAAAUGAGGCAGGGAAGUUUUUAAAGUAGAGUAUAAUUAAAUCCGAAAAUAUUCUCCUAAGAUUAAAUCUGCUAAUGCUCACACCAUGAAUUUUUUUUUUUAAGGAAAAAGUCUAAUUGAGCCCUAAUAUAACUCUAGAUCGAAAUAUAUCAAACUAAAAUCAAACUACUGAUGCAAUAAAGACAACCUCAAUCUUAAUUGAUCUCUUAAAAUCUAGCUACCAAAAUGAGACAUGGUGACAAAUCAAAAGUUUGAUACUUUUCUUUUUCCAAAAAAAAAAGAGAGCUGUAAGGAUGUAAUCUAAGGCCUUGCUCCUCUCUUCUUGAUCUCAAAUUCUACGUUUUAUCUUGUUCUUGAGUUGAGCAAGACCUUGUUGAAAGCCUAUCGAACUGUUUCGAGAUUCUGCAUGUAUGUUUGUAUUUGCAUGAACAUGUGUCUUUUAUUGUGUGAUAGUAUCACCUAAAUCAUUCUUUUUUAUUUUCUGUUAAUAUUAUACUUGCAGCUUCCUGUCAUCUGGGAGUACAACAGAAUGAGCAUGUUAAAUCUUGUUGCUAGUCUUGUGAAGGUAAAAUAUUUGUUCUAACUUUACUGGAUUCUCUUUUAUAGAUGACAUUUCCACCAUGAUGUCAUCAUAAGGCUGUUAUUACGUGGUACCAAAAACUGAAACUCUGCUUUUCUGUAUUGUAGCCUCAAAGUGCUGUUGGAAUUGGAAUGUUUAUUAGUGGUAAAGAUAUUUGAAAAACUGACCCAUGCACCAAUGCACCAGUGGGCCAUAUAUUCCUUUACAGUUUUGAAAUGUCAAAAAUUUUUCACAUUAUAUAUUGAACAUAUUAAUAGCUGUUCACCUGUUUAGGCAACAUUUUGUCACUAGUGUAUAAGACAAGUGUUGGGAGAGGAUGAUUAUGGCCUGUUGCAGUGCUGUUAUCCUUAACUCAGCUUAAAUUUCCAGUAUACUGCUGAUUAGAUGAAGCAAAGCACAUCUGUCUUUGAAAUUUCAAACUCUUUGAUUUGAAGUAGUUUUCACAGAAGUUGUCCGACAGGACUUAUGCCAUAAAUAGUGAUAGCUAUUAUAACAGUUUCGGCCAAUGUCCUUUGUGAUAUUAACAAAUAAAACAGCAUAAGAAAUAAUAACUGCUAUCUCUGCACGACAUUCAUUUUGCUAGGUUUGUGAUGACCAUUAUUUGUACAUCAAUACUGUGAUAUUAAAAUUGAUCUUAUAAAAUAAAUAACAAUGUUAUUUUGUAUAUACAACAGUAUUUUAUUUGACUACAAAAUAUUCAUAUUAAACAUUGUAGUAUGUUAAAAUGUUAUGGUUCAUAGUGAUCGAUUACAAGGUUUAAAUUCUUCAUACUUCAAGUACAGCAUGGUACGGCUAGUACAUGCCAGUAUGGUAUGGUAAUUCAAUCCAUUGCUAUAACUGGUAUGAUAGUCCUUAGUGGCUUUGAGGCAUAUCCAAUACAUGCAGAUAGCAGUGUUAUUGAAACAGUCAUUGUCAAUAAGACACUCUUAAUUCCAAAUCUUUCUAUAACAUGUAAUGGAGAGAUGGAAGGGUUUAUCCUUAUUAUGUUACUGGGUGGUAAAUUGGCAGCUUAGCAGGGCAACUGGAUUCUUCAUUGACUGGAAAAUAUAAAAUAUGUGUGUGGGUAGGCUUCUGAAGGAGAAGCCAGAAACCUGCAAAAUUCUAAAUAAUAAACUAUGCUGGGAUAUACUUAAAACAGCAUGAUUCAUGAUAAAGUUUAAAUGUUCUUUUUUCAAUUUCAUGUAUAUUUACUUGGUGCCAUUUUUUAUGUUUCAGUUAGUAUUGUUUGGUGUUGGGCUGUCAGAUUUUUCUUUUUGAAUUAUGUUAAUCUUUCAGACAGGAGUUCAUGGAAGGAUAUUCUCAUCAGACAAAGGGCGUCCUUUACCAGCCUCUGUAGUGAUCCAGGGAAUUGAUAUUAGAGUAUGUCUCCUCUAAUACUAAAGAAGAAUUUGUGUUAAUAUGUUUUUCAUUAAUUUUAGUCAACUGGAUCAUUUUGGUCCAAAUUGUUCAUGAUAAUGGUUUUUAAUUCUUCUAAUCAUUGUGUAUUACAUCUAAGCACUUGGGCUAUCUUAUCAUGUGGAUCGUCGGUUCUGUAGCUUAAAAGCUUUGUCUACAGUCAACCAUGACUGGAGCUAAACAGUUUCAAGAUACUGCAUAUUUUUGAUAGGGUUCUCUUAUCCUCAGGGGUUGCGAUUUUUGUAGAAUACAUAGAAGAUGGAAGAAGUGUUCUAGAUUAAUCUAGUAGAAUAUUAAUGAAUGUCAGAACAUUUUGUGGUUUCCAACCACUUGACCCAUUUCUUUUCUGAAGGUGAAUGCUAGCAGGACAUACGGUGAUUACCAUCGCAUGCUUGCCCCUGGGGAGAGGUAUGAAGGUAAAAUCUCCAUGUAAAAGGUUCUUGUUUUAUGCUAGUCUGUUUUUCCUUGAUAUUGCAACAUGUAUCAUCUUGGCAAUCACCACAAAGAUCACUGUCAAUAAUUUGAUAAUUGAAAGAGAUAUUUUUUAAGUUUUAGGGACUUACUAAGUAGUUUUCCUCAACUGCUUUAAGCCUUUAACCAGCAUUGCUCGUCUCUUUUAGUGAUGAGAAAUUUGAGCAACUUACCUUGUUGCUUAAGUUCUAAUGGGGUUGAAAGUCCUGUUUUCACUUUCACAUGCUGAAUACUCAAAUACUGGAUAACACAUACUGAUCUAUCCAAAUGCCUAGAUGGUUUUAUGUCUUUUGCCUAUGAUCAACAAAAUAUCACCAGAUGGAUCAACCGUCAUGUACUCUGUGGAGCAGUGGACUGUCUUGUUCCCAUGUUCGGGCUCCUUCCAGAGCUCUAGAUGAAAGAGUUAUGCCUUUUUUGGUUAAUUCUAAUUUCGUAAACAUUCGCCUGCCUCUUGGCAGUGUUGAUGCUUAUCAUUCUCUUACUGCAUGGUAGAUUACCUUGUCAAUGUGACCUGAAUGGUUAUGCAGAGAACAUGUGGUGUACCAUACGAAAGAAUGCCUUGGCAUGUUCCAGAAAUACCUGCAUAUAUGGACGCCCUAGAAACUGCUGGGAGCUCUUGAAUUUUCAAUUGAGAUAUUUGUAUAUUUGACAUGGUGAUGCUUAAGACCAUAUUUGAUGUGUUCUCCAAAUUAGAUAAAGCCAAUGAUUUUCAAAUUAGAACUCCAGCUAUGAAACUCUUGAUUUGCUCUAUCUAUAUAACUUAGCAGCAGGAAGUGUUUGGUUAUCGUGGAAACCUAAUGAAAUUGUGUAAACUUUUCUUGCAGUUACGGCAUCUAUGCCUGGCUUCCAAUCUAAAACUACACAUAUAUUGCUGGAAGAUGAGGCUAUGAACUUGGAUUUCAUUCUGAGUCCAGAAGAUUCAAGCAAACAUGAGGAAGUCAGGAACGAAUGUGAUUGCACCUGUGAUGGCAAGGACAAGCUUGAGGUGGUUGAGUUUCUAAGGGGGAUUAAUUUGGGGAUAUACCUUCUGCUUUCUGUGAUGUUCCUCAUUUUCUGCUGUCUGUUGAGGAGGAAAACAAUGUUUAAGUUUCUAAACCGUAGACAGUUUAAUGGGUAUAAAAGGUCAAUUGUUGUGUAAGGCUUUGACAGAAACACGCGCAUGUUGUAAAUUAUUUUUUUGGCUAGUUCAAGGCUAUUUUGUUGCCCUAUGGCAUGCAAUUUCCGUUGGGAAUAGGCUUGAUGGGAUUGUUGUGUAAGACUUUGAUAAUAACAUUCAAAUGCUGUAAAUUAUCUUUUUGCUAGUACGACGCAUUAACUGUUAACCUGAAAACUGGUGAUACUCUUCUACCAAAAAAAUAAAAGGCCAGUGCGAUGCCAUCACAUUAAACCCAGCGGUAAAUUUGAUGAGAUUUAAACCUCUGUGGGGACGCACAAGGAAAACAAACUGCCUUAUCUAUUUGGAAAAUGCUUCAGAUGCCCGCAUGAAGCUCCCAGAGCUUACGGCAGCUGAGCUGGCAACUCCAUAAUUAAUUGGCAUGUUAUUUAUAUAAAAAUAAUGUGUGCGCACAUAAAUGGAGCCGCAUGCAUUACUCUAUUUAUUUUGUGAAAAAUUACUUGUCAUUUAACUUGUUUUACCCCAUCUGAUGAGAUCAAGUUAGGUUGCCACCCUGUUUGUUUAUUAAAAUUUUGUUGUCAUUUCACUUUUUUUGCCAUCAGAUUAGAUCAAGUUGGUUGCUUCUCUCCAAUUAACAGCCAGCACAUUGCUUGCGGGGAAAAACAAAGGGCAAACAGCCAAUGCAACUGAGUCACGGUUCAUGCUGCAUUUUAUUUUUUAUUUAAUUGGUCCGCUAACAUUAUAAAAUUUGCUGCUGCUUUCCCUAACAAAUUUCAACAGCUUUAUUUUCUUGAAUGAUCCCAAAUUAAGCGUUCUUCUCACAUAUUUCUGGCUUUCUCCUUGGUGACCAAAGCACCCAUCCGUUGCAUCAACAAAUCGAAGUCAUCCUGGGACCUGAUGAGGCUCAGACGAGCGUAGCGGUUAUCCGCUCCAAAUUUGUACCCUGCGCGGGAGAUUAUUCCUCCAGCUCUCAAUACAGCAUGGCAGUUCCUGUCUUCCUCCUUCUCGCACUUCAACCAGGCGUAAGCUGCCGAAAAGCCGUCAACCAGAAUGACAAGAGAAAUCAUUAAUACAUGCUUUGGCAAUGCUCGGGUCUAAUUUCCAUGAAAGCUAUUAGCUAUGAUCGAUGAAACAUAAACAUGCCGUGCAGGAUGUUAGCUUAAGAAUUUCAAAGGCGGAUCGGAGAAAAGAGGGGGAGAGCAAAGAUAGGAUCGAUCGGAUAGACGCCUUCGAGUGAAGGGAGGUAAUUAAGAGUCACCUGGAGAAGGGUCCCUGAUCUUUCCAAAGUAGCUGCAGUACUCAGGACGCAUUAGUUGGAGGGAGAACCGGUCAGACGACGACACAAGCUUGUUCAAUUUGUGCCACCUUUCCCUCAUGGUACUAAAUGCAAACCCAAAGAUGCUCCCUGCCGCCCCUCUCUCUUCAGCCAGCAUCGCUUUCAAGAGCUUCAGACUUCUUAGAUGAGUAUCCCUGGAAACACCCAUCGUGUUGAUUCCCAGGUAGCUCAGCAUUCUCCUGUACACUCCUUCAUCCUUCACGAUCGCCCACCUGCAUGCCGAACAAAUAAAGCAUGAGACCACCUCCUGAAACUCAUACACAUUCCUAGAGCAGAGUCUCCGAUGCUUUUACCCGAAUCUGCUGCCGGCGUGACCUGUGAGCUUGGAGAUGGUGAAGAGCAUGAGAUCGCCAUCAGCCGGAGCUUUGACUGCCGAGAAGUGAGGCCAGUAGUAGGCGUGGUCGUAGAUGACGGAUGAACCUUGAAGAACUGGUUGCUGCAGGCGCCCAUCUGGGUUGUUGGGAGAUGUCACAAAUUCGAUAAAAUUCGCCGCAACUUCUCCACCCAUCUUUGACGUGACUCCUUUCCAUUCAUACGCUCGGGAGUUGAAGAACUCGGUCUGCGUCCUAUAAACCUGAACGUCGAAGACAAGACCCAAGCAGCCAUGCCAUUAGGAAGGAACUUGGCGACAUCGUUAACAGUCAUACUGGAAGGUGAUUAAGAUGGAGAGGCGACCGUAUAGUAGGGAACGGAUGCAACAACGCUGGCAGGUGAUGAUGCCGAGCUGUUGGGAGAAAGAGCAUGGACUGCUGCAUUGAUCAGCUGCGUGGAUCCGGCCCCAAAGACGACGAAUCUCCCAUCGGUGAUUGCAUUUCCUACAUGCGAAUGCAGUCUUCGAAUGUGUCUCUCGAGUUCGAUGGAGAUGAAGUUGUCACCAUCUGUUUGGUAGCUCAUGCGGUGCCAACCGGCCACAACAACUGCACUGCUCGCUGCAUGCUGCCUCCAGUAUGGCUCCAGGAACAGGGGAUCGCCACUGCAGCAGUCAAAUAAAUAGCGUUUAUGAGAAAUGAACAAUGCGAGGAAUGGCAAGGCCAACAAUGAUAGAAAGAUGAUGAUGAAUCUUCUAUUGUAGACUAGGAUCAUCUCUCUCUUCCUCUCUGCACACACACACACACACACACACACCAUAUAUAUUGCUUUCAUCAAAGCAAGUUGCAAAAAGCCUAGGGUGCUCUUUUGAUCGCUAACUAGGAAGAGCAUUACAUUACAUCUAAAUCAGGAGAGGCUCUAUAUCAUUAUUUCUUCUGAAUCUGUGCAAACUGAUAUAAUUGCACGCCAAGAAAAAAAAAUGCAUGUUGUUAUUGUUAACUUUGAAUGUCAAACUUUUUGCGUGCAUGACUGAUAUGAAACAUGUUUGCUUCUUAUUUAACACCGUUUCCUGUAAGCCUAAACAAUAAGAUAUCAAUCUUACUUGGUUUCCUCUUUAACAUUGAAAAACUAGUGCAAGAUUGUUCUUGAGAUAAAUCGGUCGAUAGAUAGGUAGAGAGAGAGAGAGAGACUUAGUUUAUAGGCAAGACUAUAAAUUAAAGAUAUUCUAUUGAUAUGUGUAGUGAUGUAAACUCGAAAAUCUAAUGCGAGAAAUUUAUAUAGACAUGACUAUAAAUUAAAAGAUAUCUUACUGAUAUGCUUAUUGAUACAAAUUCACCAGUUUGCGACCGAAUUCAAGAGCAUAAUUUGAGAUUCUGAAAUGUUUUAGGGUGCACACGGCACUGAAAUGAAUUUUCCCUAGUUGAUAUUGAAAACCAGGAAAAUUCUAUCCAUCUAAUUCAACACCAAGAGCCCCACCUUUCAGCAUCAGCAGCACAACCCUGCACAAACUCCGAGCAAUCUUGGCCUCUAUAGCAUGCAUUACACUCGCAGACAUGUUUGCCAUCGACGAGAAUCCCGUCCACAAAGGCUGAUCCAUGCCCAGAACACGAGAGAGCUGCAACAGCUUCAGCUUCUGUGGCUGCUCUGCUGCUCCAGCUUAGCUCAGGCGAUUGGAAGAGGGCUCUAGAGAUGAAGAAGAAAUUCAAACAUGGAGAACAUAAAAGCAAGAAUAGACAGAAGAGGUAUUUGGAGCUGUAGGCCUUGGUAUUAUUGGACUCUUUGGGCCCUUCUAUCAGUUUAGAGAGGUGGGAUGAAUCCAUAUUUAUUUGUUUUAUUUCCAUUAGUUUUCGAGUUCUAUGAGGUCCUUUUAUGUUCGAAGCUUUAGCUUGCGUGGAACAAACACCAAUCUGCAAAGAAACCAUUCAACACCCGGAAACUUUGAGCAGGUGCCCAUUUUGAAUACUAGAUUAGGAAUGACCACUUUGAUGAAGCACCAGAUCAGGAUCGUUGACUGGACCCAAUAAUCUUCAGAUCAAGGCGGAGGAAAUGACGGCCAAUAAACUAAAGCAAAAGUCAGCAUCGGCACCAUUGAGGCCGUCAUCUGCUUCGUUUCAGGAGGCACAGAUGAUAAUAAUAUGAUUCGCUUCUUGGUGCGGUUUCUUUGACCAAUCUUUCUGGUUUACGUUCUCAAAUUGUGUUCGCAGGUCAUGAAUGACGAUAACCAUUAGUAUUUCAAAAUAGACUGCAGUUCAACCCAUUGCUUCCAACUUGUUGCAUCUUACGGGAAAUUGUAAGCUUUGAAAAGUAUUCUAUGAAGACGCUAAAAAUAAUCAAUUGAAAUGUAAGAACAACCUGGAAUUGAGAGGAGAUGGCAAUUUCUUUUCUUCUUCUGCUUUUUUUUGUGUGUGUGUAGAAAAUUGUAAGCUUUGAAAAGGUACCAAUGCAAUUUACUAUGAUUUCAGAAAUCAGUUUUCACAAUAGUAACUUAAAAUUUAAUGGUUGCUGAUUUUUACUUCAGUUAUUCGGAGUUAAGAUACGAGAUUAAUCAAUUUAAGAGAUUAGGUUACAAACAAGUAUUAUAGUUGCUCUGAUCCUAAAAUAAUCUGAUCGUGGGAUAUUGAGAAACUUUCCGUUGCUAGGGUGUACUAAUCUGAUCUAAUCACUUGACUCAACAAUCAAAUCAACUCAAAUAAUAACAAAAACACAACCAAAUCAACUCAAACAAAAGCAACCAAUAAUGAAAUAGAAUAAAAAUAAUACAGACUCAAAUGAACCCAAUCCAGGGCCCGACUCAAACUGAUGGCUCAAAAUCAUCUCUUAGCCACAAUGAUGUCGAUCUCAAGUGCAAACGGCGGCGAGGGGCUUUGAUAGCUCUAUCAUAUGAAGGAAUGACUCUGAUGUCCCCAUCAAAUAUUCUCUGUAGACACUAAAAAAAAUCAAUUGCAAUGUAAGAACAACCUGGAAUUCAGUGGACAUCCAUUAUACCCUACUCCACCCCCAUCCAGGCCACACAGUCUGAGCCGCAAGCAGAUCGAGCCACAGCUUGCCGAACUGAGACUUUAUAUUUUAUGGGCGCAAUGCUCUUUGGACACGAAACCUGCCCCCUGCGGCCUUGCCACAAUUGACGAGGGCUGUUCCAUCCGAACAUAGGUUUAAUGGGUUCAACAGCAGCAUUUUCGAACGGAUAAGCAAGAUGCAGCUUUGAAGGGGAACAAGAGAACUUGUGGAAUCAAGACCUGUCGAUUUGUGCAAACAUGCUGACAUCUUGGAUUGUGGUUUAAUGCUAAAUUCGUGACUCCAAUGAGGGAUAUCCGAUCAUAAAGGUUGAAUCAGUCUCUGAGGCAAUUCAUCCUGGUAGAUGGUUUACUACGGAACAAUUGAUGCUGGGAACGUAGUUAUGAACGAUGUGCCUACCUUCUACCUAUAACAGAUGAGAUUUGCUUCCAAAAUUUCCUCACCAUAAAACAAGAGAAAAGUACUGCUGUUGAGAUCAUUUAUAACCACAUAUAUCAGAUAGUUGAUACUGUUAAUCACAAUUAUUGAUAAUAAUCUCAUAAUAAAGUAACAACAGGUUGCUCAUGCAAAAACUUGCUUUUACCUCAAAAAAAUAAAAGCAAUAUACAGGAAAGGAUGCAACUAUGCAGAUAAGCCUAUUAGACCAAAAGAGCCCAUGGAGCAGGAAUCAUUAGCUUGAAUUUCAGAAGCAAAACUAAGCCCCAACAGAACAGGGAGUGGUGUAAACAGAUGAUAACACCAAGUUCCGACCCUCAGCAAUGAUAAAUUUAAACAAAGCACCAGCAAAUAUUGGUAGCUUCCAAAGUACAAGGAAAAACCACAUUAUUUAAUUGCCAGUCGCAAGAAAGCAUUGAUCAGCUAAAUGAUCUUUGUUGUUCAGUAUCCCCAGUUGUCAUUACGGAUUUCAUCAUCAAACUUCUUCUUGAGCUCAGGGUGCUUCUCGAAAUACUCAUCAGCCGUCAUGGUGCUAAUCUUCUUCUGCACAGGAUAUGAGGUUUAUGAGAAUCAAUCACAUCACAAAGAGCACUGCAAAAAAUUGAUUAUAAUCCAAAAAAGAAAGUGGUUGGUGUAACAUGGAUUCAAGCUAUUCUUACCUUCAUCUCUUGAACCUCAACAAUUUCCUUCUCCAACCUUUCUGACUCCUUCAGAGAUUUCUGUUCUGCUUCUUUCAACUCCACCAACUGAAGAUUAAAAAUAUAUAUAUAUUUUUGUUGUCUCUUUUUUCAGAGAUAUAGAUUGGGAGAAAAAAAAAUAAAGGACAGUAAGGUAGACUAUCUCACCAAAGCAUCAAACUUGGGCUUGUAUUCUGGAGUCACAGUGUCAACAUACUUGGGGAUCUCUAUGCCUACAAAAGGAUGGCAUUUGCAUGAACUCAUUAGUGCAAUAAAAGAUGAAUCACCAAUAAAACUGCAGAUAUGCAUGAGACAAGAAUAAAUUAGUAAAUUGUGAUAUGAGUCUAAAUAGAAAUGCUUGGCGAUUCAUAAAGACAAGCCAAAUAGUCGGGACAAUGCUUCAAGUUUAAUCAAUUAUGGUUGUGGUAAAUUUCCACUAACAUAUAGAGUGAAAUCUUAUGGCACAUCCAUCAUAUUACUGAAAUGAACCUCCAAAAAUGAAGGGUACAUUAAAGAACUUCUUAGUUGGUGGGUUCAGACCAUCAAACCCAUGAGUUCACAUCCAAGAAUCAAGCCAUUGAUCAGACAGAUAAAAUCUGAACAGAUACUUCUUGGUUAUUUUAUCUUGACCCAAAAUAUGUUAGGCUUUUAGUACAGUAAAUUCUAGAAAGAUGGCAUAACUCUUGGCAUUAACUUCCAGACAAACGAAAUGUUUAGGAAUCUAAUUUCCUCAAAUUGCUGAAGAAAACUAGAAUAUGAAUCUUUGAGACCAGAUCAGCAGUAGGAUCAAUCAAUCAAAUCCCGUUCAGCAUCCAGUAUGGAGUGAAAAAACUGCUCUUAAAUAUUCUGAUGGGAUAAGCAGCAGACCAACUUGAUGGUUGCCCAUCUAGACAUAGAAGAUUGUAUGCAGUUUAUGGAUAAUAAUGAAAUUUUCCAGCUCAUAAAAUGUGAAAUAAAAAUUAACUAAAAUCUGUAUAUUAUAGAUGAUCCAAGCACUACUAAUACUUACUAACAUGAUAGUUAAACGUUAGAGGCAAAUAAUAUUCAUACUCCAAGCACUACUAAUACCUACUAGGGCUUCCAUCUCUGAGACGGAAAGAGAGAGGGGAAAUACAACAAAGAAGCAGAUGAAAGUGGAGCCAUACUGUAAAACAGGUGGGUGGUCAGAUUUCUUCUCUAACAGAAUUAUUGUUUUCCCCUUCCAGACCAAUCAAAAAUUUGUUGCACACCAUAAGUUUCCAAAUGUGACCUUCCAGCUGAAUUGACUAACUAAUAACACUUUCUUCUACAAUUAGGCCUCUAUGCAUUUCUAAAAUUAGAAUUUCCCCAUUCACUUCCACAAAAAGGCCUGUAACUACUUCUAAAACAUGUCAAGUUCUGACUGUACGGCGACUAUCACUUUCAACCCAAACACAUUACAUGCUCAGAAGAUGCUCCACUUGCCAAACCUGCCAAAAAGAAAUCAAGAAGAGUAUUAGGCAUAUCUCUCCCCUUUCUUCGUCAAGAUAUUAUGUCGUCCUCUCCGAGCCUCCCUGAAGACUAGAGGACAAUGAUGUGCCUUCCUCCGCAAGAUUCAUAACAACCUCCGACAAAUCAUCUUCUCAGACAACCUACCAGUUCUGGAAUGAAUAAUCACCACCAUCUACUAUGCACUGAGGUUCCUAAGACAGCAUAUACCAAUCUUAACAAGUCAAUUCCAGACAAGUUAAAGCUAAAGCCCUUUUCAAAUGAAGUAUUUUGAUGUCCACAUUGGUCAAUUCUUUAAAGAACUUAUAACACAUUCACAACAUUUGUUUACCAAGAUAUGCCAGAUAUGCCUAUAUCCCAAAUAAAACCAGUGAGCAGGUUGCCAACUAGUCCCUAAACUGGGUUGAGGCAAGCCCUCUAUCCUAAUGAAAGUGAUUUUAGACAGUAGACUAGUGGGUCGACGUUAUCCUCAAUGUGGCAUUCUCAUAAGCAUUGUCAGAACAUUUGGCAUCAUACCAAACAUAAAACCAUUAUAAGUAUCCAUCAAGACAAACUACUUAAAACCUUAAAGGACAUUUUUACAUAUGCAUGGAGGGACAAAAGACAAAUGAUUACAGAAACUGAAUUUGAAAUAACUUUGACAUAUUUAGUCAUGGAUAAGUGAUUGAUAAUUGCAAAGUUUCAAGCUUCAUAUUCAACAUCUUAUCAAGAUUUUUACAUGUAAGGCAGAUGAAAUACAUGUAGAAUAAGACAUUUCUUCAAUUUCAUAGUUCUUUAUAAUCUAAAUAUUUUCUCUUUACCAGGGUUAUUAUGAGAAAAAUAUAAUUGUAUGCGUGUGCAUGUGUUUCUCAUUCAUGCAGAGGUGCCAUUUAUUUCAUUUCCAUAACUUGCUUUUCUCAUAUAUGACCUAUCAUUGUGGGCUUAUAUAUUGUCAAGUUAUACAUACAUGCAUACAUAGAGAGCCAAGGUUUCUGAUGCUAUGUCAUAAACCAUUAUAGUGUCUAGAAAAAUCGACACUUCUAGACAUGACUUUUAAUAUUCAAGUUCUUCAUAACCCACCAUUUAAUAUACUCAUCUUGAACUUCAAAUUUUUAGCAUAAUUUUCCAUUUGCAAACUCAAUUUAUAUUAUUUACUGGCUGCUAUAAGCAUUACUGUCCUCUUAUUUGUGAUUUGGAAUCUUGAAGUUCCCAUUGCCAGUUCUGCAGACACCAUCUUUUGGUGCCAAAGCCCAUGCACAGAAAUGUCCUUUAAUUGAAUUCAUGCCAUUGUUAUUUCACCUCAAGAUACUCUUAUAUAUCCACUGAAGCUGAAUUAUCUCCCACAUCAUUUAUGCAAUGACUGUACCUACUUUUGUCUUCCAAGAUUUUACUGUAUAAAGAGAAAUUGAAUAACAAUUUAGUGACCUUAAUUCUGUACUUUAAGCACAAAAAUAUAGGCUGAAUGAAUUGCAUCUAUAUCCAGAUAUUAUCAGAUAUCCAUCCAAAUUUGUUUCUGUAAUUGAAUAUAUCCAUAUACAAAUACAAAUUACAACAUCUGAACUGAUAUCUAUGUCCAUAUUUUGUACCCAGCAAAGAAAAGCAAAUAUGGAUAUGGAUAUACCAACAUCCAAUCCAUAUCCAAAUAUCUAAUUCCAUCUACAAUUCUAUUUAGUUUCAUUGAGCUGUUAUAAACUUCCAGUGAAAAUAAGUGAUAGUAUCAACAGAUCUUUGGUUUAAUCUUCUUUUCAUGCAGUAACAUUUUUGAUUUAGUGGACAGCAUCCUCAAUAAUAAUCCGUUUUUCACUUCAAAACAUGCUAAGUAACUUUGGAGAAUUAUUAGGAUCCAUAGAAAAAGUCAGAUGACUAGAUGAAGGCAAUUAUAUCUUCAAAUAUUUAUCUUAGGAAUAAUAAAAAAGGGAGGCUUACAUACUUAAAAAUAGUUAAAAUAAAGUAGAACAAUAGUUUUAUCCAUAAAAUUUAAAAUCCAAUUUAUAUCAAUAUUUUUCAAUACCUGAUUCAUAUCUGAACCUGUCUAUGGCUACAAAUUUUAGCAUCCAUCUAAUAUUCAUACCCGGAUUCAUAUUCGAUAAACAAAGCAGAUAGAGAUAUGGGUCUACCAAUAUUCUAUCCGUAUUCAAUAUGUUUGCAGCCCUACUUGCAUCCAUAUUGUAUGUAAGCUUAAAUAUACAUAUAGAUCUUCAUAAAAUGCCAAGUUUAUAAUGUAACAACCAGAUUUCUUGGUUACAACAUGAAAACCAUAAGUCUAUCUCAUGAAAUGAGAAUAUAUCCUCUAAUCAGAUACCAGUAACGAGAAACUAAUUUUCCGAUGUUCCAUGAAGAUUAUAAGUAUGAAGAAAACAUACUCUCAUAAGCCUCUUUAUACAUAUCCACCAAGCGAGAUCCAAUUCCUUUUCUAUAAUAUUCCCAGUCGAUGGGUUCAGGUUCCUACAUGAGUAACAAGAGAAUAACAAGUAAUAGUUGUCAGCGUAUUAUAACAUGCGAGCUAGAAAUUAAUAUACAUGAAGCAAAGAGGACAAUGCCCUGUUUCUAGAGUUGGGGGGAGAGAGAGAGAGAAAAUCACAUCUACAUUUCAAAAAGUAACCUUACUACUUGUCAAACUAGUUAUAUAAUCAAUGAACUAAUUAAAAUAAAGGGAAUAUAUGUGCCUGAGUAACACUGAUGCGUAUGGAUACACCAUCAUUGAACUAUAGAUGGCAAAAGAAGCAUAGUAUCAUCUUCAGCAUCCAGCUGAUAUUCUUGAGAAAUAUUGGACCCUUGAAAAAAACUAAGAUGAGUAUGUUUGUGUGAGAUCUCAUGAGCCUGUAUACUUCACAUAAAAUAAUGUUAAUAUUUACAUGCUGGCAUACAUAAGCCUGAAGCUCAUGGUCAAAGGUCUCUCUCUCUCUCUCUCUCUCUCUCUGUGACUGUAAAGAAUAUAUGGAUGCAAAUUUAGUAGGAAAAUUACAGGAAAAAAAAACAAAAUAUUGCACUGGUAGAAAAAAUAAAUGACUGACUAAAAAAACUGUUUUUGUUUGCUCUCUCAAAAAGCAGAAAGAAAAACAAAUGAAGACACUCCAGUGAAACAAGAAUCAAAAAUAUGGCUUAUUUCCCCUGGAGUAUUCUUCAGAAAAGCACAAGCACGGAGGCCAACCAUGGAUAGAAAAUCAGGACUUGUGGGAAGACCCGGUUUGCAAAAGGCAUGAUUUGCUUUUCUUUUUUCUUGUCAGUAUACGAGUGAAUCAAUAUAUAUAUAUAUANNNNNNNNNNUAUAUAUAUAUAUAUAUAUAUAUAUAUAUAUAUAGGUUUCGAUCGUGAUGGUUAAUACAAGUAAGCCAACAGUGGACCAGGUUGGCAAGGACCUUUUUCCUCUACUUUUAAGAGAUUUGAAUACGGCAUGAAUCGGUGUCGAAAAAAAUCACUUUUUUUAAUCCUUGAACACAAAACAUCACAGCAUCUCGAAAGCAUACUUUCGGAAGUUUGUAUUUAAAUUUAGUUCUCGGACCAGAUCAUCCGAGCACAAGCCUCUCAACUGGGCACGAUCGGAACACCAUUUCAAGAAAUACAUCGGAAACAAGAAACGGAAGCCCUAUGGAAGAAUACAGCGAAUCUAGGAAAGAAACCCUAGAUCCCAAAGCAUUCAUGGAAUUGAAAAGAAGCAAAGAAGGACGCGACCGGAUGAGAUUACCUGGCUGAACUUGGUCCGUAGGGAGUGGUUGACCUCGUCGAAGGCGCGGCGGAGGUUGGCGAACUCCUUGCGGGCCUCCUCGGAGACGAGAAGCUUCGCCAUGCCCUCCCAAUCGAUCGACUUGGUGGCCUUCGCGGCCGUCUCCACCACCUUCUUCGUCCCGCUCCCGCUCAUCCUCGCUUCCUCUUGUUUUAGUGGGGAAGGCGGCGUUCCUUCUCCGCUUCCGCGAUCGCUUCUUCCAAUCCUGAGGGCAGGGGGAGCCCGAGGACAUGGCAAGGGAAUGAAUGCGGCUAAAAGAAGGCUCAAAUGGGCCGGACUGGGGUCUCGGCCUGGUCAAUGUACUCUGUUGACCCCGAGAGCCAGCCCGACACUGGCCGGCCCACAAAACGAAGGGCAGCAUGGGCUUGCAAGACAGUGCGAAAGGGCUUAUCGGUCGAUUCGACCUGUAAUUAAUAUUGGAAUCCAUAUAACUCGGUGCAAGUUUGAUACUUUGAGAAGAAUUGAUCAAAUUCCCUCCCGUCCUCCUCCUGAUUAAAAAAAUGCAGUGAAUCUAUGAGUCCUCCAUCGACAUUAGAGAAAUUGGUUGACUCGACUAAAUCCAGCUAAAAUGAUCCACGUAUUCCUGCUCACUUUAGGUUUGAUUAGCUAUAAUUCUGACUCAAUGUAAGAAAUUUGCAAAGUCCAGCAGACAAAUCUGAUAGCCAAGGAAUCAUUUCUGCAAUCCUAUUGUCCUUGAAUGGCUCUCCAUGCAAGUUUAAUGAAUCUUUCAAGUGCAAUCCUGUCUUGCUCGCUAACUUAAUCAAAUCUGCUGUAGCAUAAUUUUGUGCAAGUCUAUAGUGGAUCGAUCUUGUCUCGAUCUAUCCUUUGUACAUGCGUCAUUGAACCUUUUGAUCAUAAUGGCUACCCAUUUCCUCCCAUUCCCUCUGGCCUCUCGUACCUAUGCCCCAUAUUAGCGCAUAUCCCUUAUUGCUUUUAGAUAAAGUCCCUCUGCUCGACGCUUUCUCAUCUUCGUAGAAUUUAUCAACCUGAGAUAAAAUGAGAGCUAAUGACAUAUAUGAUACAUACCAUGGGCAUGUAGACUCUUGUCAUGUAGCCAACUCUUUUUCUCUGACUUUCUUCAUGCAUCAGAGGGCAUUUUUGUUUUGUUUGUAUGCAUAGUUGUGCAUGUAUUUCUUUGUUUUAAUACAUGAGCUGGGUAAAUUGAGUUUUCAAAUUUGGCCUGAGUUCCCUCUGUAAUGGAAUACUCUUUUGCUGUGCUUUGCUGUAGCAUCAUGUACUAUUCAAUUUUGACACCAUAUAGGAAAAAUUGCAUCCUACAAAACUGUACAUGGUAAAAACCACUACCAUUAUUACUCCGUAACAAUUUCAAGAAUCCAAAUCUACUUUACUCAUCAUUAGGGUUCUUCCUUGUUAGAGGAUAUUUAUCAUACUUUGUUUUUUGUGCAGCAUGCUUAAUCUGCUAUUUGGUUUAUGAUUGUAACUAACGUCGGUAGAACCGGUACUGGGCACCAUAUCGGUUGCCCGGCGGAACGAGUCGGUACGCACCCAUACCAUGCCAUGCCAUUCCAAGCCAGUACCGACACAGUAGAAGGCCGGCCUCGGCCGGCCUCUCUCUUCCUCCCUCUCCCUCUUCUUCUCUUCCUCGCUUUCUCUCUCUCUCUUUUUCUUUUUCUUCUCCUCUCCGGCGGCACUAUCUCGAUUUCAAUAUCGGAGACGUUCCGGUCCGUCACCGGUAUGGCCUGGGAUGCCCCAAAUCAAGGGGUUCGGGAUGAUUCCGCAGGCUUUGAUUAUAACAUUUACUCUAUGAGAGUUUUGUGCAUGAUCCUGUGCAAAUGUUAUUUGGCCUGAGUCAGCUUUUUUAAGGUAAUCCAAUAGCUGAUGCUAGAAAUAAGGCUCUUGUUAAACUUGGUAUAAAUACAAAGUUUUUUUUUUUUUUGUACAAUGGCGGCUCACACACGAUGGGUGUGGAUGCGGCCAACAAAAUCAGAAAAUAAAGAACUAUGUAAGGGCUCCGGCACAGGCUACUAUCCAUCUAGAUGAAACCUUCAGAGUGAUGAGCCGCAAAGGAAGCAACCAAGCCGGGGGCACCAUUUGCCUCCCUAUAGAUAUGCGUAGCCUAGUGAAAGCUACACUCUUCCAGUAAUCUGUGAAUGUUGUGGAGCAACGGCCGGUCCUCGCCCGCGCGUCCUCGACCCCGGAUCCACUCGAUUACCAUGGCCAAAUUCUCCUCGUGAAGGAAGCGGUCCGCGCCCAAUAUCCACUUAGCAUAAAGAAUACCCUCUCAAGCGGCUCUAAACUUAGUGCACACGACAGACGAGUCGAAGAUCCGUUGACCCUCCACUGUCACUAGUCUAGUGUUGUGAUCCCUGAUGACAAAACCUACACCUCCAUAUCUCCCGUUCUCAACCAUACUGCCAUCAAAGUUCAUCUUAAAGAAGCUAGGGAGGGGGCAUCUAGGAUACGAGCACAAUCCUGGACCACAAAGUUGUUUUCAAUGAUAUUAGUACAUGCUGCACGCGUAUCAGACUGCUUGCUGGUAGGAGAUGGCACCAUUAGCGGCUGCAAGUGCAAGUGCAACUGGACUGUCUGGUCUGAGUCUGAUCUAAAUAAUCCAAUCAUAUCUGCAUCCAAAAUUCAGAUGCAUCAUGUGGACCUCCCCCCAGUGUGCGACCUACAUGACUUCAAUCUGUACCCACACAGAAAUCCAGCUUGUGAAUGCUCGUAAGUCGUGGACAUUUCAAGCACGCAAGUUCCAACAAUCAUCAGACCAAACAGCCAGCAUGCAGCAUUUUGCUAAGCAGAUAGGAAGGUACACUGGCAUUGAGAUUUGAUAAACAUCGGAUCAUGCAGAGUCAAACGUCACCCAUAAAAACUGAGAAAAAUCAGGUUAUAGCUAAAACCAAAAUGGCAUUAAUCGACUACCUUGGCCUUUUAUCUCCAGAAUUUUGACUAUGAAAUUUGGUGGAUAUUUUUACCUUGCUAUUCAUCAACACGUCCCUAAUGUUCUGUGACUGAACUUUGCUCCCAAGGGUGUUCCUCGCAGAAUUUCACACUCCCAAUAAAGUGAAAUACCAACUACCUUUACCAGACAACGAAAUAUCAAUUACAACAGUCAGCUUGUCUGAAACAGUAGGAAUUUAUGCAGUGGUCUCAGAUAUAAACAAGACAAUUACAUUCACAGGGAAACCUAGAGAGCAACAGAGAAACACAUCCUAACAGUCAGCAAAUAACAAAUACAGUUCAAACAUAUGUGUUUGUCAACACGUGCCAAAAUGAGAGCAAAUGUGUAAUCCAUAACCCUACUUGAGCAGAACAACCUUUGCUCCAUUUACCAACAAAACUGGACUAAUAAUAUACUGGUCACCAUCUUCAGUUGCAAAUAAGUUUUGCUCAGGGAAGUCUUGGACUUACAGAGUUUCAAUUGCAAAUAUAGGCUUCAGAUCUGAUUGUGACUACAGGUUAUAGAAGAAAACAAUAUGACUGAUGGCCUAUUUUUAUUCCUAAUUGAAUUGUUUAAAUAACAAUUUCGUCACAUAACAUCCCCUGCCGCUGAAACAGUAAAUCAUCUCCAAAGGGAAGAAAACCCGCAUCAUUCAAUACCGUGGUUGUGGCUAAGGACAUCCUUUUUUGGCAUCACUGCUGUUUUGAUGGAUCAGAUUUUGUAUCCUCAGUGGAACCCCACUGGGAGGCUAGCCGCUUUGUCCUCUCUAGAACACUGAAGAAAAUUGAACCGCCAAUACCAAUCCAUAAAACUCUUGGUCCAAUACCCUGUCAAAGAAAUCAAAUCAUAUGAACGUAAAAGAAGUUCAAUCCUUUUUUACCUUCUGAAGUAUUCAUCUUUUUUUGAUAGUAGCAUCCUUAUUUGGUACAUAUACAACAUGUCUACUUCAUAUAGCAUAAAUCUUCCAAUUGGCACAAAACUGAAUGAUGGAUUAUGGAAUAAUGGGUCAGAAACCAUAUUAAUCUAUCAACAAAAAGGAUGCUUUAACCUAGACUGAUGUUAGUUAUCAGAUGCCUAGAUCAUUGUGUAUAGCAUUCAGUCUGUUAAUACCACAUGUACAAAUAGUUUGAUUUAAUUACUUCAAUUGCAGAAAUUACGUUAGUAUAAUUAACAUAAGCAGUCUUUGGUACAACAAAAAAAUGCACAAGACAAUGGCUCCAGAUCAUUCCCAAUUUUACAUCCUAGAGACAAGAUUAUCAUGAUGAAGCCUCCUAACAACCUUGCUAUACUGGCAAUUUGUGUUAACCAAGAUUAAAAAGUACGUGCCAGUUCAAUAGGUAAUGGGUACCCAAGAUAGCUGCUUUUGUGGUGAUAAGAAGCAUGGUAUAUUGCCACAUAAUAUACUACUGGGGGUAUAUAUGGGUUUCUAGAUUGACUAAAGGCAGAAAAGCACAAGAUAAUGCGAUCAGACCUUCAAAAAAGCAGCUGGACCUUCUUCUCUCAUAAUAGUCUGAGCACAAUUAAGCAGCCCAUUGUAUUGGUUUGCCGAGCCCUGCGACACAAGCCCGAUGAACAACUAAAUUUCAACAAGGUUAUUACACAUAGCAAAAUUUAAAAGAACAAACAAUUCUACCUGAACCAUCAAUCUUGUCUUCAUUACAUCAAGUGGCGUAGUUACAGCUCCAGUUAUUGCACCUGUAAACAUGAGAAAUUCUAUCAACAGAGGCAAAAAAGAUAGAAUUUUGACACACUACCUAGAAAUUUAUUGGUGCAAUUUUUAAGUGGAUGCACAUGACUAAUAUUGUAAUUGUGCAUGUACAUGCAAGCAUUAGUUGUUUCCGGAAUGAUGUGACUUGAUAAGUGAUAUAAUAGUUAGCUGCGUAAACCAACGGUCUACUUGCACUUUGCUGAAGAUGGCCAACUACCCGAUGGGUCAUCUUCCACGGUACAUCCAAGUAAAACCAUGAUGACUCAUGCAGAAGUCAUUUUCAUGACAGUGAAAGUCAUAGUUAGGAAAAAAAAAUGCCACAAGUAACCUUCAGGUUUAAGACUUUUUGGUACUAAUUUUUGGAUAGGCGCCCUGAAUCUGAGAAUAGAAUCCAUGUGUACAAAACAUGUCUGGCAUUAAGAACACGAAGUUGAUAACGGAAUUUAUGAGGUGUAGUGUAGACGAGUUAUAUACAUCUAGGUAACAGCACACAAGGCACUAGAAACAAGACCAUCGAAAGGAUUUGGAUGUACCAGCAAAGGCACCAAUUACAGCAUUCUCUGGAUCAUUUAACUCUCUCCUUGCCUGCAUGAAUAAGAAAAAUAAAAGAGGAAAGAAGAGGGCAUUAGUUUUUAGUUUACAUCUUCCCUGGCGUCAUUCCCCAUCUUCUCAACACAAAGUUCCUGUACAGGAAUACAAGUCAAACAAGAAACAUUGGAAACAAACUAGUCUAUCUAGCUUCUUUCAAACCAUAUGAUACAGCAUCGUAUAUUAUACUUUCUUUUUUUUUUCUGGGAUAGAGAUGAAGGCAACAUACUUUAUUGACUUAUGGUACGAAGAAAUCUCAUGGAUUAACUACAGAUUAGCACAUUUCAAUCUCAACAAGAACCUUUUUCCUUUGAAAACCCAUAUGCCUAAAAACAUGAGCACCUUUAAACCCCAAGAUACAUAUCCUUGUCUGCAGACAGGACACAUGGUAAAACUCCAAAAGAUUAAAUGUAAAAGAUCAUCACACUUUCCAUGUAAAUGCAUUACCUGGACUAUCCUAAUGAACAAAUUCAUCUAAGACAAUUUCUUGUGCGCUUGUACAUCUAUUCCUCAGUGUCCACCUGAGUGUCAACACUUCUUAGUUUAAGGCGGGACUCCCCUUUUUGGAGCAAUUAGGCUUAAUUUGCAAGAUGAACUUCAAAAGUUCAUAAUAGUGAGGUCUGGAAUUGCCUUAAGCUUUCAUCAGCAUCAUAAUCAUUGGAGGAAGAUUGGAUCAAGCAGCUAAAUGACUAUUUCAUGGUAUUGUUCCUUAACUUUCAGAUUAAACUUAGGAGAGGUAAGGCCUUUCACCUUAUGCUCUUCACAAUUGCACCAAAAGUUUUGAGAGAGACAAAUGCUUAGUCCGCUUGCACGAUAGAUCCUUCUAGAUAAUUUGUCGCGACUCCCAAAUUUCUUCACUAACAAAUCCCUUGUAAGAAGAAGACUUAAGAGGAAUUCCCAAAUAUGUGAUGGGAAGGGAAACAAUCAUUGAACUCAAAGCUUCCACCAGAAUCUUAACUCUCCCCCGAUGCCCAUUCAACCUCCCUACAAAUUUCGAAGUCACAUCAAACAAUGAAGCACAAACUUGAGACUUCAAAAAAUUGUUCAAAUUUUUCUUUUAGGUAGCUCAGCCUCCACUGAGAUCCAAAUUCUCAAAUCUUGUUCACGCCCUAAAAAAGGAAAGUACUAUUUCCAACAUUGGACAGGUGGUGUGCAAAGCCAACCAGUUGCUUCAUGAGCACCUUUAAACCAUUCGAUGAUGUUGUCAGUUGGAAAUUAGAUGUUUUCAAAUCUAGUGUGUGUCAAGAAUUUUAAGAACAGGAAAUAAAUAAUUGACUAGGAUCAACUGAAUAUAAUUAUAUGAAUGGCAUGAAUACUCUUUCUACACCAUGUAAGAAGCACUAGCUUCAUUACAAAGAUAUCUUGAGGCAGAUAAUAAAUCAUCUCCAUCAAAUGAGUACAAAUGCAGUAUGUCAUCUUACAAAAAUUAGUUAGUAUGAAGCAUACCGCAAUCUUAUAUCCAAUUCGAAGCUGCUCAUAUAUACAAAAUUGGAUGGCAUCAAAUGGUAGAUCUCGCAACAGAAAGGAACUGUAUCCCUACAAACACAAAAAGGAACAAUGCCAAGCAUCAGAUACAUAAAAUCAUCACAUGGCCUCAAAUGCUGUUAUAGUUGUUAAGUAUCUAUAAUGACAUGAAAUUAGCAACAAUAUAAGAGGUCACAAACUCAAUUAAAUAAAAGCAUAAGGACAUCAUAAAUUUAAGUUAGGCUGAACACAAUACAUACAGCAUAAAGACCUCUAAAACCUUCUUUAGCAAUGAUAAGACGAACAGCAUCAGGUGCAGAGGCAAACUGCCCAGUCUGCAUCCUUUGUUUGACUACCUGAAACAUGGCAACAGCAAGAGUGAACUUAGAGAAAUCUUAGAAACUCUACCAAAAAAAUAUGUACUUACCUCUGUAGGAACACGAAUAAGUGAAGAAGCAGCUCCUCCAAUGGCACCUGCAGUCUGAGUGGAAUUUUUCAUCUUAGCGAAACUAACAGAAAAGUAACAUAAUUCCAAUAACAUCUUAAUGCUGGUCAACUAAAUCUAAAAUAACAAUGUCAUCUAUAUCUAGUUUAAGGGAUAUGUUGCAUUUAAUUGUCAGCAAGCCAUGAAAAAGCACUGAUAAGCCUAUUUAUUGUGAAAAAGCCAGACUCAGGAGUUUAAAGCCCUACCAAGCUUUGAACAACAACCCAGAAAUAUAAGCCACUUUACAAAAUUUAAUUAUUAACAGAGUUGCACCCAUGGUUUGCCGUACCGGCCUGAACCAGAUGGUACGGGGCGUACCGUACUGUACCGUACUGGUUCAGUACCAAUACCUAGUAUGUGUGGCAUACCGACACUCGGUACACAAAAAAAAUUCCGUUCUGUAGUACCGACACAGUACUAGUGUGACACCGAUGCGAGGUCUGGUACCAAGACGGUAAACCUUGGUUGCACCGAUGUAUAAUAUGUACUAUACACAUAACAGAUUUUAUACUAUAAAUGGAUCAGAAUUCAAUUUCUGAAUUCAACAGUGCUAACACUGUAAGGACAUCUAUACUAAAUGAACAUCUCGCUCACAUAUGGAAGGAAAUUUGGUGGGCUAUAGAAGUCUGCAGUAUCAUGGAUGACUAAAGUAGACAAGUAUUUCCAUAGGUAUCAAAACUUCCAAACUAAUAGAUAGUGCUCGUUCUAGGGAUGGAAGAUCCAGUCCUGAAUAUGGGUACAAACGCAGUCGACAGAGCAGUAAUCAUCAUGUGACAUCAAAAUAAUCUCCCCGAGUAACAAGUCAGAGAGAUCAUUGGAGAAAGAGAUUGCUUCUAUUGAGUUAUGCAAUUAAGAUUCUUUAAAGUAGAAAAUGCUAAUCAAUUGCUCGAGCAUCCUUCUUCCCAAAUUACAAGAAUAGAAGGACAGGCACAAAUAUGAAACAAUAAUGGAGUUGGCAAACAAACAACUAUAUAAUUAUAAUAGAUACUGAUUGAAUAAAGAUAAUGUUAAAUGAAUAUGAUACUUAUGGAGGAGUUGCAUGGACUUAUUCCGGGUAGCGAAUUACCAGGAUUAUUAGUUGUGCAAAUACUUGCAACUUCUCAAAAGUAACUAGUUCGCAAAAUGCUUGGAACCUUUGAUCAACUUGGGGAACGCAUGUAAUGAAGGUUGAGAAAUAGUAACUGGAAAGGUGCUGUGUCAGACAUAACGAUGGGUUAUAGCAAGAUCAUAAUUACAGUACUAGGGAUAAGAAACAAGAAUGAGUGGUGAAGGUGGGAGUUUUACAGAAGUGGUGGACCAAGGGCUGGUCUUUUUGCCAUGUCCUCCUUACACUUGUCAUAGUAGUCCAGGCGGUUCAUAUUGCAGAAUCCCCAUGUCUCAUGCUAUACAUUGCUGCUAUUCAUGUGGGUGGUGCUGCUAAUUCUUGAAGCAUUAACAUAAUCCAAUGCAUAUAAGAAUGUAUAAAUACAAGUUGAGUAGGCGUGUAAUAAGCUACAGAAUGAUUCAAAUCUUGCAUGACGGGGAAACUCCUGGUUUCCCCACAGAACUGGACAUGCCACGUCCAACAUAGUCAUAGUAGCCAUCUUGAUCAAGUGUUCUAAUACUUUCUUGGGCCGCCCUUUUAUCUAUCUUUUAUUUUUUAUUUAUCUUAGAAGUUUUAUUGUUUUAUUUGUUAUAAAAUUAUUGGACUCUUCAAGUAGCAUAUUUAGUUUUAUCAAAAAAAGUAGCAUAUUUAGUUUUAUCAAAAAAAGUAGCAUAUUUAGGGUGAAUUGGCCUUAUUUAUUGUACUCUAAGGCUAAUAUUUGCUAUGGUCAAAACCUAUGUAACUCUGCUUGUAUCUAUUUCUUUGCAUUGUUAUUAGUCAGUACCUAAAACUAGCUUCAAGUCGCUACGCUUGUUCCCACUAUUUUAAAUUUAAAAUAUUUUUUAAUAAUUUUCACAUAAUUUUUAUUCACACCCCCCAAUGGGUACUUCAUAUGUUUUUUCCAACCUGAGAGUAGUAUCUUGGUCAGAAUAGUUUUAAAUUAAUUUUGAUAUUUGGGUGUAGAUUUGGGUAUUGCCAAACACAUCCAAAAUUUAUCCAUAAGAAACACUGGCCUUGCAUAUGUGGUGAGCAGAUAGUUUUUGUAAAUCUUUAAUUCUUUUAGAUAAACAGAGAUUAAUGCAUAUGAUGCUUUCUCUUAACAAUUUAAUCUUAUAAACUAAUUCUACCUAACAAGAAAAUAUAUUAUGCUAUAAUGACGUCAUAUAUUAUCCAUUCUGUUGGAACAAUAAUUUACAUUCAUGGACAUAAUUAGCAAUAACUAAUAAAUGAGAAAACAUUAUACAAAUGCAAGUUACCUUCCAUCAAGCACAUAACAGAAUAUUUCUAAGACAAUUGCUGGAAAAUUUCAUGAAAAACAUAAAAAGCCUGAAAUAAAUGAAAUCAGUUUGCACUUACCAGAUGAGCAAAAGCGCUAAGAUUUGCAGGAAAAACCUCUAGUAAUUUUCGCUUAGUAGGUUCAUAUAUACCCACAAAUACAGCAGAUGCUCUGUUCGAUAAAAAGGAAUAUUAAUUUGCAAAUUGCAGAAUUUCAAAGCAAUAAUAGAAUAUGAAUAAUGCCAUAGCUGAACAUAAGAAAGAAUUCUCCUAGCUCUCAAUAAAAAAUAACAGCAAAUGAAGCUAUAAGAUGGGCAGCAAACAUUUGGAAGAACUCAACCAGAAAAGACUAAAGAGAAACCACACAAACUAGGGUUUCUUUAAUAUUAUCCAAGAACAAUAUUUCCACAGAAAAAUCAAUGGCAAUGCCUUUAUAUAAGACAGAUAACUCUGUAAGUAUUUCCACAUAUGCAAAGAGUGAUGAGAAGAAGAAAUCAAGACAGCUAAUAGUGAUCCAGCUGCAACAUAGAAUUUGAAACAAAAUGACUGUAUACGCAAAAGCGCAAGAAAGAAAGAGGUUAUUAGAAAAAAGGCCCAAUGGAUAACACUUCUAUUUAGAUAAAUUCAUGAAGAAGUAAAUCUAUAUUAUCCAGCUUAGCAUGAGAAACCUAUAACUUGCGUUUAAGAUACUCACGGUAACACCCCAGCAAGAUUGCCUGCCAAUCCUGAAUAAAGACCUUUCCAAUAAAUUUUGCUUCCACCAUGAGCAGCCUGGGAGGGAAAGAGAUUCCCCGUUUAAAAGGACUUUACCAUAUUGUUUCAACAAAAUGUUAUCUCAAGUGGAACAACCAUAAAAGCCCAGACUUGAUAUUAUACCAAAAACAAAAUUAAAUACAACCUUAAGGCAAGCUAAUGACCAGCACAGGCAUGGAGUUAUAACAUAUGGAAAACAAAUGGAAAGUGAAGCAGAACAUAAGGUAGAUCAAUAGAAAUGAACAUUAUAGUUUACAAGAUUUAAAGAUCAUAUGAUGCCGCAUAAGCUUCUUUCAUAUUUUCUAUGUGAGGAUAUCAAAUGGGCAAGCAGAAGCUAUCGUGAUACCAAGACAAAAGCAUGUCAAAGUUUUGCUUGUAGACAGGGCAGUGGUGGUUGAUUUGUCAGCUGCACAUGCAAAAAGAAAAUUAUUUUUAUCUCACAUCUAGAACAUGACUAGCAUCAGGAAAUUUGGAGUUCACACUUGUAUACAGCAAAUUCUAAGUAAAUCCAGCAAAUCAUGGAAGGAGUUGUUCGAAAAUGAAACCACCAAAUACAACACAUCCAGCUUGUCCAGUUAUAGUGCAUCCUGCAUAUCAAGAUGGAUCUGGCAAUAAACCCAGAAAUGCAAAAAUUUAUUCACUCAAGCAAGAACCAAAAUUACAACCAAAAAAAUCCUCCUUGCCACAGAUAAGGAAAAGCUUGAUAUUAAUCAAACAGUAUCUUUUCAUUUCUCCAUGGGGUUCAUCACAAUGUUAGCACAAUCCUCCCAAAUGGGGCUUGGACAAUAACAUUAGAUACUUACAGGAACUAUAGCACUCUUGAAGGAUCUAAGCAAGGUUUAAUUUUACAACCAGAUGAAUAUUUUGGAAAAACCAUUUCAAUUCUUGAGGAUUUAAAGGAAGAAGUGAUGCCAAAACAGGUAUUAGCCAAUGUUGAAAAUCUGUCCUUCUUAGACAAAAAAUCUAUGGUUUUGUCUGGAAUGCUGUAUUUUUGGAUGGAACUGUUUGUCUGAAACAAUGGAACGUCAGCAUUCACAACCUACCUUUCAUAUUACAGAAACUCGUUCAGAAAAUAAUAACUGAAUGGUCGCUACUAUAAAGUGUAAGGUCAAGAAUCCAUCAAAAUUAGUCUCGCAUCUAUCAGCAGCACAACUUGGCACAUGGAGGGCUAAUGUAUAUAAAUGCAGUAUGCAAUCCAAUAAGACAUUUACCUCUGGCAUAGAAAUAUCUACUGACAUUCAUGAUUUUAUCAAACAUUACACAUUAUAACAUCACGUCCAAAACCAUUAAGAGCCAUAACAUUUCUGCAGGCAGGCUAAGAACAGUGAUAUAAUAGUAAAAGAAAAAACAAUAACAAAUGCUUUCUGGAUGAUUAGCCUGCCUGAAGCCGAGUCUUUAUCGUAUCAAUUGGAUAUAAAACUGUUUCGACAACAACACCAGCAGUACCUCCAGCUAUAAUACCCUCUGAAAAAAACACAAAUAUCUACUUUAAACAAAAAUAAGUGAUAUGUAAUGUAAAAGAUAUUUACGGUGAGAUAUGGUUCCACCGCAAAAGCAUACUAUAAUACUAAUAUACUCAUGAGAGGAUUGCUCAGAUGGUCCUCUCACCUUUGAAGUCAAUGAUAGGCCAUCUAAAUUCAAGAUUCAGACUGUGUUUCCCAUGUCGGACCAUGCCAGGUGCACUAUACCAUACCACAAAACAACCCGUACUAAUAUUGUACUAGAAUGGUAUUGGUAUGGGUACUACAACCCGUAGUGUGAACCUUGAUUUAAACCGUUGAACAUGAUAUAGCGUUACAAAAAAAAUAUAUCUAGAAACUAAACUUCAUAUAUUUUGAUGGUCUAUGACCUAAUCAUCAAGAAAGUAUCAAAAUGAACAUCUUUAAUGGCAUGAUACCAUAUUUUACUAUGAUCUAAUCAUCAAAACAUAGUGAACCUAAAUCUGCCUAUGGUUUAAAUGGGUAAAUUAUGAAGGGAGGGAGGAUCUGCAUUCUACUUUCACCCAUGCCAAAAAAGGCAGACUGAUAACCCGAUGCACUGCCAAGGUCAGGGAAGCUCACCAGAAACAUUUUUACCAUGCUUCCACUAAAGAGAAAAAGUACUCUUCACGGGAUCUCUUGUGGAAAAUUCAACUCUUCCAAGGAUGAGAACAAUUUAUGUGCCCUAUCUUUUUAUUUUACCAUACUAAUGCAGUUGAUAUAGUUCAUUUUCGUACCUGAUUUGAUGCAUAGGUUAGAGACCACCAAAACAUAUGAAGUUUGGUUUCUACACAUUUUGUGUGGUAUAGGUCAUGCUCAACAAUUUGGAUGGCAUAUCAUUGAUUUUGAAGGUGGGAGGAGCAUCUCAACCAUCCUCUUGCGAGUAAGCAUCGAUACAUUCACACAUACAUAUGUUCUUCUCCCUUAUCUCAUGAAUCAACAUGCACUUCUAAUUGAAUAACAAAAGGUUAUAGAACCAGAGUGCUUUGUUGCAUGUUCUACUUUUCCAUGUGUGGAUGCGUGAGAAUAAAUAUCAUUACAUCCAUGUGUGAAAUAUUUGAAACUUCAAUAAUGGGUAUAGAUCUAUGACUUAAUAAAAGUAUAAUGCAUCAUUAAAUACCAAUCAUAUAUUCACUGUAAUGUACAUUUUCUUUUCUUAAGGUAAUCUGAUUGCAACACCACGAUCUCAUGAUUCCAAACCAAGAAAGACCAACAUGUUAACCUAGAAGUUGAACCUUUGCAUCAUAUUUGCUAUUGGAUUAUUGUACAAUUUAUUUAGAAUUUUGAAAAGCAAUUCUUAAGCCUGAUAAUGUUAUUUUACUUCAGAUGGUGACAUGUCUAUGCAAAUCUUUUAUUGAUGUAUAUGGUUUGACCUCCUUAAAGCAAGGCAGACAGUUCAACAAGCCAAUUUCAUUGUUUCAUUUUAAAACAUUGUAGUACAAGUCUUGAGCAGUCAGACAGGAAUUAUUAUAAACAAAUUUAUAAGAUGCAGAAUUUACCACAGAAUACGCGAAGAAAAUUCAAUGGCUUUUCUCCUCCCACGGUAACUGAUGAAAAGGGCUUUGGUGUCUCCAUUAUAGGGUGAUGGAACUUACUUGAGGAUGCAUCUACAAAACCAAAAAUGAAAAAUAAAUAGCCUGCUUAGGGGGGAAAAUGGUGAGAAUAAGCAUGAUCUUUUUGAUAACACAUGAAUAUAAUGGCACCAACUUCAGCUACUAAAAUUUAUUAUUUGAUCAGGUUCUGUAACACAUACAAUGUCUACAUGGGUACAAAGACUACAUGCAUCAAAGACUAGGCAUGCAUCAAUGAAUCCCGAGGACUCCUAUCUGCAAAUUGAAGGAUAUUCGUUAUAAAAAAUGAAGAGAAUAUUUGUUAAGGUUCAUAGCAGAUGAUUAAUCUGUUGUGUCAAGGGCCAGGAAGAGUUUUAGCAUUCCUCAGAGGAGUACAGAGAAAUGUUAUGCCUUAUUGAUGACAAGUAGGUUUCUUUAUGAAGAAAAUAUAAAAUAAUGGCACAACAGAUAACAACGGAAGGACACAAAAGUAUCAAAAGAAAUCAAGCUUUUAUGCUAAUAUAUUACGAGGUAUAUUAAAGUGUUUAGUUGUGUUGUUUUACGCUUCCAAUCUAUAUACCAUCAUAUCAGUACAAAAAUUUAUCACCAAGAAAGAAAGGGGAAAAACCAGAUAAGACAAGAGGUUAAUCCAAAAUACAAAGCCUCUACCAGUCAUGCAUCACAAUUAAAAUCAUCCCGGAAAUGCUACUUAUAACACUCCAACCAAAGUAUCAUUUGUAGAUUAUAUCUUCCUUUAUGUGAUUACUAUGCAAAACAGCAGAAGCUACCUGAUGAAACUGCAGAACUUCUAGUAUCGACAGCCAAUAUUGGAGGGCCCAUCAAGUUCCAACUAUCUGCACCUGGGGUCAACAAAAGAUAAUUUUCAACUUGAACCAUCACGCAUCAUCAAACUCUUCAUAAAAUGUGAGACUUCAGUUUCAUUAUCAAAGGCGGAAAAUUCUAUGCACAUAAAUCAAAAGGAAGAUUAUAGUGAUUGGUUACAAAGCUAGGAAUUGAAUAAUUUCAGGGAGAAAUCCUGCUCUAAUAAUUGUUAGAUAAGGCAUAUUUUUGUCAAAUUUAUGACUCUGAAUUAAUAAGCAUGAAUGUACUGUCAUAGAUGUCAGCAAGAAAAGAAAGAAAGAGAGAGCGAAGAAAAGAAUAGCAUUCCCAUCGGUACUAUGUCAAAAAAAAAAAAUGUCAUACAUUAUAUAGCAUGACCAUGCAAUCCUUAAAGACUGAAUACAUCCGUCAGAAGCAUUAUUUAUUAAAAACUAACCAGAUUAGCAUUUUAAAUUAAUGCCUACAGAUAGAGAAUUGGAGAUGAAGAAAAAACAGCAUGAUCCACAUCUGUCUGAAAACUAAAUUGAAAGACACUGUUUGAGAGCAAUUUGUACUACCAAAUAUACCCAUUAUAGGAAAAAGGAAACGAAAGAAAAAAAAAUGAUGACCAGGAAUCUUUCCCCUUUGCAGUCCACCAAAAAUGACAUUCUUGGUUCUAUCAUCACAGAAACUUCACGAAAAUCAAAUACCAAAGAAAACGAAAAUAAAAGAAUUUGUCGCGAAACGCAACCUCUGUAGAUGCAGUUCAAAACCAUGCCCACGAAACUAAAUUUCAAAGAAAUCCCUUUACUCAGUAACGCCUGGAAAUUAAUCUAUAAAUUAAAAAAGAUACAGCUUAUAAUCAAAUCGUGUCACCAAACAUAGACAUCAAAGAUCAAGAAAGGAAGAAAGAAGAAAGACAAAGAAAAUGCGCCCCAGGUUCUUCCCCGAUUACAUGGUGAUGGUGUUCUUCGUCAUAUCGCUCCAUAAAGCUCGGAAAAAAAAAAGCAUCGAUUACAGAAUUCGAAGAGAAGAUAACAAGAAUUUUGCCACGAAAUGUAAAAUCUUGCAGAUAUCGCCGCAUAAAAAUAACGUAAGUUUACCUUUUUGGAAGACCGGCUUUCUUGGAAGAACGGCCUUCUUGGGAGGACUGCAGGAAGAGGGAGGGACAGAGCGAGCGAGCUGUGGAUGUGAAUCGGUGAGAUGGGGUGUUAAGAGGGGAUUUCUUGAGGGUUUUGGUUGGCGGCGGCUCAGGUCAGGUCUGACUUCCGACCCAGCGACCGGGCCGAACCCGGCCCGUUCCGUCCCGGCCAGAUUCACCUCUCAGGCCCAUGCAUAGAUCGGACCGGAACCGUCGCUGGUUGGGCAGCCCAUUUAUAGAGCAAGGCGCUGGGCGCCACCCCUCGUGUGUCAAACGCCAACUGUUUUAAAGGAAAUUUUUGUUGCAGGAAAAAUAUAAACAUAAUAAAAUAAGAAUAAAAAAACAAAAUCUUUUUCAUGUAAAAGAAAAAGUAUUUCUGGAGACGUAGGAAAAGACAUGCUAAAAUUAUCAACUUUCUGUUGAAACAAACGAUUUAAGACUAGAUUUUUCAAGGAAAACAACUUUCCAAUUCAGAUUUUCCUUGCAGCCAAGCAUGUCCCCAACAGAAAACGGUUUCCUCCUACCUUCCUCUCCCGCCAUUGUUAAGAGACUCCAUCGAACAUCAUCAACAAGGGACCUCUUCUCAAAUCUUCCUCCUCCCAGCAGCUCCCAAUGGAGCCUCCUCGCCGAAGAACCAUGAUAUGGGUCCUGUGCGCUGCCCUGGUGGCCUCGGCCGCAUCCACGGAAGCCAUCGGCGUGAACUGGGGGACCCAGACGUCGCACCCGAUGCCCCCAAAGAUCGUCGUCCAGAUGCUCAAGGACAACGGGAUCCAGAAGGUCAAGCUGUUCGACGCGGAGUCGUCGGUGAUGAGCGCCCUGGCCAACACAGGGAUCGAGGUCAUGGUUGCCAUCCCGAACGAUCAGCUCGAGCAGAUGGGCACCUACUCGAACGCAAAAGCCUGGGUUCACGAGAACGUCACAGGUUACCGAGAUGUCAAUAUCAAGUAUGAUGAAUUAAAUUAUAGUUGGCCAUCUUUGCAUCAUCUCUUAGCUUCUUUUAUAUAAUAAUAUUACAUAAACAUGCAUUUCUGGUCAGGUAUGUUGCCGUGGGGAACGAACCCUUCCUCAAGAGCUACAAUGGCACGUUCUUGAAAGCCACGUUCCCUGCACUCAAGAACAUUCAGAAGGCCCUGGAUGAGAUGGGAAGCAAGCAGAUCAAGGCCACCGUCCCCAUGAAUGCCGACAUCUACAGCUCCCCAGAGGACAACUCCGUGCCUUCUGCAGGGGACUUCCGCUCCGAAAUUCGUGAUCUCAUGGUCGAAAUCGCGCGGUUCCUUAGCUCCAACGGCUCGCCCUUCGUCAUCAACAUCUACCCCUUCCUCAGCCUCUACGAAAAUCCCAACUUUCCGGCGGACUUCGCCUUCUUCGAUGGCGGCGGCCGGUCGAUCAACGAUAAGGGCACCAAGUACACCAACGUGUUCGACGCCAACUUCGACACACUCGUGUGGGCCUUGAAGAAGGCUGGCAUCUCCAGCAUGAAGAUCAUAGUCGGCGAAGUCGGCUGGCCGACGGAUGGCAGCAAGAAUGCGGACGUAGCAGGUGCGAAGAGAUUCUACGAUGGGUUGAUGAAGAAGAUGGCGAGCAAUACUGGCACGCCGGUGAGGCCCGGGCCGAUGGACGUCUACCUCUUCGCCUUCAUCGACGAGGACAUGAAGAGCAUCCAGCCGGGCUACUUUGAGCGGCACUGGGGGAUCUUCACGUACGACGGGAAGCCCAAGUUCCCGAUGGACCUCUCGGGCAAGGGAAAUGGUAAGUACUUGGCAGGCGCAUCCGGGGUGGAGUAUCUAUCGGAUGAGUGGUGCGUCUACGAUCCGAGUGCGAGGAAUCAGGAGGCAGUGCCACGGAGCAUGGAUUUUGCGUGCUCCAACGGGGACUGCACGGCAUUGAUGGGCUCAUCGCCGUGCAGCAAGUUGGAUCGCAGCGGCAGGGUAUCGUAUGCCUUCAACAUGUAUUUCCAGAUGAAGGACCAGGACGUCAGGGCGUGCGACUUCCAAGGCUUGGCGAAGAUCACCAGCAGGAAUGCGUCCCGAGAUGGCUGCUUGUUCCCCAUACAAAUUGUGAAUGCCGCUGGAAGAAGCCCGGCGGAGUUGGGCUUACUGAUGCUGCCAUGGAUUGCUGUAUUAUUAUUUCUAUGAGAGAGAGGACUCACUCGGAAGGGUACUGGUGGGGGCUGCUUGUACAGUAGAUUUGGUGAAUGUCUGGGGGCCAACUAAUACAUAUUAGUUUAUCAUGAAUUCAAAUUCAUAUAAAUCUAAUCACAAAUAUUACGAUCGAUCAUGAUUGGUCAAUUCUAAUAGGUUCGUACUGCAGUGUCUCCUAGUUCAUAUAGAUUAUAAGCCAGAUCCGCUCUGAUAUCAUUAGAUUGUGGCCUGCACGGCUCUUGAAAUAGCCGUUGCAUAAUUCGAUCUGGAUAUGUGCGAGGGAUCCAACCCCUGUUCUAUAAUCACAGCCUAUUUUUAGCAAGCACAACCGUACAUUCUCAGUCUCAAGUUUCAAAUAUCUGGGCGAAGAAGAAGGCAAAAAAGAUGAUUGAAAAUACAAAGUAUUUUCAACCAUUCAUAGAAUAUUCUUUUGUCUUAAAUAAGUUACAUACAUUACACUUGCUAGUUACUCCUUAAAAAUAUGCCAACACAUUAAACUAACAAUACCAAAAAAUGACGGAAAGCACUUGAAUUACAUUAAGGAGUGAGGGUCACUUGCUAAAUGAAAGGCUAUAUAUCUCAUAAGUAGAUAUUUCAGGACAUGGCAUAGUUUGUACGUUCAUAUGAACAUGCGAAUGCUUCACAAUUUUGGGAUGGUUCAUGUGGACUACUAUAAAUCUCAUUAACCUUGAACUGCAUGGCCCAAUACAAAUCUGAAACAGAGAGAGAAACCUACACAUGACCUAUAGAGUUUUUGAGAUUCACGAGAAGUUGCAAAAUAGAUUGCAACCAAAAUCUGAUACCAAGUUAACUUCAUUCUUAUUUUCUUUUCUAGGUUGGCGUUGCCAUGUUUUUUGCGAGGUUCGUUUAUUUAAAAACUUCUAAAUCUUUUCAACCCUUGAAAGGAGAAGGGUCGACAUCAAGUCAUCUAUAUAUCUAUAUAUAAUCAUGGGGAGAUCUAGAAGGAAUGAAACUAUUUACUAUGAAGAAUGGCAAAUGUUAGUGAGCAUCUCAUGCCUAGACUCGAGACUAGAGCAUUUGAAAACCCCUUAAUGUGUGUUAUUUGAAAAAUAAUCUUGCAAAUCAAUAGUUAAGUGGCUUCUUUGUGCAAGGUUUAUAUCUAGCUAUAAUAUAUAUAUUGUGUGCACGUAUGUAUAAAUUGCAAGGCUAAUAAACUUUCUUCCCUGAGCAUAGCACAGCACACGAAUAUUGCAAAUGUAAAAUAUUUGAUGGCCAUGUGCAUGCAUUUCUUGGAAUCAAUGAUUCUUUGAAUGCAAUUUAUUUUUAACUUAAAAAGCAUCAGUUGGAGAGAGUAUUCUUAUGACAUGAAAACCAUAAGCACUCAAAAUUCAAUAUAAUUGAAAAUGACGAUGAUGGAUGUCUCUAAAUUUCAUUCUAGAUAAUCAAUGUUUUUAAAACCAAUUGGGAACCAGUCGUCGCCUAUCCAUUUAGGUUGAAAGGAUCAUUUAAAGAAGGUCAAAAUUCGAUCGAACUCAGGAGAACCGGAUAAACUAGUCAGACCAGUUGGUUUGAUCUAGUUUGGAUUUUUUUUUGAAAAAAUCAACUCAAAAAUAGCUGCGGAUGAAAUAGAUUUUUUUUUCUUCUUUUUUAGACCGAAACUUAAGCAUCCGAGGCUCUUCCUUUAUUCUCUGGUCUCCGACGGCCCUCUCUCUCCUAUUGUCUUCUCUUUGAUGCUGUUGAUGAAGAUGAUGACCAUAUGUGGAUGGUCAUUGGUGCUGUGGUGCAACAUGCACGUCUUCAGCGCAUUGAUGAAAAACUUCAGAUUUCAAAUUUGUGUGGAUCCCCCACGAUCCCAUAUGUCGACGAUUUUAACGAGGGAUAGGGCUAAUGUGGUCCAUGAUCAUGAGCACAUCAAGGACGUCAUCACAGCCAUCAAGGUGUUGAUCCCCAACUCCAAGGACCCCAUGAUUGCCCCUUUCGUCCACGAUCUCCAGUCCCGGGUCUAUAGUUCUCCCGACAUUCUUCGUCAGAUAGUGAUUGCGAAUUUCUUUCUUCUUUUGGAUUUAUUAUUUGUAAUAUACUCUGAAAAUCUGAUCUUUUUUGUGGUUUUUGGCUUAUUUGGUCGGGACAAAAGAUAUUAUGCCUAGAUUGCUAGUUUUUUCUUAUGGAUUUAUAAUCACUAAAUUCUAGUAAUAAUUUAGAAAAGUGCAACAGAUUUGAAUGCUUUUGGUUUCGUAGUUAUGGUCUUUGUGUUAUCAUUGUUUCUAUGUUAGCUUUUAUGUUUUGUUGCUGUUGAGAAUUGACUGGCCUCAAGCACCAUGGCGAAAGGCGUGACGACACUGGAGAGCUCAGCGGUCGGCUGUUUUUGUCAGAUUCGAGGAAAGUGAAUAGUGCUCGGUCGCUGCGAAUAAGAUCCUCGUCCGAUAAAGGCACCUCCAACCUGAAACAGCACAGAGCAAAGAAGUCCAUUGACCGGAAUGUAUCCAGCAGAGAAUAGAAGUCCACUAGCCGGAAUGUAUACAGCGGAGACCAUCUGAUGCCUAAGUCAAUAAAAUUAUCAAGGAAUAGAAGGAGGCACUCUCUCAAGUUGUAAGAGUGAUCUCUUUUUUUUACCUCUUUUUUUUGUAUAUAUUGGGUGGAAAAGUUUACCUGCCACUAGAAAAUGUGGGUACGUGGGUCGACCAAAAGUGACUGGUUUGAGUAUGACUUGGAUAUCGGACGUGAAUGCUUUGCAUAUGAAUGAUAUCCUGUCUAUCAUAUCGGUGGAAUUGCGAUAAUCACUAGGUCUCCCAAUAAAAAUACAGGCAAUUGUAGAAAGUUCUCGAUAGGUAAGCUCGUCGGUAUGGCGUUGGGCCCGCCCAGUAAUCACUCUUGAUCCACCACAUAUUGGAGCUGUAGUAUGGUUUGAUUGGCUAGUCCUCUUGGUAAGAAGUAGCCAAUUUGGAGGCGUAUUAUGUUUUAUGUCUAACUUGGAAGCUGGUUGGGGAAUUCUUUGAAUUCUUUAUAUCUUAAACAAAGAAGAGGCAUCUCGUAUGUCGACCCAGCCUUUUCUUUGGGGGGGGGGGGGGGUGGGUGAGCGUCAUAUAUCUACCAUUAAGUUGUGAUUAAUCACUGAGAUCCAAAUUCUCAUUUAUAACUAGAGAAAUAAUAUUGUACUAAUUUAUCUUGCUAGGAAUUGGAUCAGAGAGGAUUACUAAUUGAAUUAGGGAUACAGUUUUCCUUUUUUAUUAUUUUUUAAAAUAAAAAUAUAAUUGUGAUGCCAUGAUGACAUCUUGCCGAUAUUACCGACUGGAUCAGCUAACUCGGGAACCAGUUUGCUAGUUUGAUGUCCUAUCCAAUUUUAAAAAUGUUGUGGAUAACAAGACACAUUCCUUCCGAAUUAUUAGGAUAAAAUGAAUUCAUCUAAUAAUUUUACUUUAAAAUGAAAUGAAUCCAUGUAGGAUAGUUUCACCUUUAGUUGCAUGGGGACACGGUCCACCCAAGAAUUAGUACUUGGUUGCGGCGGAGCCCGCACAGGAAACGCGUAGCACCGAGAGGCCGCACCCAGUGGGAAAAACACUGUUCCCGCCGCCGUUGCGAUACCAAAUAGGAAGCGCAGCUGCGACGCGCUUCGCUCGCUGCAACGCCUCCCAGCUCCACGCCUCCGACUGCCCACCGCGGCGUCGACCGAACACGCGUCUCCAUCCCACUCGUCCGUUUUUUCUAUUUUUGUCUUUCUUGGCCGUUAUCGACGCCGUUUCCACCGGCAUCUAUUUAUAGGUCUCUAUGCUUCCUCCUUUCCCUCAUUCGUCUCUCUCCCGUUCUUUUUUCUCUUCUUCCCAGGGCUAGGGUUUCCAGCGAAAGGAAAGAAGAAGAAGAAGAAGAAGAAGAAGUUUCAGCAAAAAAAAGGAAAGAAGAAGCCGUUCCUGGGUUUUAUCUGUUUCUUCUUCUUCUUCUUCUUCUUUUCUCUUGAUCCAUUCUGAUACGAGAAAAAAUGGUGGCGCUCGAGGUGGGCAGCGCAAAUGACGCCGUGGAGAGGAUCCCCAAGGAGGCGAUGAGGAUUCUUGACAGAUUGGCGUCGGAAUGGAGCGACGUGGCCGACUCCAAGGCCUUGGAGGUGGUGCACCUCAAGGGGGCGAUGACCAACCAGGUCUACCAGAUCAACUGGCCGACCAUGGGGAAGGACGGCGUCUCUCGGAAGGUGCUCGUCCGGAUCUACGGCGACGGGGUGGAUGUCUUCUUCGACCGGGAGGACGAGAUCCGGACGUUCGAGUGCAUGUCUAGGCACGGGCAGGGGCCGCGCCUUCUUGGGCGGUUUCCCAAUGGCCGGGUCGAGGAGUUCAUCAACGCCAGGGUAUGCCCAAUUUCGCAAGAAAUUUUCUUUCUUUCUUUCUUUCUUUUUUGUUUAGUUAAUCUUUUAAUUUCUAGGUGCGUGCCGAUUCAUUGAUUGCUCUGUUUGCUAUUAGUUGUUUUAACAUAUUACUAGAUGAGGUAUGUAGAAUUUGUUAUUUGUUUUAUCAUUGUAAUUGUUUUUUUUUCCAUUUUCUUCCAUGGUUGAUGAGAACGAUUUGAAGUCAUGAAUGUUUUCAAGCUGAAAUUUUCUUUCUUCCUUCUUUCUUUCUUCGCCCCCCAAGCCGGAUCUUUUGAUAUUUAUUAUUUUCCUUAUUAAGAUCGGUGUGCUGUCACUAACAUAUACUAGAGAUUUGAUAUGGAGAAGGAUGGAUGCAUAUGGUGUGUAUUUUGGGCUCUUUGUGUGGGAAGACUAGGUCUUUUAUUCGCUUACUAUUUAGUCCAAAAGUGCUUGUGGGGUCAAGAAGCUUUAUGCUUUGCUACUUUAUGAUUUAUGCUGUCACUGUUGCUGUUGUUGCCGGUAGUUUAUCCGCAUAAGAUUCUAACAUGUGAAAAGGCAUUCUUUAGGACCUCAGCACAUGCUAAACUGUAAGUGAAUAAUGGUAGCCUAGCACCAAAUAGUCAGAAACCUUGUUUACAACUGUGAGUAGAGAGAAGUCCUGGUAAAUUUACAUCUAAAGGUGGAAUAUACCUUCAUAUAUGAAGAGAGCUUGGAAUCAGGUGCAUUCAUCUUUUAUUGAAUAGACAACCUUAGGGUCUGUAGGAUCGACCUCAGCUUAAGUGCUUUAAUUUUUUAAAGAUUAAAUGGUGCUUACUUUAAAGCAGAAGAGGAUUAUGACAGCCCACGGUAUCUAGGUUGCUAAGGUAGCAACAUACCUGGACUUACAAGUUACUCCUUACAUUUCCCCUGGCUUGUGAAUUUGGAUUCAUGUAGCAUCAUGCCUCGUGGCUUUUGUUCAGAUCGUGCUUGUUAGGACAACGGUGCCUCUGGUCCCACUUAGAAUGUGUUCUGAAAAAGUGUUUCCUCUCAAAACGAGAUAAAUGGUGUUCUUGGAAUCAUCUUCAUAAUGAAGGUGCCAGUGAGACAGUGACGAUGGGAGCAAGAUAUUUCUUACUCUGAUGUCAAGUCCUCCAUUUCUUUGAAAAAUCUUUUGGCAAUAGAUUUUAGAAAGAUGCAAUGAAAAUAAUCUCAUGGCUUCUUUUUAGCCAUACCACUAUCAUCCACACAGGUUUCAUACAGGAUUUUUUUAAUUGAAGUUUAACAUCAGUUGGGUGACAAGCAUCAAGGAUGGAGAGAGAUAAUUGUGGGAGUGUUAUUUGCUACAGGUCAGCUUCUUCGUUGCUGUUAUGCAAAGAUGGAAAAUGAUGUAGUUAUGGUUCUUAGGUUUUGAUUGGGGUCGCUUGACUCCAUACCUGGAUUAUCUAUCUGAAGUAUACACUUUGUGUCCUCAUCUAAAUGGCUGUGGCUGUCCGGUAAGAUGAUUUUUUCCCCUUUUGCCAGAUGAUCUGACUUCCUCAUGAUCAUUCUCGGUUGCAUGAAGAAUGAACCAAACAUUUGCUAAGAUACGUGUUGUGAUGUUGGUACGUGAAUGCUGUUUGAUUUCAUCAAGUUGUAAUUGCUGCUUAAGAGCUCCUAAAUCACCUGGUCAUCCCAUGAUUUUAUUAGUUACUUAUGCAUGGAAAGCUCUGUGGUUUUUCUUGUGUAAUCUACUCAUGGUAAUCUUUAAACAGCAAUGGUGGCAUUACUUGUUAAAUUUUCANNNNNNNNNNNNCAAUGUUCUGAAUUGGUCAUGCUGCUUUUGCUAUUUUAGACACUUUCUGCAGCUGAUCUGCGGGACCCAGAAAUAUCUGCUCUUGUAGCAUCAAAAUUAAAGGAGUUUCAUGACCUUGACAUGCCCAGUCCAAGGAAUGUAUUCUUAUGGGAAAGAUUGAGGUAUAUUUUAAUUAUCUAUCAAACUUUGGGCUUAACUUUGAUCAGUGAUGUGCCUGAUAGCUUAUAUUAUCUCUCUUUAUCUCAGAAAAUGGCUGAAAACAGCUCGAAAUUUGUGCUUACCUGAAGAAUCUAAAGAAUUUCGCUUGGAUACCCUAGCGGAGGAGAUAGCUGCUUUAGAAAGUUUUUUCUCUGGGAAAGAUCAGAGAAUAGGAUUCUGUCAUAAUGAUCUCCAGUAUGGGAAUAUCAUGGUUGACGAGGAGACCAGACAAGUAACUAUAAUAGUAAGUUGCUUUCUCUAAUACACUUAAUCUACGGGCUCUUUUAGUCAAUUUCUUAAAAGUUAACUUUUCAAACUUCCGUUUCUGCUAAGUGAGAUGGAAAACGUUAUAGUUUUGGUUGAAUGGUUAGAGUGCUAGUUCCUUUAGGAGUCCUAUCUUNNNNNNNNNNNNNNNNNNNNUUUGGUUUCCCAACCAAAUUGUUUUUCUCCAGGGAGGAUUCCAUCUCAUAUGGAAUUGUUGCUGCAGCUUGGUCAUGAAGUUCUGAUAGUAGCUGUGAGAUCUUAAGCCAUGAAAAGCAUAAACUAAGCACUGCAUUGCCAAUGAUGAGUCUUUUUCUUGUCCUUUUCAAUUUGUUCUUUUUCCCUAUCAACUUUAGGGAGAGUGAUGCGGGCCAAGGAACAUUAGAUCUUAGGAUUUCAGUAUAUUUCAUUUCAUACCAUAACUUCAAAAGUUCAAAGAUAUCAUAAGGAGUAAAAUGGUUUGCUUUGUAGAGAAUGGCACAAUUAAUGACUCCAUAAGAUAUGCAAGAAGUUCUGAUAUUAGCUGUGAAUGUUUUAAGAAAGGUUCAUAGUACUACUUCUGGUGCCUAUACUAGUACCAUUUUGGUAUAGUGUCUGUGCAGUCGGUUCGUGGUACGAACACUUUGUACGCUUCCCAUACUUAGUAUUGGUUCACUACCAGUACGGUUUGGUAUUGUCCGAUACAAGGUAUUACGGUUUGGUAUGGCAAGUCAUGGUUUUAAGCCAUGAAAAAUAUGGUGGGUAUUGGCCCUACUCUUGUGGUGUAUGCUCCCAAACUAAGUACUACACUACCAAUGACGAGUCAAAUCUUUUUUUUUCCAUUUUAAUUUGUUUGCUUUUUAGAGAAUAGUACAGUUAACAACUUGAGGUUCCUAAUUACAUAGAUUAAUCACGUUAAUCUUUAGUUGGUGAGAAGUUUAUCUCUUAAUAGGGCCAAAUAUAGUGUCUUGAGAAGUCAUAUUUGAAUCACAUUGUCCCAACAGUCAAUUUUUUGGAGUAAAUUUUGGUGCAUGGCCAUAUGUAAGCAUAUAAUGGGGCUGUCUUGUAUUAUAUGUUGUCUGAGAAUGUAAACGGUUACUUUGUUAACUGUCAUUCUUUAUGUGAAAACUUAUCUGCAUAGGUAAUGUAUUGGUAGUUUCCUGUAUGCGUGUUGUGUGAGAAUAUGAAUGAAUGAAAAUUUCAGCAUUCUUUGAUCUGCGUUAGAAGCAAAGUGAUUGAACUUUGCAAAUGGUGUACCAUUCGUGCCAAUGAUAAUCAUCCUUUUUUUUUGUGGGUUGGGGUUGGGGGGCUGUGUUCUAGCAAUUGCUAGUUAUUUAUGCUGAGGAAUGCCUCGAGUGUUCUGUCUCUUUAGUUGCUGGAAGCAGGAGCAGGUGUGGAGGUGGGUGUGGGUGUGGGUAAGGGGAAAUUGGUUUGUCACAUCAUAAAAGAAAAAUAGGGAAAUGCUUAAGAAACAGGUGCAAGGAUGUCCUGACUGCCUCUUUAGUUUCUAGAGCGGGUAUGCUCCACUAAAUAGAAGUGGUCAGCUAAGGUCUGCUCGUGGAAUGGUAUGACUUGGCAUGUCAAAUGAUUAUAUGUUGUAUUCUAGCGAUUGUAACAUCAUGCCUGUUGUUAUAGAGUUGUAUAUCCAGACACUCUGCAUAUCCGUACUCUGGUGUUUACUUAUCUUUUUAGUUAUGCACUAAGACAUUUCUGUGACUUCUGGAUGGAGAUAGAAAUCAUAUUUCUCUUAUUCUUUAAUUUAUUGAUCAAUUUUAAGCCUGCUUCUUGAUGCAUCAAUGAUAUAAUCGGGGCCAAUCUCUAGCAUAGCCAGCAUUCUGUUUUAAUUUUUUUUUCUCGACCUCUCAACACCAGACUGAAUGCAGAAAUAUAUGAAAUUAUGUAGGAUGUCCAUGGUGUCCACUUCUCAUUAUUCUUUAUUUUUACAAUUUCUAGGACUAUGAGUAUGCAAGUUUCAACCCCAUUGCAUAUGAUCUUGCCAAUCACUUUUGUGAGAUGGCUGCUGAUUACCAUACAGGGACUCCUCACAUUUUGGAUUUCAAUAAAUACCCAGGUUUGUUAUUCUUGGUUUUCAGUUUGCUGACAUUGAAAUGGACACUCCUAUGCUGGUGUUAAUGCUCUGUUUCUGAUCUUUUUGGAAGCAGAUUAUGAGGAGCGCAAGAGAUUUGUGCAGGCAUAUCUGAGUUCGUCAGGUAAUCUGUUCAAAGGCUGCAUAAAAAACACAUAAAGAGAACUGAUCUUUUUGGUUCAACUUGUACCUCAACAACAGAUUGAAAUAACUUAUCACGAUCUUAAGCAGUCUUAGACAUUCCAUACGUGCAUGUAUAAGUGCAGUGGUGUAAAUGCAUACAUGAUAUUAGAACUGAUAGGUGUAAGUUUCAUACAGAUCCUACUUCUUUUCCACACUAUGAAGGUUGAAUUACAGAACUAAGUGGUUAUUUUGACAUCGAGAUGAUGAGUUAGGAAACUAUAAAUUUCUUGCCUUUUUUAAUGUGUUCAUGUGUCGCUAUAGCUCACUAAACCUUGUAGAUUGAUGAGUUACAGUUUUUCAAUUGUAUAUCAAGUAGGAAGCAUUAAGCAUGAUGACCGUCAGGAGUUUAUCAGAUUAUGUGGUCGCCAUAGGAUUGCACAUACAAUGAGAUAUAUUGGACCACAUUAAUAGUUUGAUAGCAUCAAUGUGAAUUUAGAUCAUCUUUCAAUAAGAAAGACAAAUAAAAACUCUUCGUGGCCUGGAAGCUAUUUAAUCAUCUUAAUAUGUGUAAUGCUGGGUCAUUUUUCAAGAUACGGAUGCUAGAGGUUGUUAGUCAAAAUUUUCGGCACUAUCAGAUUUGAAUUUUAUUUCUGUUCCCCAAGAUGGUUAUUCAAAAUUUUUGGAACUACCCAAUCUCAAUUUUAUUUCUGCUCCCCACACCCCUUCUCCUUUUUAAAAUUUUCGUGGACUCUAUAUUCUUUUAUCUAUAGGUGAAACAGGCAAUCUCGUGGAAAUUGACAAUUUACUGGAGCUUAUUGAGAAGUAUACUCUUGCAAGUCAUCUUGUUUGGGGCCUAUGGGGAAUAAUAUCAGUAAGGCACUUCGGUUUGUUUUCUUGUUCGGUCGGGCUCUUGUUGCUUGGAAGUUGGUUUCAACCUUUUCAAUUCAUUUAUCCAUUUGUCUGCAGGAACAUGUCAAUGAUAUUGACUUCAAUUACAUGGAGUAUGCAAAGCAGAGGUUUCAGCAGUACUGGUUGAGGAAGUCUGCCACAUUGGGAGCUGGGUGGGUGAAUUGAAUGGUUUACGUGCCUUUGUACUUACUUGUCAGCGUUAGAAGCCACUUUGAAUACAUCGCAUGGGUUCUUCAAUACUGAAAUUAGAUUUUUUGAGUGUUGCAAAAUAAUACAGCUAUGUUCAAUAAACCGAAGGCAGCCCCUGGUGUUUUUGUUUUGGUUUUAGGAUUACAGUUAAUACGAGAAAAUUUUCACAUUGGUCGUUAGCAUUCAUAAAAAAAAAAGAGAGAUGCUUUAAUGAAAGCAUUUUGUAAUGUUUUGUUGUUCAAUAUUUAGUAGUAGUAUUAGCUUUUNNNNNNNNNNNNNNNNNNNNNNNNNNNNNNNNNNNNNNNNNNNNNNNNNNNNNNNNNNNNNNNNNNNNNNNNNNNNNNNNNNNNNNNNNNNNNNNNNNNNNNNNNNNNNNNNNNNNNNNNNNNNNNNNNNNNNNNNNNNNNNNNNNNNNNNNNNNNNNNNNNNNNNNNNNNNNNNNNNNNNNNNNNNNNNNNNNNNNNNNNNNNNNNNNNNNNNNNNNNNNNNNNNNNNNNNNNNNNNNNNNNNNNNNNNNNNNNNNNNNNNNNNNNNNNNNNNNNNNNNNNNNNNNNNNNNNNNNNNNNNNNNNNNNNNNNNNNNNNNNNNNNNNNNNNNNNNNNNNNNNNNNNNNNNNNNNNNNNNNNNNNNNNNNNNNNNNNNNNNNNNNNNNNNNNNNNNNNNNNNNNNNNNNNNNNNNNNNNNNNNNNNNNNNNNNNNNNNNNNNNNNNNNNNNNNNNNNNNNNNNNNNNNNNNNNNNNNNNNNNNNNNNNNNNNNNNNNNNNNNNNNNNNNNNNNNNNNNNNNNNNNNNNNNNNNNNNNNNNNNNNNNNNNNNNNNNNNNNNNNNNNNNNNNNNNNNNNNNNNNNNNNNNNNNNNNNNNNNNNNNNNNNNNNNNNNNNNNNNNNNNNNNNNNNNNNNNNNNCAUAGCUCUAGAUCUUCGAUCUAGGUUGUUUUAAGAAUCAUUCUUUAUUCAAAAUAACUCUUCACAGAGAACCAUGAAGACAUGAUGUCAAAGCUGUAAAUGUGCAACGGGGUUAAUAUCUUUUUGUUUAAGUUUCUCUAAUGAGUUCACAAAGGUUGCUGUAGUACUCUGAGAUUAGGCUUACAUGAUACCGGAUUCAAUUUUCAGGUAAUGUGAGUUAGCUGCCCUUCUGGUGCAUAACUCAAUAUACAUAUCUAGUUUUACAACUAUUGGUUUCAAAAGAUGCCUUAAUGUUCCGUAUCUUUCAUACUACAGCUUUUUGGCAGUUCUUGUUGCAGGAGUCCUGAACUUUGAGUUACAAUAAGAUGACAAGGUUGCACCUAGAUCAAUGCCAACACUGGCAUAGGUUGGAUCGGUUCUUUCUAAUUCUAAAUUGAUGGAUCCCACAUUGCUUAAAAGGUUCUUUCUCCCUCUCAAGAUAGCAGAUUAAAGCACUUGUUUGAGUUAAACAAAGAUACUGUUUGGCAGGUUAUUUCGAAGUCAUGUUAAUAUAGGGUGUUGAGACCAUAGCGACAUUAUGACAUACCAGUUAAUCACUGCUUGUGGCCGAAUAGUUUUCUCAUAAGGAAUCUCUAAUGAAUACUUUAUGAGUCCAAGGAACUGAUACUUUUCAAUAAAGUAUUUUAAGAUAGAACAAAUGCAUCUGUAUCACUUGUUUGCUUCAGCAACUUCUUGUAUGCUGUUCUUGUGAUCAAGGGAUAAGGCUGGAAGUGGGCCGGGCUAUGCCCCUACCCAAAUCUGGCCCAAAAAUUUUUUGACAAUCCAAGCCUGAGCCCAACCCGAGCCUAGCCCUAGGCCUGACCUGAACUUGAUUGGGCCCAGCCACGUCAUUGAAGUUUAAUAUUUCAUAAUAUUGCUUCACAAGUAAAUGAGCUAGCUAAAAAUUGGACUCUCUCCUAUAAAACAAAUAAAUGAUACAUGAUACAUUAUUCUCUGCUCAACCCAUUUUAAUUUUUUGUUUACUUUCUCAUUAUUCUCUCUAAAUAACAACAUACAAAAACAAAUUGAUCCGGGCUUGAUUUCGAGCUCCAUUUCAGGCCUUGUUCGGACUUGGGCUAGGCCCGGGUCGGGCCAAUGACAUACCCAAGCCCGGCUCGAAAAAUAAAUGGGCUCUACAUUUAAGCCCAAACCCGCUCUAAACAUUUUCGGGCCUAGUCUGAAACCCGGCCCGAAAGGCCUCGGGCUGGCCCGAGCCCAUUUCCAGCCCUAUCAAGGGAAGGUUCUGAUUAUAUUCAAGCCUAGAUCAAAUCUGAAAUGGCAAGCACCGAGUACUGCUUUUAGUUUUUGGCUUUGGAAUAUUGAAACAUUCACACCCAUGCUGAAGUAUUCAGAGUAAAAGGCAUUCUUGGAUGAAUGAUAUUACAAAGGAAUUCUAGACCUUGUUUACUGACCUGAACUCUCUUGUUUCGAGCAUAUUGUAGCACCCCAUCAAACUUGCUUUCACUGAACUGCAGUGAGAAAAUAUCAUCAGUAAGUUCAAGAUUGUAAGUUUGAAACCCAGGCAGAAACCCAGGCAGAUUGUUAUUAUAUAUUCAGACUACAAAUCAAAUUAUCUGUCUAAAGAACUCAAAACAAUAAAUGAGAAUUAAGUGAUAGGAAACUGUAUAAUGAAGGAAUGCAGCAAUAGAAUAAGUAGUUUUAAAAUGACAUUAAACAAAACCUAAGUUAAACAGUAAUACCAAAUCCAUCUAUAUCGUUUGCUCAUUUGAGAAGUAUGAAUAAAAAGAAAGCAACCUGCAAAUCCUCGGUCAAAGGUGUUGUGUACAUGCCACCAGAAGAAACUGUAAUAACCCGAGCAUCGGGUGCUGCUUUCUCCAAUGAUGGCAUCAUUAAUUCUGUAAUAGCAUAUGUUGCUGCUACAUUAACAGCAAGUUUAACUCCAAUCUGGUAGAAGAUGACAAAAAGUUAUAGGCAAGUUGUCAGUUUCAGGAUGGUUAGAAAAGAAAUUUUCAUCCCCUAAGCCAGAGAAGUUCUAGCUACAUAAAUGACUAUAUUAAAUUGAAUGGGAACGAUAGGGUGAACUUCAUAUGCAAAGACUAAAUAAAGAUCAAAUUUAUAUGGCAAAUAAUGAAAGGGGCACACCCUUCUGCUGUGGUAACUCGGUUGUGCUCCAGUAAACCAGCAUUGUUAACCUAAAUGCACAAGUCUGUCAGAACCUUCUCAUUUCUCACUUGUAUAAAGCAUUUACUUUGCUAUAAUCACAAGGUGAAAAAGAUCUAGGCAGAAUAAACUUCCCCAGGAUUUUGGAAAGAGCCGGGCAUGGUGAAAUUACUCGAAGAAAACACAACUAUUUUAUAGCAUCAUUUGUUUCGGUAUUAUUUUCCUGUCCAUAAAUCUAUGGACCACUUCGCUAAAGAAUGCUGACGUAUUUUGCCUAUAAUAUUUGGAUGCUCUGAAGAGACAAUAGGGUAACACAUUGCCAGAAAUACAAAUAAACAGGCUUUCAAGGCAGACAUGAGUGCCUUCAUGAAUCCCUUGAGGGAGGUUCCAGUUCAGACCAUGGACGUGGCAUCCCCACUGUACUUCUUUUUUUUUCUUUUGAAAAAAAAAGAGUCAAUAAAUCCCUAUGGUUCAAUAAGAAAAGGUGUAAUAAUUUAAAAAUAAAGAAAAGAUAAAGCACAUAUUAUUUACAGAAAAUUGUGGCCAUCAUAGGCCAUAUGCCAUCAUGAAGGUCACCCGUUGGCCAGGAAUAUCUGUGACUCCAUCGACUUCAUCUAAGUUGGCCAGAAAUAUCUGGGGUACCUUUUCUGCUGUUGCAGCGCUUAGGUAUGCUUCUCUUUCCUGGGUACUCCCACCCUCUGGUUAUCUUAAGAUGAAUUUUGAUGGCGGUAUGGCGAUGGAUAGAGCUUCUGGGGGAGUAGGCUUUAUUAUUAGGAACCAUUAUGGUAGAUUGAUUGCAGCUGGUGGUCAGAGCAUACCUGGCUUGAUUGUUGUUGGGGCAGAGCUAUGGGCUGCUUGGGAGGGUAUCUGGUAUGCGAGAUGUGAGCUGGGUGUCAACAGAUUGUGCAUUGAGGGAGACUCUGCCACGGUGAUUGACUGGAUACGGGGAGUGGAUAGGUAUGGCGACGGUCACCCGUUGAUUCGGAAGAUUCGCAGAUUGGUUCAGGAGAUGUUCGCCGUCCAGAUUGGUCAUGCAUUUCGUGAGGUGAACAAAGCUGCGGAUUGGGUAGCCUCAUACGUGGUACCUCACUCUGGGGACGUCAUCUGGAUGAGUUUAGCAAGUGUUCUCCACUUGUUGCAUUGUUUACUUUCUUUUGAUUUGGCAAGAUGUACUCAAACUUGAUUUAAUGGAAAUGAAAUGCCGUUUUGACCAAAAAAAAAAAGCAGCCUCUCCCCUCUUCUUACUGCGAUAGACCAUAUAAACCGUUGCACCACUAAAAGGAAUAGGAUACAAUAUUAUGUGAAAACACUCUUCCUGAGAGUAAACAGCCAAGAGCUUCAAUAGAAGAAUAACAUCAUUCGGAUCACUGGACCAUGGCCUACCAAACACAUUGAUCUUAGAUUACUGGGAAUCAAAUCACUCCAGCAUUCGGAUCACUGGAGAUCUUAGAUCACCGUGGUAAUCUUGUUGGGGUUACCAAAUGCCCCCUUAGGGCUUCCGAAGGUACGUAGGCACGAGGCGGCCAUACCAUCACCUAUGGAUCCUACCAAGUCAUGCAGGCAUGAGCUAGGGGUUGCAAGCCUCCUCCACUUUCCUGAAGAAUCUUGGAAAAAGCGAAGACUAUAUGAUUUUCCCCAAGCCAAAAGGAAUCCACAAGAGGUAAAUAAUGAAAGAAGGGUAGAUGGCAGAACGUAGAAGUCAACCAUAGAUGGUAGGACAUAGAAGUCAGUCAACACUAGCCGGCAGUUAGAACAUUCUAGGAAUAAUGGACAAAAUUGUGAGUGGAUUGGGAUAAGAAAGAAAUCAUGACCAUUGGAAAAUGUGAGGCUCCAGUUCUGCCCCAACGUUCGUUAUUUAUAAAAGCUAGAGCUUGGUAGAAGGAUCAUCGCAUUUCAGGAGAACGAGGUAGAGCGGAUAAAAGGAAAAUGCUUCUUCCAAAGACAUUCCUCCUACUCUAUCUGCUUCUCCUUUCCACUUCAUUCAUUCCAAAUGGGACCNNNNNNNNNNNNNNNNNNNNNNNNNNNNNNNNNNNNNNNNNNNNNNNNNNNNNNNNNNNNNNNNNNNNNNNNNNNNNNNNNNNNNNNNNNNNNNNNNNNNNNNNNNNNNNNGCUACUGCACCAAGACAUGGGCCAUAUGUAUAAAAAAAUAAGCAUUUAGCUAGGGUAAGUUGAAUGAUUUUUUUAUAAAAAACCGUUAAAACAUCAUUUAUAUUUGCUUUAUAUGCCAUGCUAUCAAAUCUAUCUCAUGAUCAGAAUCCAUCUCAUUUCUUAGCUCAACUGGUUGGCAUCCAUCUCGAUCUCGAAGAGAUCCAAGGCUCGAACCUAGGCGGUGGUGCUGCCAUCAUAUUUUUCUUCAAAAAAUAAAAGAAAACGGGAACAAAAUCAGCUAAGCUUAGGUUUUAGUGUGCUUCCCCCGUAAGAAAUCAUAAAAAUCUUUUCCGCUGAAAGAAAACAUUCCAAACAUAAUUAUAUCUUGCUUGUUGGUUAAAUAUGAAGACGGAUAUAACUUGCUGUUGGUGCAUGGGUGCAGCAACUGGUGGCCAGACGCCUGUGGAUGCCACAGACCGCAUCGGAUAUGGUGCCAACCCAUAUCGUCCCCGGCCACCAAUGUCUGGCCGUCCAUAUUCUCGGAGGUGCAAGAAGAACAAUUACCAUUGUCGACCCCCGGUCCCAUAGCUGCAGAGUAAAAUCGUAGGUGUGCUACUAUACUAAUGGCUGCAGCGACUGCUACAUCCUCGCAUAAAUUGCCCUGAAAUGGGCAUAUGAACUAAUUAAAUAAGCGGCCGUAUCAAGAUGUCAUGUUCGCUUUGUUGUACGCGUACUGUGUACCUAAUGGUAAUUGGGAAUUUUAAAGAUGCUGCGCUGUUCUGUUGCUAUUGUAUUGAGUUACGGGCUCUCUUUUAUCUACUUCCUUUUCACUAUUUUUUGCAAUCCUCUGUUGCUCGGAUGGGAAUUUUGACAUCCUCUAUUCCUUGCAUUAAUUAUUAAUUAAAUGGCCGCUUGCCCGAGUUGUUUCCAACACCGCAACCAAUAACCACUUCUGGCGGAGAACGCUGCGUAGGCACUUUUGCAGCUGUGCCUCCCAUAAAAAAAUAUAAAAAUAUAUAAAUAAAUUUAUUUUAUUCUAUUAAUUUAAGUUUUUGAGACAAGUGAUGAUUUUAACAUGAUAUAGAAUUUGUCCACGAAAAAAAAAGUCGUUCAUGAGACCUCGAAUUCCCACGUUCCAGCGUGCAUUAUGCAUAACUUGCUGCAUCUCACGCACCGAGAAUUUUCCUCCACUCUUGCAAUCAACUAUUCUUUGAUUGAGAUGGACUCUCGCAUCUUCCUUCACUAAAGCUCUCCCCUUUGGGUCCUGAUAAAUAACUCUACGGUUUCUCUAGGCUGGCUGCAAAGCUUCAGAAGAAUCACUCACAGGUUUUGUCAUGCUCCAAAUCCGCGAUUUAGGUUGGCCACAUGACACGGCCACACACUUUCUAGAGUAGGGCCCUAGAGAAUAUGCUAAGUCUGAAAUUUUAUUACAGCCUCAAAAAUUUAUAACAAAAAUAAUCUCAUUUCAUAAUAAGAAUAAACAUGUAUAGGAUGCAUGGCCCAGGCUCUAAUACAAAGCUUAGUGUGGUGGAUUAUAGGAUGCAUGCCCAGGCUCUGACGCUGGCGGUGCUCUCGGGUGCAGCGCUGCUACACUACUACGACGCCAAGCAUGCAAUUGAGGACGACGAAAAAGUUUCUCCCACCCCCCUUGUCUAGAUAAGUUCAAGGGGCUUAUAAUAUGUCCGUUAACUUUGUUGGCAAUGGCCAUAAGAGUGAGAAGUAGUGAUGUUGUUGAGGGGGUAAGACUCCUACUCUCGACAUCUUGCCCAUUUGUACUUGGUAUAUAUGGACUACGUUAUGCGAUUUUGAGCAUAUAUAAAAACAAUUUCAAUCUAGUAUGAUCUCUUCUGUGACAAAUUUCUCCGCCUGGCCAGUGUGAUCAAACUUAAUGCUUUCAUCAGGGUGUUGAAAAUUUGAGAGAGAACAAAAAUAUAUAUCCUAUAUUGAUGGAUGAAGCGAUUAGGCGGAUACCUUGAGCAUCAUCAAGUGUAAAAUGUGGCAGUUUGCCAACUUCGCCAUAUGCGGAAAGUGUGCAUAGGGCUUGUGUUCGUGUGUAGAACGGAACGGAGGAUGCAUUUACCUAAAUAUCUUACCCUGUUUGAUUAAGCUAAUCAGCCAAAGUAAUCACAUGCUAUCAAUCAUCUAUUGGACCACCCAUGUUUGUUAUACUACGAUAAUUUGGCUAAUAACAUCACAUUGUUCUUCCAAAAGACUGACUUGUCGCGUAAAGUUCUUCGGCCGAGCUAACCUGACAUGAUAACAGCCAAUGUGUUGCUAAACCGAAAUCUUAUUUGAGUUGCACUAAGUUGGCAGAGGUUAGCGGUUAGACCUCCGUACCAGGCUUAAAAGUUUACCUCUUGCUUUCGGAUUACUUGCCCCAUAUCCUAAGUAACUUGGCCCAAUCAAUUCCAUGGCAAAUCGGUCAAGCCGCUUACUGAAUAAAAAAUAAAUGGGUAGAAAGGAUAGGAUUCUUAUGUUUUAGGUGAGGAGGUAGUCCAUGAAUAUCAGGAGGCGAAUAAUGCAGUGGAUUGGAUGACCUUUGAUCUAGGAGAACACUUCGGCUACCUCUCUCUGCUCAGUUUAGAGAUAUUUUAUUUUCUGAAGCCUCUGAUUGUAUUCACACAAGAUUGAUUUGAUGUAACUACUCAAAAAAAAUAAAAUAAACACACACACACACACACACAAAGAAGAGGCCCUUGUUCUACCAUGGUCGCUGGACUCUAGGAUAUCCAACCAAAUGGCCAAACCUAAUUUGGUUUGUCCGGGCCUCUCUUCAUGUACACAAAUGCAAUAAAUCCAGACUCUUCAGGCCGGCCCAUUAGCCCUGUAAUAUCUGGCUAUUACAGGUUCUUUCUGAAAUUUGAUACUCUUCCCCCUGCCGUCGACUGGAGUCCGCCUUGUUACUUCGAGGCCGAUCAUAUUUUGAAGCUUCUGCUACCUCCUCCCAAGUUGUAUUCUCUCGAGUUUUCAUAUCACAUCCCACUGUAAUUCUUUGUGAAUCUCUUUCUUCUUCUCUGCUAUGUAAUCUUCUCUCUGAAUCAAUAAAUUCGGGUUUAGGUGGUCCAUGGCCUCCUCCUUCGUGAAAACAAAAAAAAAACAACUAAUUGCAAUCAUAAAAGCUAGGCAUUAUUAUUAUUUUUUUUUGAUUUUUGAUGGAGAAAAGGAACCAAUGAUAAAUUCCGUUUAUGAAUCACUGGUCGAGAAAUAGCAAUGGCUAAAGCAGGAAUCUCCAGAUGGGCACAGCUUAGAGCACAAACUCUGACCAAAGCCUCUUUCCUGCAUUAGACCCCCAUUAGCAACAAUUUGAUGGCUCACCAGACACUACCCUUCUGCUGGCGGUUGGUAUCAUUUUCUGUCUAAAAUUCAGAUAUGUGACUGCCUUUUCUCGGUUUCGGUUAGCAGAGGGUGCAGUAACUAAAUUGUUCCAAUAUUUUACUGAUCGUAAUUGUUACAAAAAGAAAACACACAGUAGUAAUACUUGGCUAGUGGAACACAUUACUUCUUGUUAGAAAAAAGAACACAUUAUUCGAACCAUGAACUGACACCGGGACAGACAGACAAGUAAACUAUUCAUCAGAUCCUUACAUUGCAAAUGCAUUUCUAAUUGCACUCAUUUUGUUGACCACAGUUUGCAUAUCCAGCCGCAAAUUUGGUGCCUNNNNNNNNNNNNNNNNNNNNNNNNNNNNNNNNNNNNNNNNNNNNNNNNNNNNNNNNNNNNNNNNNNNNNNNNNNNNNNNNNNNNNNNNNNNNNNNNNNNNNNNNNNNNNNNNNNNNNNNNNNNNNNNNNNNNNNNNNNNNNNNNNNNNNNNNNNNNNNNNNNNNNNNNNNNNNNNNNNNNNNNNNNNNNNNNNNNNNNNNNNNNNNNNNNNNNNNNNNNNNNNNNNNNNNNNNNNNNNNNNNNNNNNNNNNNNNNNNNNNNNNNNNNNNNNNNNNNNNNNNNNNNNNNNNNNNNNNNNNNNNNNNNNNNNNNNNNNNNNNNNNNNNNNNNNNNNNNNNNNNNNNNNNNNNNNNNNNNNNNNNNNNNNNNNNNNNNNNNNNNNNNNNNNNNNNNNNNNNNNNNNNNNNNNNNNNNNNNNNNNNNNNNNNNNNNNNNNNNNNNNNNNNNNNNNNNNNNNNNNNNNNNNNNNNNNNNNNNNNNNNNNNNNNNNNNNNNNNNNNNNNNNNNNNNNNNNNNNNNNNNNNNNNNNNNNNNNNNNNNNNNNNNNNNNNNNNNNNNNNNNNNNNNNNNNNNNNNNNNNNNNNNNNNNNNNNNNNNNNNNNNNNNNNNNNNNNNNNNNNNNNNNNNNNNNNNNNNNNNNNNNNNNNNNNNNNNNNNNNNNNNNNNNNNNNNNNNNNNNNNNNNNNNNNNNNNNNNNNNNNNNNNNNNNNNNNNNNNNNNNNNNNNNNNNNNNNNNNNNNNNNNNNNNNNNNNNNNNNNNNNNNNNNNNNNNNNNNNNNNNNNNNNNNNNNNNNNNNNNNNNNNNNNNNNNNNNNNNNNNNNNNNNNNNNNNNNNNNNNNNNNNNNNNNNNNNNNNNNNNNNNNNNNNNNNNNNNNNNNNNNNNNNNNNNNNNNNNNNNNNNNNNNNNNNNNNNNNNNNNNNNNNNNNNNNNNNNNNNNNNNNNNNNNNNNNNNNNNNNNNNNNNNNNNNNNNNNNNNNNNNNNNNNNNNNNNNNNNNNNNNNNNNNNNNNNNNNNNNNNNNNNNNNNNNNNNNNNNNNNNNNNNNNNNNNNNNNNNNNNNNNNNNNNNNNNNNNNNNNNNNNNNNNNNNNNNNNNNNNNNNNNNNNNNNNNNNNNNNNNNNNNNNNNNNNNNNNNNNNNNNNNNNNNNNNNNNNNNNNNNNNNNNNNNNNNNNNNNNNNNNNNNNNNNNNNNNNNNNNNNNNNNNNNNNNNNNNNNNNNNNNNNNNNNNNNNNNNNNNNNNNNNNNNNNNNNNNNNNNNNNNNNNNNNNNNNNNNNNNNNNNNNNNNNNNNNNNNNNNNNNNNNNNNNNNNNNNNNNNNNNNNNNNNNNNNNNNNNNNNNNNNNNNNNNNNNNNNNNNNNNNNNNNNNNNNNNNNNNNNNNNNNNNNNNNNNNNNNNNNUCACUUGUAUAAAGCAUUUACUUUGCUAUAAUCACAAGGUGAAAAAGAUCUAGGCAGAAUAAACUUCCCCAGGAUUUUGGAAAGAGCCGGGCAUGGUGAAAUUACUCGAAGAAAACACAACUAUUUUAUAGCAUCAUUUGUUUCGGUAUUAUUUUCCUGUCCAUAAAUCUAUGGACCACUUCGCUAAAGAAUGCUGACGUAUUUUGCCUAUAAUAUUUGGAUGCUCUGAAGAGACAAUAGGGUAACACAUUGCCAGAAAUACAAAUAAACAGGCUUUCAAGGCAGACAUGAGUGCCUUCAUGAAUCCCUUGAGGGAGGUUCCAGUUCAGACCAUGGACGUGGCAUCCCCACUGUACUUCUUUUUUUUUCUUUUGAAAAAAAAAGAGUCAAUAAAUCCCUAUGGUUCAAUAAGAAAAGGUGUAAUAAUUUAAAAAUAAAGAAAAGAUAAAGCACAUAUUAUUUACAGAAAAUUGUGGCCAUCAUAGGCCAUAUGCCAUCAUGAAGGUCACCCGUUGGCCAGGAAUAUCUGUGACUCCAUCGACUUCAUCUAAGUUGGCCAGAAAUAUCUGGGGUACCUUUUCUGCUGUUGCAGCGCUUAGGUAUGCUUCUCUUUCCUGGGUACUCCCACCCUCUGGUUAUCUUAAGAUGAAUUUUGAUGGCGGUAUGGCGAUGGAUAGAGCUUCUGGGGGAGUAGGCUUUAUUAUUAGGAACCAUUAUGGUAGAUUGAUUGCAGCUGGUGGUCAGAGCAUACCUGGCUUGAUUGUUGUUGGGGCAGAGCUAUGGGCUGCUUGGGAGGGUAUCUGGUAUGCGAGAUGUGAGCUGGGUGUCAACAGAUUGUGCAUUGAGGGAGACUCUGCCACGGUGAUUGACUGGAUACGGGGAGUGGAUAGGUAUGGCGACGGUCACCCGUUGAUUCGGAAGAUUCGCAGAUUGGUUCAGGAGAUGUUCGCCGUCCAGAUUGGUCAUGCAUUUCGUGAGGUGAACAAAGCUGCGGAUUGGGUAGCCUCAUACGUGGUACCUCACUCUGGGGACGUCAUCUGGAUGAGUUUAGCAAGUGUUCUCCACUUGUUGCAUUGUUUACUUUCUUUUGAUUUGGCAAGAUGUACUCAAACUUGAUUUAAUGGAAAUGAAAUGCCGUUUUGACCAAAAAAAAAAAGCAGCCUCUCCCCUCUUCUUACUGCGAUAGACCAUAUAAACCGUUGCACCACUAAAAGGAAUAGGAUACAAUAUUAUGUGAAAACACUCUUCCUGAGAGUAAACAGCCAAGAGCUUCAAUAGAAGAAUAACAUCAUUCGGAUCACUGGACCAUGGCCUACCAAACACAUUGAUCUUAGAUUACUGGGAAUCAAAUCACUCCAGCAUUCGGAUCACUGGAGAUCUUAGAUCACCGUGGUAAUCUUGUUGGGGUUACCAAAUGCCCCCUUAGGGCUUCCGAAGGUACGUAGGCACGAGGCGGCCAUACCAUCACCUAUGGAUCCUACCAAGUCAUGCAGGCAUGAGCUAGGGGUUGCAAGCCUCCUCCACUUUCCUGAAGAAUCUUGGAAAAAGCGAAGACUAUAUGAUUUUCCCCAAGCCAAAAGGAAUCCACAAGAGGUAAAUAAUGAAAGAAGGGUAGAUGGCAGAACGUAGAAGUCAACCAUAGAUGGUAGGACAUAGAAGUCAGUCAACACUAGCCGGCAGUUAGAACAUUCUAGGAAUAAUGGACAAAAUUGUGAGUGGAUUGGGAUAAGAAAGAAAUCAUGACCAUUGGAAAAUGUGAGGCUCCAGUUCUGCCCCAACGUUCGUUAUUUAUAAAAGCUAGAGCUUGGUAGAAGGAUCAUCGCAUUUCAGGAGAACGAGGUAGAGCGGAUAAAAGGAAAAUGCUUCUUCCAAAGACAUUCCUCCUACUCUAUCUGCUUCUCCUUUCCACUUCAUUCAUUCCAAAUGGGACCNNNNNNNNNNNNNNNNNNNNNNNNNNNNNNNNNNNNNNNNNNNNNNNNNNNNNNNNNNNNNNNNNNNNNNNNNNNNNNNNNNNNNNNNNNNNNNNNNNNNNNNNNNNNNNNGCUACUGCACCAAGACAUGGGCCAUAUGUAUAAAAAAAUAAGCAUUUAGCUAGGGUAAGUUGAAUGAUUUUUUUAUAAAAAACCGUUAAAACAUCAUUUAUAUUUGCUUUAUAUGCCAUGCUAUCAAAUCUAUCUCAUGAUCAGAAUCCAUCUCAUUUCUUAGCUCAACUGGUUGGCAUCCAUCUCGAUCUCGAAGAGAUCCAAGGCUCGAACCUAGGCGGUGGUGCUGCCAUCAUAUUUUUCUUCAAAAAAUAAAAGAAAACGGGAACAAAAUCAGCUAAGCUUAGGUUUUAGUGUGCUUCCCCCGUAAGAAAUCAUAAAAAUCUUUUCCGCUGAAAGAAAACAUUCCAAACAUAAUUAUAUCUUGCUUGUUGGUUAAAUCUGAAUACGGAUAUAACUUGCUAUUGGUGCAUGGGUGCAGGAACUGGUGGCCAGACGCCUGUGGAUGCCUACAUCCCAUAUCCUGUGAUCCGGCCGGCACCACGUCCCCGUCGCAGCUGCAACAAGAACUAUUACCAUUGUCCACCUCCGGUCCCAUAGCUGCAGAGAAAAAUCGUAGGUGUACUACUAGUAAUGGCUGCAGCGGGUGCUACAUGCUCGCAUAUAGUGCCUUGAAAUGGGCAUAUGAACUAAAUAAGCAGUCGUAUCAUGAUGCCAUGUUCGGUUUGUUGAACGUGUACUGUGUACCUAAUGGUAGUUGGGAAUUUUAAAGCUGCCGCGUUGUUUCUGUUGCUGUUAUAUUGAAUUACGGGCUCUCUCUUAUCUACUUCUUUUUCACUAUUUUUUGCAAUGCUCGUUGCUCUGAUGGGACUUUUGACAUCCUCUACUCCUUGCAUUAAUUAUUAAAUGGCCGCUUGCCCGAGUUGUUUCCACACCGGAUCCCUUUUAAAAAUUAAAGCCUUCGUUGUGUCGCUGAGCCGGUGGACUUGUCAAACUACAGACCAACACGAACAAAGAUGCAUGCAUCGCAUUCUCUUGGACCAACACAUACAAAAGAUGCAUGCACCACAACCAAUAAUCACUUCUGGCAGAGAACUUUGGUGGCUGCGUAGGAACUUUGGUACGUAGCUGCGCUUUCUACGAUGAUGCACCCUGAAAUAGUUGACCACGUCCUCCUAUCUUGUUCUUCUGUCUCUCGGUUUUGGUCAUUCCUCAGUGAUGUCAAGGAUUCUCCAGUUCCUCCACAUAACUAGCUGCAUCUCGCGCACCGAGAAUUUUCCUCCGUUCUUGCAAUCAGCUAUUCUGAUGCUUUUAGUGCCAUUUGAUUGGAGCUGUUGUUGGACUCAGAUGAAAUCUCGCAUCGUCCUUCACUAGAGCUCUCCCCUUUGGGUCCGGAUAAAUAACUCUACAGCUUCUCUAGGCUGGCUGCAAAGCUUCAGGAGAAUCACUCGCAGGUUCUGUCGUGCCCUAAACCCGUCAUCCAGGUAGAGAGUAAGGUCCUAGAGAAUAUGCUAGGCCUGAAAUUUUAUUACAACCUCAAAAAUUCAUAAACAAAAAUCAUCUCAUUUUAUAAUAAGAAAAAACCUGUAAAGGAUGCAUGGCCCAGGCUUUAAUACAAAGCUUGGUGUGGUGGAUUAUAGGAUGCAUGCCCAGGCUCUGACGCUGGCGGUGCUCUCGGGUGCAGCGCUGCUACACUACUACGACGCCAAGCAUGCCAUCGAUGACGACGAAAAACUUCAGUCCUUAAAUUGUAGCGAGUCCAUAUCCAGCCUCCACCUUGGCUUUCAUUGCAGAUCUGCAUUCGAAAUGAACGACCUCUUCGUCUCUACUGCCUCCUUCAAGUAGCACACCGACCUGAAGCAGCUGGUCCACCUGGACGAGAUGGAAGUCCGGCAUGACGGGCGGAAUGGGGGAGGCCGGCAAGGAGAGCGUCAACCUGCACAAGUUCUUCGAGGACGUCGAGACCGUGAAGGACGACCUCCGUGGCCUCGAGAAGCUGUACCGCCGCCUCCAGGGGGCCAACGAGGCUCUAGAGCAAGAAGAAGACGACGAAAGAACUCCGGGCGCGCAUGGAUGCCGACAUCAAUCGAGCAGGUCCUCCGCCGCGCCGAGGCCGUGAAGGGAACCUCCUCCGCCGCCCUCAAAUCUGGAGGUCACACUAAUAAUACCACAUUGUCGCAGGUUACAGUUUUUCAAUUGUAUAUCAAGUUGGAAGCAUUAAGCAUGACGACCGUCAGGAGUUUAUCAGAUUAUGUGGUCGCCAUAGGAUUGCACAUACAAUGAGAUAUGUUGGACCACAUUAAUAGUUUGAUAGCAUCAAUGUGAAUUUAGAUCAUCUUCCAAUAAGAAAGACAAAUAAAAACUCUUCUUGCCCUGGAAGCAAUUUAAUCAUCUUAUUAUGUGUAAUGCAGGGUCAUUUUUCAAGAGACGGAUGCUAGAGGCUGUUAGUCAAAAUUUUCGGCACUAUCAGAUUUGAAUUUUAUUUCUGUUCCCCAAGGUGGUUAUUCAAAAUUUUUGGAACUGCCCAAUCUCAAUUUUAUUUCUGCUCCCCACACCCCUUCUCCUUUUUAAAAUUUUCGUGGACUCUAUAUUCUUUUAUCUAUAGGUGAAACAGGCAAUCUCGCGGAAGUUGACAAUUUACUGGAGCUUAUUGAGAAGUAUACUCUUAUUAUCGGCAGACCAUACCAGGUAUAUAAAAGACAAUUCAGUAAUGCAACGAUGUAUGGGACGCAUGAAAACUCUUCUCCGCUCUCCUGCCUUUUCACCCUCUUGAAAGUUAUAAGUCUGAAAAUAGAACAUGAAAGGUUUUUAGAAAUAGUAUUAAAUUAUUAUUUUUUAGGAAUGUGUGAUAUAACUGAGUACAUGCCUGCUGCAUGCAGGAGCAUUGAAGCUGCAUUUGCUGCAAAAUCAUACAGAGGUAAGCCAUUAGAACACGCUAUUGUUAAUUCUUUUUGUUAAAAUCAUAUGAUUGAUUAGGUUCAUUGAUUAAUUGAUUAUGCCAAACUUAAUCGGGGCCCUACCAAAUUUUGUCAGUUUUUAGUCUAUAUAAAGGUUGCUCAUGUAUAUUGUAAAGACAAGGUAGAAAUACAAUUUCCUUGUCACUUUUUCUUCUUUCAACAUAGUAUCAGAGCUACCGAUCAUGUAACCUGCUGCCGUCCUCUCUUCCGCUUUCUUAUGGUCGUCGUCAUCGCUCAUAGAUCCUCUGUAUCUUCUGCGGGGGUAGCCGGAGCUCCGGCCUCGGCAGCUUUCAAAACUUUCUUCUUUUUUUUUCGUUGAAAUCCUGAUGACAUUAUAGACUUUUUUUUCUUUCUUUCUUUUUUUUUAAAAUUAUUUUUUGUUUGUCUUUCGUUCAAAAAAGAAAAAAUGCCGCUGACGGUGUGCUUCACGUGAAGGGGGGAGGCUUGCUUCACGUGGGGAGGCAUCAGAGGGUUGUGCGUGUUCUCUCAUCAUGAGUUAUACCAGCAGAUUGAGUUGUUGGGUCAGAAUUUGUUUGGAAGUAUUUGGGGCUGCGAGCCCUUGACUUCUAUCAUGCAGUGCGUCACCUAGUGUUACCUUGAUUUCACAUAGAUGAGGGAGUUAAUCUCUCUGAGCAACCACUUCCGGUGCUCAUGUUCCUCCAUGCCGGUAAAAUCUAAACUCCAGCAACGGCGCGUCAAACCGUACUGUCAGAGCUUGGCGGAUAAAUUUAGCAGACGCGAUCUCGUUCCAAAUUCCAACAGUGGCAUGUCAAACCGUACCGUCAAAAGCUUGGCGGAUAAUUUUGGCAGGCACGAUAUCAUUCCAAAUUCCAGCGGCGGUGCGUCAAACCGUACUGUCAGAAAUUGGACGGAUAAAUUUGGCAGGUAUGAUCUCGCUCUCGAUCAUGGAGGCAUACAUUUACAUGGCAUCGCCCCGGUUCUCAAUCUCCGGCUUUAUUUGCUGCCUCCGGCUCCUUCAUCAUCUAAUUCGAGGUCCCAUGCUCUUCUUCUAUGGUGCUUUCGUCUACGAGCAUUGUUAAACUUCAGUUGCCUUCCCUCUGAGAUUUAUCCUCGCUGCGGACGUUUUCACCAAAGCUUAUCCUUAUGGCAUCUUUCGAUCUUUUGCUUCCAAACUCAAGUUAGUGUCCACUUUACCACCUUGAGUUUGAGGGGGGCUGUUAAAAUCAUAUGAUUAAUUAGGUCCAUUGAUUGAUUAUGCCAAACUUAGUCGGCCUUAUCAAAUUUCGUUAUUUUUCUAGUCUAUAUAAAGGUUGCUCAUGUACAUUAUAAAGACAAGGCAGAAAUACAAUUCUCUUCUCCCUUUCUCUUCUUUCAACACUUUUAAUCAAUAUCAAAAUGAGAGAGAAAAUACCCAUUAUUCCAACGGUUAGAAGUAAGCUAGCUGCCUCCCAUUUUUUAUGAGCCUACGAAGAGAGAUGAUUCAGCUGAUGUUGCCCGAGAUUGGUUUAGACUAUUUAUAAUGGUCACAGCUCGAGUGAGCAACUUCUUUUUCAGUACAGUGGACAGGUAAAAUGGGAGUACUUGGCUGUGUUUUCUUGACACGGGCAGCCAGCAAAAGAAUAUUGCUUCAUGCUGUGGAUGUGAGCCGCCCUUCUAAAUUGUCAGGCAAUUCUUGCUAUUUUCCUUUCUCAUGUUCUGCAACUGCCACCACCUUCCUUUCUUAUGUUUUGUAAUUGCCACCACUUUAAUUCUAUCUAAAAUAAAAAACCUAGUCUUUCUAUAAAUAACCUAGUUUUUCUAUAAGCAAGGAAUGCUCCUAUGCAUGCAUCUUAUAAACGUCUUCGCGGUAUCUGCUCCUGUCAGAGGCAAUAUUUGAUAUGUUUCCAAGUACUGAAAUCUAGAUAAUUAUAGGGCUUGUUUGGUUCGCAGGAAAAGAAGAGAAAAAAGUAUGCUCAAUGGAAAAGUAAAGAGAUGCCUCUUAUUUGGUUGGAGUUUUCAAAGGAGAGAGACGAGAAAGUUGUAUUCCCAUGGAAAUAUAAUUCCCACGUUUCAUGAAAAAGUCUUUCCCAUGAGAAACAUGAGAAAGUUAUUUUUCGUGAUCCAGAAAUCAAAAUAUUUUUUUCCAAAAAAGUCCCUUCAGCAUCAAAUCAAGGAUCCUUAUUUGAUCCAAAGCAUGAAACUAAUUUUUAUUAAGAGUAUAAUAGGAAUUACAUAUAACUUUUCCAGAAAAGUGGAUGGUUAACUAAACAUAAAUACUCUGAAAAUCUGUCACUUUUCCAUGGUCAACCAAACAUGCAUGCCAAAAAUACUUUUUCAGGCAUCCUCUUUUCAGAAAUUGAGUUUUUAGGAAUCAUAUUUCUAUGAAAAAAAUACUCUCCGCGAACCAAACGAGCCCAUAGGGUGAAUGUGUGGUCUUCUCUCUCUCAAAAAAAAAGAUUAAAUCUUGAAAAGCUAUAAGAAGCGGAUUCUCUAGCAAAACCAAUUAUCGAUAGUUCUCUACUACUACUUCGUAGCUUCUAAAUUAUCAGGAAUUUCUUGCUAUUUUUCUCUCUCAAGUUUUGCAGCUGCCGGCACCUUUCUUUCUUAUGUUUUGUAACUGUUUUAGACGGAAUUAAUAACAUAUCAAUAUAUUAUGUUAUUAUGAUAUAAUGUAAUACAAUAUUAUAUUUAUAGUAUAAUACAAUAAUAAAGAUAUAAAAUAUUAUAAUUAUUAGCGUAAAUUAAUUUUUUAUAAUAUAACAAAUUUUUUAUCUAGAUGAUAAAAUUGGCUAAACAAUUAUUAAAGGGAUAUUUUGUGUAAUUGUUAUAUUUUAUCACAGAUAUUUUGGUCAAAAAAUAACUUUUCGAUUGAGCCUAAAAGUGUUUUUCUGAAAAGCUCUAAAAUGGAGCUUCUCCUAAAAAGUUGUUUUUAGUUUUUUGAAAAACCUAAAACAGUUUUUAGAAAUUUUUAUCAAAUAUCAUUAUUUUAUCUAAAAAUGCUUUUGGAAGGCCAGAAGCUCUUCCAAAUGGGGCCUAAGUGAUUUUCUCCAAGCCAAAAGGAUCCACAAAAGAGGUAAAUGAUGAAAGAAGGGCCGAUGGUGGCGGAAUGUAGAAGUCAGUAAAUGCUAGAUGGCAGGACAUAGAAGUCAGUCAACACUAAAUGACAGUCAGAAAAUUCUAGGAAUAAUGGACAAAAUUGUGAGUGGGUAGGAUAAUAAAGAAAUCAUGACCAUUGGAAAAUGUGAGGCUCCAGUUCUGCCCCAACUCUCGUUCGUUAUAAAAGCCAGAGCUUGGUAGAAGGAUCAUCGCAUUUCAGGAGAACGAGGUAAUAGAGCGGAUAAAAGGAAAAUGCUUCUUCCAAAGACAUUCCUCCUACUCUAUCUGCUUCUCCUUUCCACUUCAUUCAUUCCAAAUGGGACAACAGCUAGGGAGCUUGUUAAACCAAGUGAGCCUGAUUUAUUUUUUCUCCCAAGAAGUAAAUUUAAUCUAUCAUGUUCUUUCUUACUCUUUUGUACUUGACCUCCCUACUGCACCAAGACAUGGGCCAUUUAGUUGAAUGUUUUUUUUUUUUCUUAAAAGGCCGCUAAAACAUCAUUUAUAUUUGCUUUAUAUGCCAUGCUAUCGAAUCUAUCUCAUGAUCAGAAUCCAUCUCAUUUCUUAGCUCAACUGGUUGGCAUCCAUCUCGAUCUUGAAGAGAUCCAAGGCUCAAACCUAAAGGGUGGUGCUGCCAUCAUAUUUUUCUUAAAAAAACAAAGAAAAGGAAAACAGUGGGCUUAAGUAUAUUCAGUGUCAGCUACAUAUAUAUCCUACCCCCUAGAUGUUCUCACCCUUGCCAGAAUCAGCAAAGCUUAGGACCUUAGGUUUUAGUGUGUUUCCCCCCGUAAGAAAUCAUAAAAAUCUUUUCCGUUGCUAGAAAACAUUCCAAACAUAAUUAUAUCUUGCUUGUUGGUUAAAUCUGAAUACGGAUAUAACUUGCUAUUGGUGCAUGGGUGCAGGAACUGGUGGCCAGACGCCUGUGGACGCCGCGCGCCAGGUUGCAUAUCGUGCCCUGUCACCAGGGCCUGUCCUGCCAUCAAGGCGUGGCCAGCCAUAUACUCGCGGGUGCAAGAGGAUCUAUUGUCGUGGUGGACCCCCGGUCCCAUAGCUGCAGAGUAAAAUCGUAGGUGGACUACUAGUAAUGGCUGCAGCGGGUGCUACAUCCUCGCAUAUACUGCCUUGAAAUGGGCGUAUGAACUAAAUAAGCGGCCGUAUCAUGAUGCCAUUUUCGCUUUGUUGUACGCGUACUGUGUACCUAAU